RNAcentral lists this long non-coding RNA (149826 nucleotides) under Eucalyptus grandis. RNAcentral describes it as "long non-coding RNA (EGRA_LNC006030)". Lineage: Eukaryota; Viridiplantae; Streptophyta; Magnoliopsida; Myrtales; Myrtaceae. The record is from RNAcentral.
CGCAAACGGAUGACAAGAACACAAUACUUCCAGCUCCCGAGGCCUUGAGAAGGGGAUGUGCGAGCUGGCUCAGAUGGUAAGCCGAUUCGAAGUUAGUUGUCAUGAUGAAGGAAAAAUCUUCUGCUGUGUAAUCCAUGGUCGACUUUAAGGUGUUGGUCCCGACGUUGUUUAUCUACCAGAAAUAAAAACCGAGAACAAAAUCUAUUGAAAGACAAGCACAAAUUGCGGCAUUGUUAUAAAUAUCAUUAUUGGACCCAUAGGAUCAAAGUCGCCUUAGACUCACUAGGAUGUUGAGCUUGCCGUCGAAGACCGAGGACACGGUGAGCAUCAGCUUCUCUCGCUCCGAUCUUGAGGAAACGUCACAAGUUGAACCCGAGACUCGGAAACCUUUGCUCUUCCAAUCUUUCAAGCAUUCAUUAAUUUCGGCUUCAUUCCGGGAGCAGGUAUGCACGGUCGCCCCAAGCCUCGCUAGUUCCUCCACAAUGGCGUGUCUAAUCAUGGUACAAACAAUAUGAUUAUUCACCAACUUUGUGAUUGCGAAGAAGAACAGAUUAAUCCCUUUUUCAUUUCCACUAGGAAAAAUUCUACGUGACAAGACAUCAGUACUUGUGAUACCCAAGAAUGUACGGAAGAUUUGGCUGCGGCAUUGCAAUGGAAGUCAAACCAAUAAUUAAAGCCUUUGAAUGCACUGGAUUUUUAUUUGGGAAACUACAAAAGGAGAAAAAAAAUUCUAUUGGCUAAGUCAAACCAAUAAUUAAAGCCUUUGAAUGCACUGGAUUUUUAUUUGGGAAAUUACAAAAGGAGAAAAAAAUUCUAUUGGCUAAUGGAAGUCAAACCAAUAAUUAAAGCCUUUGAAUGCACUGGAUUUUUAUUUGGGAAAUUACAAAAGGAGAAAAAAAAUUCUAUUGGCUAAUGAUAUCACAAAGACGCAAAUGAUUUACCAACGUCUAAAGGCCACAUACUUUCAAAAAGGUUGUGCAUGAAUCAGUCACCCAGGAACAUCAUUCUCAAAGUAAUUGAGCUCUCUAAUCAAGUCUCUCGUCAUAUAGAGUUUUAACUGGCGAUAAUAUCAAUUUUCUAGCUUUUUAUCCGAGGGAUUGAAGCUUAUUGGAUUCAAAAGCAUCUGCUAUCACUCGAGCGGUUCAAAAAUUUUGUUGGUCGGGAGCCAGUUUGACAUGCUAUGGUUGGAACAAGUUUUUCUAGGCUAGAUAUGACGGAAAAUUCCACUUAAAGUGCUUAAAUCCUCGCUCAAUUUAUUUUGAGUAGGUAUGGGAUUGGCCUAAAAAUCGUAGGCCUUGUAUAUUUUGGCCAGGACAAGAAGUAUCUUGAUCCUAGAUUGCCCCAACCAGUGCAUAAUCCUACUAUCAUUCAAAUUAUUACAAAGGAACGAGAUUUCAAGGUUGACGGUUUUUAGAUACCUAAUUCAUGAUGUUUUCUCUACCAACCUAAAUCAUAACAGAUAAUCAAUCAUCGAAAUCAUCGAUAGAAAACAACGAGGUGUUCGGUAAGGGUCAGAGAGAGAGAGAGAGAGACCCGAUUCCUUUGGUUCCACCGGUGACAAGAGCAGUCAUUCCAUGAAGCGACCACCUGUUUUUGUUGUCGUUGCUGCUGCUAUGGCAUCUACCGGCAGUCCCAUCUCCCUCCGUAGCCAUUGUCACUCUCUCUCUAUCCCAGUUGUGAUUUUUCCCCGGAACUCUUGUUUCUCCUUUUUGUGGGUAAUGCGCCUCUCUAACUUUCCACCCCGUUUUAUGCUAAGUCCUUCACUGGCCCCAGAGAGAGUGACGGCGACUGGAAGAGACUUCCUUACCACACAACUAUGGUGGAGUAAUAAGACCCGUUCCCAGCACGACGCGGAGCCACUACUUACGUACGGUCGUAGAAGUCUCCAACCAAGACUAAUCAACUAUUGUCACUCUCUCUCACAUAUCCAUGACAUAAAAAGGAAAAUAAUAGAAUAAGAAAGAAAAAAAAGAAAUCAAAAUGAUAUUCUUUGACGUUCAAAAAGAAUUCAAUCGACUAAAAAAAAAACUAAGGACAAUAUAUAAAAUUGCUUUGAUGAAUUAAAUAUUUAGAAUUGAUGGAAUUGCCAUUAGAUUUUAAGAAAAUGAACCAUGUCAUUAGAUAGCCAAGUUGUUGCCCUUCGGCUUAUGUAGUGUAAGUGCAUAAUAUUCUAAUAUUGAUCAUGGCAAAGGAGUAAGUCAAAGUCGGCCUUUCUCUGAACUUUCAUGACUAUGACUUUGGCCUUGCAUGGCUGCACCUUAUUUCUGUUCCCAGGAACAAAAAUUUCUGUUUUUUUGUUCCUGGGAACAAAAAAGGAACAGAAACGCGUUUGUGUGCGUUUCUGUUUCUUUUUUGUUCUUUUAUUCCCAAGAACAAAAAAGAAACAGAAACGAGAAACACAAAUUUUGUGUUUCUCGUUUCUGGAUACACAAAUGAGAAACACUUUUCUUUUUCUUUUUCUUUUUUCUCUUAUUUUCUUGUUCUUCUUUCUUUUGGCCGGUCGCCGGCCUUGGCCAUGGCCGGCGACCGGCCGACNNNNNNNNNNNNNNNNNNNNNNNNNNNNNNNNNNNNNNNNNNNNNNNNNNNNNNNNNNNNNNNNNNNNNNNNNNNNNNNNNNNNNNNNNNNNNNNNNNNNCGGCGAGGCCGACCUCGCGCCGGCCUGGGCGAGCUCGAUCUCGCCCCGGCCGCCGAGCUCGUCUCGCCCAGAACCGGCCUCGAGCUCGCCCAGGCCGGCGAGGCCGAGCUCGCCUAGCGGCCGGCGAGCCUCCGCCUCGCCUGGCGGUGGCCCGGCGAGGCCGCCCUCCCCUGGCGGUGGCCCGGCGAGGCCGCGCCUCGCCCGCCGCUGGGCGAGCUCGGCCCUCGCCGGCCGAUCGCCGGCCAAGGCCUUGGUCGGCGACCGGCCAAAAGAAGAAAAAAAAAUGAAAAAGAAAAAAGAAAAAAAGGAAAAAUAAGAAAAAAAUAGAAAAAAUAAAAGAAAUAAAAAAAUUAUCCAAAUUUACCAAACAUGUUUUUGUUUAUUUUUUAUUCCCGGAACAAGUUUACCAAACAUGUAUUUUUGUUCAAAAAUUGUUCCCCGGAACAGAAACACUUUUUUCUAUUUCUGUUCCCUGGAACAAUUUUUAAACAGAAACACAACCAAACGCGCCCUUUGUUUCUCAAAAAAUAAAAGUAUAUUGAUUUUUCUCUGAUAACCAAAUAAUCUUAAAAGUCAUAAUAACACAGUUUGAUAUACACCAUACAACGCUCCUAUGCAUUGUAAGAAAAUUUCUUCUAUUUCUUUUCAAAUUAUUGAGAGACGCCUAGAUGCAUUACCUUCGCAUGUGUCUAAAGAUUUAAAGACUUAUAAAUUGAUACAAUGAUGGCAUAAAAGAUAAAACAUUUUUUUAAUGCCAUUUUUUUUCAAAUGACAAUUUAAAUUGUGGAUUUAAUAGGAGAAAGCAAAAAAGUCGUCAUUCAAAGACUUUUAAAUUGAUACGAUGCUGGCAUAAAAGAUAAAACAUUUUUUUUAGUGCCAAUUGUUUUUCAAAUGACAAUUUAAAUUGUGGGUUUAAUAAGAGAAAGAAACGUAAAGUAGUCAUUCAAUUUAGUAAUAAAGUAGACGAUCAAUUUUUGCUGAGGUAGUGUCUAGGUGGCAGCUACUUUCGAGGAAAAAUCACCAAAAAAGUUUUCUUGCAAUGAGGAGAGGCUAAUUUCAGCGAUCUACAAUGUUAUAGAUUUUUUUAUUAUUCACUUUGAGGUUAUUUUCAUUUAAUUGAUUCUUGAAAUUGAUAUAAAUAGAUAUAAAUAGAUAUUAUAUAACUAAACUGAAGUGAGGCAUUAGCAAAGCAUGCUUAAAAGUGUAUACGGUACCAUAGUUUUUCCAAUCGUACGGUGCAAUGCACUCAAAUUAUCUCAUCCACAUGUAUUUUGUAAGUUUUUCUAAUCAUACGGCAUGCUAGUACUAUGAGUUAAAAACUAUAAUCGAAUAUAAAAAUAGGAUAUUUUGAUUAGCACGUAAAGUCUGCAGCAUCCAAAUCGAACGGUUUGUCUCAUACGCUUGCUACUUUGUCAUCUAUGAUUGAUCAAGAUUGUAUAAAUUGAGAAUUCGGAUGCAUAAAAAAUAUAUAAUCACCGAAAUUAAUUUAUACGACCAUAUCAAGACAUGGGCUACCACUAGUUAAUCAGGAUACCGGUGAUUACAUGAGUGCUGUGAUGGUAGGGUUGAAAUUCAAGAAAGGGGUCGAGAAACUCGUUGGAAGUCUUUUUGUGGACAGAAAUAGCAUCAAAACGGUUCUUUCACUUGUGGCUCCAUGGUGUGGAGCUUCCCAGGAGCUUUUCGCUGAGUAAUACAAGUUGCCUAACUCUAUCUUGAUCAAAAGUCAUGGUCCCUUACAAUCGAGGAGUGCAAAAAUUCAAGCCUAAGUCGGAAAAGCCCUGAUUGGACUCAACCGAGUAAUGUAGUGCCAGCUAAUUUACGAGGGACCGGUGGUUUGGCCUAAAAAUUCUAGGCUGUAUUUAAUCUAGUUUGGUAAAGAUAUAUUUUGACACCACCAUCACUUGAAUUAUUAAAGAGGAACGGAAUUUCAAGAGCAACAGUUUUCAAAUGCCUAAAUUAUAGUAAUUUUUACCUUAACCUAAUCCACAACAGCUGGUCAAUAAUUGAAAUCGAUGACAUAAAAAAAUCAAGUGUUCGAGAUAGGGACCGAUUCCUUUGAUUCCAUCGGUGAGUGAUCCACCUGUUUAUCGUUGUGGUUGUUGCGGCUGCUACAUCUCCUUGCUGUCCUACUCCCCUCUAGAGCCAUUCUCUCUCUAUCUAAAAGAUGAUUUUUCUUUUCCCUUCAACUCUGUUGUUUUCGUCUUUCUUCUUGGGCCCAAUGCGUCUGACUUUCCAUUGUCUUAUGCACAAGUAAGUUGGAGUAGGGUUCCACGGCGAUUCAGGGAACUGCCAUCCGUAGCCUGAGGUUGACAGAAGACGAAGCUUGAAAUUACCACGGAACCGACCAUGGCUGAAAGCCAACAGCAUUCGACCGCGUUUAAUUAUCGACAUCUCUUCGUUCUUCUGCUCUUUUGGGUCCGCGCCCCGUCUGUCCUCCUCCUUUUCCCCGUUUUAGAGAGAGAGAGAGAGAGAGAGAGAGAUCGGGCGCUUUUGAAACUCUGGUUAAACUUUCUUUUAUUGAGCCGCGCAGCUAGGAAUUGUAAUGUCGUUUCGACACUUGAGUUCGAAUUGAUAUUCAGUUAUUUCGAGUUUGAACAUUUUUAUUUUUAUCGUUUGCCUUCGACGUUCUGGACUUGACUUACAUAUUUAUCAGCGAAUGACCCAACAGUAUAACAUCUAAGAUCAUGUUAAAACGUUAUGUUUGUAUUUUGAGAAGGCCCAAAAAAUAAUAAUAAAAAGUCAUUCUAAAUAGGUUCUAAAUAUUUUUAUUGAUAUUACCAAAAAAGAGUAACCUGCUACCCACGAUAUGGCAGGCAGAAGUUGUGGAAGCUUGUUUACAAAGACAACAGUAGCUCCAAACGUUUGAACUCAAUUGAUUUUACAGCAUCGCGUUGCUAUGUCCACGUUCAUGCUCAGAGACUUCCCAAGUUAUGACUUUUGAUUGAUACUGUUGGCCAUGCAUUAAAUGCAACACACGAUGAGAUUCAAGACAACAUUGUUCAAUUAUGUAGGACCUUCUUAGGAAAACUUUUUAAUUGAGCUUAAAAAGUUUCUUAUAGUCGUUUAAGAGAGAGUCUCGUUACUUGUGAGAUGAUCGUUUGGUGAUUGAGGUACUUAUGGAAACAACCAUACGAGGAUUUGGAAAAUUUUAGGAAGACUGUGCAGAAAUGUUCGAAUAAGCAAUCUAUAUAAGGUCGAUUAUUUAAACCAGAGGAAUUUUGAGAUCACAGGAGAACAUUUACGACAUCCCAAAAUCAUUUUGUGCUUAUUGUUGGAAAUUUCCUAUAAUAUAGGUUUACAUUAAUUAAUUGAUUUUUUAUUUUAAAUAAUUGAGUUAAUAGAUAUUCCAAUAUUUAUUGAAUCCUAAAAUGAUCUGAUUAAAUUGAGUAUUGGUAUCUAUUGAUAACGGGUUUGGUUGAGCAACAAAGUAUAGACAAUUAUGUUUGACUGAAACCUAUAAUGGGAAGGGUCCAGUUGACAAGUUGUUGAUUAUGGUUUGCUAGGUUCCUUUAAUCCUAUUGAAAUAUGCUAUAUUAAAAUAGGUAGAGGAAGAUCUUCAAUAGAUCACUAGUUAUCAGAUUCAUCUAUUUUUUUUUUCAAGUGAAACAGCUCAAACAUGUACGUUUUAAUUCCACUAUAUUUAUUAUUCUCGGUGUUUUACAAUCAUAUAUGGAUCCAAUUCUUCUUAAUUAAUUAAUUAUUCAUGCGAAUAAUUUUCUACAUGUGGUAUUAGAGCCGAUCAUAUAUGAUUGUAGAAUCCAUUUUUUUUUUUAUGGACAAAUUCGAAAUCCUCCUCUUUGAGCCGAAUAUGGGCAUUAUUUUUUCGUGUAGAUUUUUUGCUUGAUUGAUUUCGAAAUGAUAGGGCUUUUAUUCUACACGUCGAGAUAUUUCCAACCAUAUAUAAUUUGCAUAAUUUCGUUGAGAAUUGAGAGAGAAUUUUUAGAUUUGAAAUUCUAGGGUUUAUACAUGAAAAAGUUCUAGAAUUUGCAAAUUAUUGCAAUCGAUUGAUGUUUAUUGUAAAUCGAUGCAUGGGUAUUGUUAUAUAUAUAUUUUAGCAUCCUAUUGUUGAAUAAAAGUAAGUUUUUAGGCUUAAACUUAAGAAAUUCGAUAUUCGGCCAUGGGAGGUUAAGAUCCGAAACUUUGAAGCUUGUAUGUGGUAGAUUUACUUGGUUUUUCUUCGUUUAAUUCAAUAUAGUUAAUUAUAUUGAUAUCAUAUGCAAAAUCCAUCAGGAAAUUUCAUAAAAAAUCAUGUUAUUUUGUGUUAGAGCUUCGGGUUGAAACCGGGUCGUGCGACCCGGUUUUCUUCAACUUCGGGACCCGGCUGGAGGUUGAAGAAGACCCUCCAGCCGGGCCAGGCCAGCCCAUCCAUUCUUUCUUUUUCGGCCAGAACCUUUAUGUUUUGAAUGGGCUCUGGAAACACGCCCAUUAGCCAACUUGAAAAGAGGUUCUGGGCUGCCCAGAACCAAAAUAUAAAGGGCUUAGCCCAUAUAGAUUUUUUAAUUUAAUUUCGGUUUUUAGUGUUGUAGUAUCUACCGUUGCGGUAGCAGAAAGCUUUUGUAACUUCCGAUCUACUUGAAUUGAUACCGCAGUGUCAAAAUGAAGCCUUCGAUGGCUUCUGUAAGUCAGAAUCUGGUCUCUUUCUCUCUCUCACUGAACACUUCAUUCUUUUAUGUCGAUGGUUAUGAUGAUCAAUCAUCUGUAUGAUAUAAGUUGAGGAAGAAAACAUCUUGAUUUAAGAAUUUGAAAAUCGUCAAUCUCGAAAUCUCUUUUCUCUAUGAUAAUUUGAGUGAUAGUAGUAGGAUUGUACAUUGACUAGGGCAAUCCACGAUCAAAGUACUUCUUGUCCUAGCCAAAACAAAUUGAGCCUGUAAUUUCUAGGUCGCUAGAAUAAAUCUAGCCAAGAAGGAUGAAUUUAAGCACUUUAAUUGACUUAUUUCCAUUAUAUCCAUGCUCAAGAAAAUCUUUCUGAUCGAAGCGUGUUUGACCGAGCUUCCGACCAUCUAGAUUCUUUUAACUGCCCGAGUGACAGUGGAUGCUUCUGAAUCCAACGAUGUUCGACUCCAUGGAUAAAAGAAACUAGGCAAUUGAUGUCAUCACCAUUUAAAACUCUAUAUGAUGGAAACGACGAGACUUGAUCAGAGAGCUCAAUUCUUUUGAGGAUGUAGUCACUGGGUGAUUGAUUCAUAGGUAGCCUUCUUAAGUUCUGUAGCCUUUUGACCGUGAUAACUCAUUUGACAUUAUUAUUAGCUAAUAGAAUUUCUUUCUCCUUUUGUGAUUUCCCAAAAAGAAAUCCUGGCCCUUCAAAGGCUGUAAUUAAUGGUUUGACUUCAAUUGCGAGUGCGGCCACAUCUACUGCACAUUCUUGGAUAUCACACAGAAUUUCUACUUCCGGAAAAGAAGAGGGAUUAAUCCGUUCCUGCUUGCAAUCACGAGUUGGUAAAAUGAUCAUGUCGUUGUGCCAUGAUUAGGCAUGUCGUUGUGGAGGAACUAGCGACGCUUAGGGCCACCGUGUAUACCUGCUCCAGAAAUGAAGCCGAAAUCAAUGAAUGCUUGAAAGAUUGGAAGAGCAAGGGUGUUCAGGUCGCAGGAUCGGCUUGCAACAAGUGGAUCCUUGUAAGUCUAAGUCGUCUUUGAUCGAGUGGAUCCAAUAACAAUAUUUAUAAUAAGGUUGCACCUUGUGCAUGUCUUUUAAUGAAUUUUGUUUUUGGUUUUCGUUUGUGGCAGAUAAAUGACAUUAGGACCAACACUCUGAAGGCGACCAUGGAUUACACACCAGAAAAUUUUCCCUUCCUCAUGACUACUAAUUUCGCUUACCAUCUAAGCCAGCUUGGACAUCCCCUUCUCAAGGCCUUAGGAGCUGGAAGUAUUGUGUUAUUGUCAUCCAUUUGCGGCGCUGUUUCAAUGAACACCGGAUCAAUCAACUCAGCCGCCAAAUGUACAUUAACAUUAUCAUAAAUAAUUAUCUUGACACUGUUAUAUGGAGCUAAACAAAUUGCGGCUGUUUUCUGUUUUUGUAUUCAAAUUUUUUGGUAGGAGCAAUGAACCGGUUGACCAAGAAUUUGGCAUGUGAAUGGGCUAAGGAAAACAUAAGAAGCAACUAUUUUGCACUACGAACCGAGCCAGUAAUUUGAUCUCACAAGGCUUUAAAUUUUCUCUCCGGCUCAAGAAUGUUUCAUUACAUAGAUCUUGAUCAUGUUUGUGUUGGAACCAAAAGGACUUGGAGGGAGAGAGUACACACACAAAGAGAGAUUAUAUUACACAAUAUACCUUGCAAAGGCUUAAUAGAGUACACACACUAACUUUGUUAAGCUUAAAACUCUCUCUAAAAUCUCACUCUCUCACACACUAAAUAAACUAGUGUAACCCUAUAUCUAUAAGCACUUCACCGCCUGGACUACAAACGUGCAAGAGUUGAAGUUGAAUUUUUCUUCUUGGCAGUCAAAAAUUGUGGGCUGCGUUUCCUUCACGUCCAAGUUGCAAGCCACAAGUUCACCUUCCUUCGUACUUCUUGAGAUCUCCAGCAGCAAGUAUAAUAAUAUUUUAUUGUGUGCCCAAGAUGCUUGUAGUUUCUUCAUGAUUUUUCUUCUCCGGCGGUUUAAAGAGACGUGGUGUUGCAGCACACGUUUCUUUGGCGGUUUACAAACCGACUAACUCUUGCUUUCACACACAUAGUCAAAAAACAAUUAAAAGACAAAUAAGCUAAUCAAAACACAUAACCAAUUUUACUAUUUUCUAAUAGCCUCCCUUAAAAUUGAUUUUGUAAAACUAUGACACCAAGCAUUGUCUUCAAUUUCUCGAACAAAUCCGCCUUCAAUGGUUUUGUCAAAAUAUUUGCAAUCUGGUCUUCAGAUUUACAGAAAUCAAGUUCAAUCUCACCUUCUUUAAUCAGCUCACGAAUAUAAUGAUACUUGAUGUCGAUAUAUUUGCUCCUGCCAUGAAAUAUGGGAUUCUUGGCCAAUGCAAUCGCUGACUUGUUAUCACACAUCAAGUUAGUAGGACCUUUUUGUUCAUGCAUAAGCUCAAAAAGCAUCCUUCGAAGCCACAUCGCCUGACAUGCUGCUGAAGAUACUGCAAUGUAUUAUGCUUCAGCUAUUGAGAGUGCAAUAACUUGUUGUUUCUUUGAUGACCAAGAAAUUAUUCCUGAUCCAAGAAAGAACGCAUAUCCGGAAGUGCUCUUCCGUGUUUCAGUAUCACCUGCCCAAUCACUGUCUAUAUACCCCACUAAACUGAAAUUGUCAGUGUAAGUAUAAAAAAUUCCAUGAUCACGAGUUCCACUGACAUACCUUAAAAUUCUUUUUGCUGCUUGCAAAUGUGAUUGGUAUAGUUUCUCCAUAAAUCGACUAAUAAUUCCCAUGCCAUAAGUUAUAUCUGGCCUAGUGGUAGCCAAAUAUCUUAAACUGCCAACAAUACUUUUGAAAUAAGUGGGAUUUACCAAUUCACCGGUUCCUUCUUUCUUCAACUCCAACCGUUCUGCUACAGGAGUUCGAAUUGAUUUGAGCGUUUCCAUAUUGAAUCGCUUCAAAAUAUUAUUAGCAUACUUCUGCUGUGAAACAAAUAUGCCUUCAUUUGUCUGCUUCACUUCAAGGCCCAGAAAAUAGGACAUUAACCCCAAAUCUGUCAUCUCAAAUUGACUUGUCAUGGCCUCCCUGAAUUCAGCAAACAUCUUCUCACAGCUUCCUAUAAAUAUCAAAUCAUCAACAUAAAGGCAAACAAUUAUAACAUUGUCGUUAGUAUUUGACUUGAUAUACAGUGUAUGCUCAUAAGGGCACUUUUGAAAGCCAUACUCCAACAGGUAAGUAUCAAUCCUCAUGUACCAAGCUUGAGGUGCAUGUUUUAGCCCAUACAACACUUUCUUCAGUUUAUAAACUUGAUUUUCACGCCCUUUCUUCACAUAACCUUGUGGUUGCUCCACAUAUACUUCCUCAUCGAGAAAACCAUUAAGGAAUGCCGAUUUCACAUCCAUUUGAUGGAUUUUCCAACGGUUUUGAGCUGCAAGUGCCAAGAUCAUUCGAAUGGUAUCCAUUCGAGCCACUGGUGCAAAUACUUAAAUAAUCAAUACCUGGCUUUUGCUUGUAGCCUUUCGUCACCAGUCUAGCUUUGUAACGGUCCACCUGAUCGUUGGGUUUGUACUUCGUUUUGUACACCCACUUGACACCUAUAGGCUUCGAACCAGGUGGUAAAGAAGUUAGCACCCACGUGUCAUUCUUUCCAAUGGAGUGGAUUUCUUCAUCCAUUGCUUGGUUCCACUUCUCAUCUGCUGCUGCAUCAUCAUAGGAUAUGGGGUCACAUUCGGUAAAUACACAAAAGUUUACCAUUGUUUCAUCAGUGAUUUCGUCACUGUCAUUAUGAUCAACUCUUGUGACCACAUAAUCCUUGAAUUUUACUGGCGUCUUCUGCAGUCGUCGUGAACGACGAAUCAAUGGUUUUGCAGUCGUUGCUGAUGAGGAGGAUGAACUGCCAGGUGAAAGUGAUGGAUCUUCAAUUGAAGAUUCUUCGGUCUCCCUCACCAAUGGUUCAUCUUCCAUAGGAAUGUCUUUUUGGUCAGCCUUUUGAUUCCAGUCCCAGGCUUCAUCUUCAAAAAAUUGGACAUCCCUGCUAAUAAUUACCUUCUCCGUGACAGGAUUAUAUAGCUUAUAACCCUUAGUCACAUUACUAUAUCCAAUGAAAAUACACUUCUCGCUUUUAUCAUCCAACUUUUUUCUUCGUUCGUCUGGUAUAUGGGGAUAUGCUACGCACCCAAAUACCUGUAGGAACGAAACAUCUGGCUUGUUGCCGCUCCAAGCCUCUUCUGGAGUUCUUCCAAGAACACUCCUUGUUGGACACCUGUUCAACACAAAUACAGCACAAGCAACGGCUUCUGUCCAAAACUUCUUCGGUAAUGCUUUAGCCUUUAGCAUACUUCUUGCCAUUUCAAAAAUUGUUCUAUUUUUUCUUUCUGCUAUACCGUUUUGCUGAGGAGUAUAGCUAGCAGUCAACUGACGUUUCACUCCAUGAAUUUUACAAUAAUUGUCAAAUUCAUUGGAAGUAAACUCUCCACCUCUAUCCGAUCUCAAUGUCUUUAAAUUAAAGCCACUCUAUUUCUCAACAUAGACUUUGAAUUCUUUAAAUUUGCCAAAAGCUUCGGAUUUUUCUCUCAAAAAAUAAGCCCAUGUUUUUCUAGUAAAAUCAUCGACAAAAAUUAGUGUGUACCUUUUUUGUCCAAAUGAUUCCACCUCAACAGGGCCACAUAUAUCUGUAUGUACCAACUCCAGAGGUUGCUUGGCUCUUCUAGUUCUCCCAAUUGGAAAAGAUUUCCGAUGUUGCUUUCCAACGAGACAUCCUUCACAUGAGCGGUCUGGAGCGUCGAUCAAGGGCAUGCCAGUCACAUCUUUUUCUGGACUAGUAAUUUAAGUCCACGAAAAUUUAGAUGACCGAACCGAAGAUGCCAUAGCCACUUGCUAUCUUUUGUCGUUGCUUGGAAACUCAAUAGAGUCUUCAUCUGAAGGGAUAGAGGAAACAUCCGGUUCUUCGUCAUCUGUGUCGUCGUAAUCAACUUAUUGUUUGCGCCUCUAAUGGUGCACACACCAUUUUCAAUGUUAACUUUGUGGCCUUUUUCGGAUAGUUGCCAAACACUCAGCAAAUUCUAAAAGAGUCUUGACACAAAGUAAACGUCUGCAAUAGUAACAUUAGUACCAUCUUUUGAGUUGAUAUCAAUGUUACCUUUGCCAUCACAGGAAUUUUGGAUUUAUUCCCGAAGUUGACUUCACCAUGAAUUGUCUCAUCUAACUUCGAAAAUAGCUCCUUUUGACCACACAUGUGAUUGCUGCACCCAGUAUCAAGGUAUCAAAUUUUUGUGUUCAUGGUACUUGAGUCAUCCAUUUGGCAUGCUAACACCACGUCUUCAUUUGUAUCGACAGCGUGCACAUAUUCUGGUUGCUCUUGCCUCAUGUUUGCUUGACAUUCGGAUUUGUAAUGUCCGAAUUUGUUAUAGUUAAAACACUUGACUUUUGAUUUGUCACGUGUUUGAUAUCUUUUAGUGGAAUUCAGAUUUCCACCUCCACCUCGGGCACCUCCACGACCUCAGCCACCAUGAUGACCUCCUCGAUUUGAUUGAGUGACCCGACUCUGCAGUGCUUGCUCAGUAUUCGAACUGAUAGACUUUUGGUUCAUUCUUUGCUCAUGUGAGCAUAAUGAUCCCAUCAACCGCUCCAAUGUCAUGGUUGAUAUAUCUUGGCCUUCUUCGAGCGGCGCAACAACGUAGUCAAACCUUUUAGUCAAAGACCUAAAGAUUUUUUCUACGACUCGUACAUCUUGGAGUUCUUCACGAUUAACCCUCAGUUGGUUAACGAUGGUUUGUACACGAUCAAAGUAAGCCGAGAUAGAUUCAGAGUCAUUCAUGCGUAAAGACUCAAAAUCUCCUCGAAGUGUUUGGAGCCGCACCCGCCUGACACGAUCAUCACCUUUGUAGGAUUUUUGCAAUAUAUCCCACGCUUCUUUCGCUGUCUCAGCACUCGAUAUUUUUUCAAAUAUCAAUUCCUCUACGGCUUGAAAGAUCGCAUAUAAUGCUUUCUGAUCUUUCUUUCGAGAUUCCACCAACGCUUCUUUCUCCUCCUUCCUCAAAGCAUUGAAUUCUUUAGCAUCAGCUAUUUCGGUGUAGCCGUUCUCCACCAGGUUCCACAAAUCUUGGGACCUGAAUAGAACCUUCAUCUGGAUGGACCAGUCGUUGUAAUUUUUUCCGUUCAACUUUGGAAGUUGCAACUGAACAAAACUAGUGGAUGCCAUUGCUAGCUCUGAUACCAAUUGUUGGAACCAAUAGGACUUGGAGGGAGAGAGUACACACACAAAGAGAGAUUAUAUUACACAAUAUGCCUUGCAAAGGCUUAAUAGAGUACACACACUAACUUUGUUAAGCUUAAAACUCUCUCUAAAAUCUCACUCUCUCACACACUAAAUAAACUAGCGUAACCCUAUAUCUAUAAGCACGUCAUCGCUUGGACUACAAACAUGCAAGAGUUGAAGUUGAACUUUUCUUCUUGGCAGUCAAAAAUUGUGGGCUGCGUUUCCUUCACGUCCAAGUUGCAAGCCACAAGUUCACCUUCCUUCGUACUUCUUGAGAUCUCCAGCAGCAAGUAUAAUAAUAUUUUAUUGUGUGCCCAAGAUGCUUGUAGUUUCUUCAUGAUUUUUCUUCUCCGGCGGUUUAAAGAGACGUGGUGUUGCAGCACACGUUUCUUUGGCGGUUUACAAACCGACUAACUCUUGCUUUCACACACAUAGUCAAAAAACAAUUAAAAGACAAAUAAGCUAAUCAAAACACAAAAUCAAUUUUACUUUUUUCUAAUAGUUUGUGAAGAGAACACAUGCUGAAAACCAGAUUCAUCACAAAAUUUUGUAAAGUCUUGAUUUUCAAAUUCGCCUCCAUGGUCUGUCCGUAUAUUUGAAAUAACAUAUCAUUUCUUAUUUUGGACAUUUUUAGCAAACUUUAUAAAAUAGGAAAAUGUUUCAGAUUUACUUGCCAAGAAAUAUACCCAAGUGAAUCGUGAGUAGUCAUCCACAAUUAUUAGGCAGUAUUUCUUACCUCCAAUACUCUGAGUUUUGGUUGGUCCAAAGAGAUCCAUGUGCAAGAGCUACAGUACACGAUUAAUGGAUACUUGAUUUAUUGGUUUGAAUGAGUUUCUUAUCUGUUUUCCCAACACACAUGGUGCGCAUAGAUCAGACUUUUGAUAUGUCAGUUUGGGUAGUCCACGAACAAGCUUAUUUGCUGAGAUUUUGGCUAUUUGCUUCAUGUUAAUGUGUCCAAGUUUUCUGUGCCAUAAGUUUGUUUCCUCUUGAAUUGAGAUUAGACAUUGGGUUUCAUCUGGUUUUAUAUCCAAGAGGUAGAUAUUCCCAUGUCUUCGCCCCGUGAAGGACCGAGAGGAAUCUUUACUGGUUCAUGAACAUAUUCUUUCUUGAAAGUUGAUUUUGAAACCAAUAUUACAUAGUUGACUGAUGCUCAACAAGUUGUAGUUGAGUCAUUCUACUAAAGAAACAUUACUGGUCGUAAGGCUUCCAAUCUUUACAGUUCUGUAUCCCACAAUUUUUCCUUUGCUAUUUCUUCCAAAGGAAACUUUUCCACCACUAACUUGUACAAGUUUUAUGAAGCAAUUUGAGUCUCCUGUUAUAUGUCUUGAGCAUCCACUAUCCAAGUACUAUUUAACCUUUUUUUCUUGAUAGUGACCUGCAUUUAGAAAAGAGACUCAAGCUUUCUUUGGUACCCAUAUUUUCUUGGGUCCAUUGGUGUUAGUGUAAUAUACGGUCUUUGCUUAUAUUUUCUUAACAUGUUUCCAAACCAUAAGACAUUCUUUCUCAAAAUGAUCUGAGUUAUUGCACUUAGAACAUUUAAGAGCACUGCAACCUACUGAUUUUACAAAAACUUUUUGGAAAUGAUUUUUGUAAAAAUCUCUUGUAGGUCUUUGCUUACUUCUUUCAUUUACUUUAGGAAAAUCAAUUAGAGGAAAGUAGUCAUUCCUAAACCUGAUUUGUUGAAGCAAGGUCUUUGUGUUGAAAGAAUUUUUUCAAGUUUCUCAGAUCCUAUAGAAAAUCUUUUAGAAAUAUUUGAGAUAUCAUUUUUCAAGAAUGCAUUUUCUUUGGAAAGAUUGUCUACCUUUUCUUUCAAAGUAGUAACACUUUUGUCUAAAUUUUUGACCUUUUCUUUCCAAACAUUUUCCUGUUGUUUCAAUGCAGAAUUUUCUCUUUUAAGUUCUGAAAUCCUUUUGAGAGAGAUUUUGAGAUUAAGACACAAUUCAUCAAUAUAUCUAGAGACUUUAGUAGGGAUUUUCAAAUUAUUUACCUCAAUUUCACUGUCUGAAUCUAAGUCUGAUUGUGCUAUAAGACAGAUAUUGGCAUAAUCAUCAUCACUUUCAUCACAUUCUAUAUCACUCCAAGUUUCUGCUUUAAGUGUCUUUCGACAUUUCUCAGUUUUUCCUUUCUUUUUCUUCAGAAGGGGACAGUUAGGUCUGAUGUGUCCCCUUUUCUUGCAUUCAAAGCAGACUAUAUCCUUAUUGGAUUCAUCAUCCUCAACUGAUUUAGUCUGUUGCUUUUGAAAACUUUGUUUCUUUGGAUUGAAUCUUCUUUCAUUUCUAUUUAAUUUUCUGAAUCUUCUUAUCAUGAGAGCAAGCUCUUCAUCAUCCAUAUCGUCUUCAGAAUCUGUGACAUCAGAAUCAUCAUUAGAUUUUAAUGCAAUUGAUUUCUUACCUUUAGGAUCUUCAUCUUCGUUGAUUUGCUCCACUUCAUAAGACUGAAGAGUCCCAACCAAUUCGUCAACAGAGAGUGGUCUUUGUGUCUCUUUUACUGAGGUCUUUAUGUGAUUCCAAUCCUUGAACAGUCUACGCAGUAGCUUGUUUACCUUCAUGGGUCCAAAAAUUGGUUGAUGUUGAUAUUCAAGACCAUUCACGAUUUUUGUAAAACGACUAAACAUGUCAGUGAUAGAUUCUCCUGGUUUCAUCUUAAAUGCUUCAUAUUGACUGAGCAGAAUGUUGAUUCUGGUUUCUUUCACUCGAUUGGUUCCUUCAUAGGUGAUGUAUAAUUUAUCCCAGACUUCUUUAGCUGUUUCACAAGAAGAUAUUCUAUUAUAUUUAGUAGGAGAUAAUGCACAAUAUAAAGAAUAAAUUGCUUUCGCAUCAAGAGCUUGUCUCUUGGUUAUCUCUUCUUGAGUCAUUUCGCUAGACUCAACAGCUUCUUUUCCUCUUUCUAAGACUGGUGCAGCUUUAGGAAUGAUUCUUUUGUCUGCCACAUCCCAUUCCAAAGGAUCCUUUGAUCUUAGGAAUGCCUUCAUCUUGUUUUUCCAUAUGUUGUAUUCCUUUCCAUCAAAAUAAGGCGGUCUGGUAUUGCUUUGCCCUUCAAUCAGUCUUGGAGGUAACAUACUAGCCAUAGAUCUUUAAUUCUGAAGUAAAAUACUUCAACUUAAGUGAGUACACAGGCUCUGAUACCAAUUGCAAAAGCUAGUACGAGCACCUAGAGGGGGGUGAAUAAGUGUAAAAACAAAUUUCCAAGAUAAGUGUGCAACACUAAUCAACAAUAGAUGAUGAAAAGGAAGUUAGACUCUUGCAGACUAAAUGAAUUACGAUCAAAGUAAAAGAGCGUAGAGAAGAGAAUAAGAAUAUGAAAUUUAUAGUAGUUCAGCUUAAUCCAAGCCUACGUUUACUCUUUCGCACUGAUAGCCCACUGGCUGGAUUUCACUAUGAAUCAAAAGAGUUGUUACAGUAAAGCUCUUCUUUGAUUCCACAGUGUAGGGACUCUGCUACACUUCCUUAAAGUCUCUCAAAGAUAUAGACUCUUUUUUGAGUACAAGAUUUCGCUCAACAAUUUAAUUGACUAAGAAUAAGGAGUUUCAGACUUUGGAAUUCUUCUAUCGCGUACACACUCGAACAAUUGGAACGUCUUCCUUAUAUACUCCUUCAUGCCAUCACACCCGUUGGCACUUACUAAAGGAAUUCUUCCAAUCUACCUGUUGGACAGAAUCAAUUAUGAAGAUUUCGAGCUAUUUAAGGAAUAUGAUGAUAGCCCACCAAUCAUGCUCGCCCAUACAAUCAGGAUCUAGGUUUCCAUAAGUAGAAUCUUCCAAGUAUACUUCGCCAAUCAACGGAUCCAAAAUCCCUGAAUCAAUCUCAAUUUGAAUAAUGGAUUCCAAUAUGCUGUAUCCAACCAAGAGAUCUUCUUUAGUCGAUAUAAUCAAAUCCUUAGUGAAACAUUCAGUUUCGGAUAAGUUUUCUUCGACGGUCUAGAAACUGUCAAUGAGGAUAGAUUUUGGGUCUUGAGUCUAGCAGUCUGGAGGUCUUCAGACUUUGAUGAAAGAGUUUGCAAGUCUUCAGACUAGAGUAAUGGAAACUUUUGUCAACUUCAAAACACUCAAGGAAGUUUUCUCCAACAGUCACGACCCUCCCCUAGAUUCCAGAGUUGCCAGCCCUUGCCCAAAGGGGCCAAGGGCUGCCAUUGGCCACAAUAACCCUCAUCCUAGAUUUGGGCAAGGGCCUGCCACUACCUAGGGGUUGAUGACACCAGCCAACCCUCGCCCCAUCAUUGCCUACCCUUUCCAGCAAUGGUGGGUGGCGACAACGAGGCUUUAACCCAAACCGAACCUGUUCCCCCUUCUUUUUUUUUUUUUUCUUCUUCUUCUUCUAAUUUAAAUAAUUUAUUUUUUUAAUUAAUAUUAAAUUAAUAAAUUUAGGGGCAAAACGAUGUCAUUUUACACCUUCAUUGCUAAAUUGGCUUCCAGCGAACCACAUAAAUCACAUAUAUUAUUAAAAAAAAUGCCAAGUCGGAUUUUUGGCUACUUUCACCAAACUUGGCAUUGAAGUGUCUCAUUAUUAAAAAAAAAAAAGUGGCAUUUAAGUGUUUGAAAUUUUUAGCACUAAAGUGUUCGCUUAUGCCAAGUUUUGGCAUUCUCGAUGUACUUUCUCUAACAUCUAACUAUCAAAAGAAUAUUGAAAAAGUUUAUGUUGGUGCCUAACUUAUGCCACAUAGGACUGCCGAUAUCCACGUCAAUUAUUUCCAGUCUAAAUUGGCUGAAUAAACUGAAGUGGUACCAAAGUAAAAAGGUUUAUGACUAAAGUUUAGAACUGAAUUUGUACCAAUACAAUAGGUUUAUGAUUUUUUUGGUAUUGUUCCUAAUUAUCAAGGCCAUUAUAUCAGACAUGUUAAUACUCGCCUAAUCUUGGUUAAGUGGGUAGUGAUAGUGAUAGCCACCCUCCUAAAGGCAACAUGGAUUCCCCGAGGAAUGUUAACAGAUUGCUAAGCGAGUGUGAAUAGCUACUCUCGCAAGGUGAUGCCUUUGCCUAACAUGAGCCCUCCCAAAUUUACCGAUCACAACCUAAUUUCUCCAAUAAAUUAUUCAAGCAAUAUUAGACUUAGAAGUUACCACUAACCUAUUAAGCAUCGAGUAGCAACCUAGAUAGGGUGUAGCGGUCAAUCUUACUCCCAAGAACCAAAUUUAAUUAUGCUAUAUGAAUCUAACAUUGUUUUGGUACCCUUCUCUCUAUAAAAUCGUUUUGUCAUAUUAUUGCUUAAAAGUGAUCAUGAAUGGUUCUCAAGCAAUAAAAUAAACAAUCAGACAAUAAACAUCAAAUAAUGAAAUAAUAAAUAUCUAGCAAAUAAAUAAAUAACUUGAAUAGCCGAAUUGGGCAAUAAUUAACAAAGUUUUUUUUUUUAUAGGCUUCAGGGUAAAAACCCAUGUGCUAUAUAGGUGGAAAGUUUAAGGGCACGCGUGACAAAAUUUCUAUUCUAGAAAUUAGUUUUUGACCAGAAAUUGAUUUCUCAAUUUCUAUUCUCUAGACAAGUUUCUGAGCAAAGAAACUCGUUUGAUAACGACUCAAAAUUUCUAUUUCUAGAAUAGAAAUCCGUUUGAUAACAAAAUAAAAUUUCUAUUUCUAGGAAUAGAAAUUGAUUAGAUAACAACAUAUGAAAUCCUCAAAUACAAAAUAAUAGUCGAAAUAAUACUAAUACAUUACAAAAGUUAAAAAUACAAUUUCAUGGAAUUUCCAGCAUAUUAUUAUUCAUUGCCAUUAAUAGUUUUCCUAAGCGUAUUUAUUUGGUUUUCCUCCUUAGACAAUAUAUCGUUUGCAAGCUUAUCUUACGUAGGUUCAGACAAGUACUGCGGAAGCAUAAUAUGGGUGCCAUCAAUGGCACCUAUACAGGCCUAUCAUUUUAUCAAAGACUAGUAUUAUAUAAUAUUAUCAACAAAAUAAAAUUGAUAGUGUAAAGGAAUAUAUGAGAAUUCUACCUUUAAAUAACGUUUAUGGUUAGGAACCAAUCGGGGGAAUGUCAGUUUAUUUUGAUUCUCGAAUUGAAUCAGUCCAGUUGCUCAUCCCUAAUUUCUUUAUUGUUGCUCAAUGAACCUUUAAUGGCCAUUGCAUAGCAAAGAGAGAGAUUCUCUUGAAUCUCUUGCCUUUGAAUUAAAAUUCAAGAUUGUGUAACAAUCUAAUUAUUUUGAUUUUGCAAGAAUUUUGAAUCCGUAAAGAAACAAGGUUAAAUUUCUAGGCACGUUUUUUAUUCAUCUAUUGCAUAAGAACUUUUUCUUCAACUGGCCAUGCAUGUGGCCUUUUUAGGAGGAAAGAGCCCAAUUGUUUUUAAAUAAGCAUUUAAGAACUUUGGUCGUUUUUGAAAAUUGGGGACCCAUUCGAUUGCCUUUCAUCCUAAAGAGGAAGUUAUAAAAAAAAAUGAAAAAAAAAACAUGAGCAAAAUUAGAAAAAGAAAAUUAGCAAUAAUUUGUGAAGUUGUGGUUAUAAGUGAAUUAAGUUAGCAAGAAAGCACAAGGUUCUUUUAUAUGGUUUGAUUUCCGCUUCUGAUUUCUAUUUCAGAAACUGAGAAGUUAAAAAUUUCAAUUUUUGAUUUCUUCGAUUUCUCUAUUUCUAGAAUAGAAAUUUGUUUCAGAAGUAAAUAAAUCAAAUUGCGUUACCAAACAGAUUUAUGUUCCAAACCUGUUCCGGAGAACAGAGAAACAGAGAAAUCAAGAAAUAUAAAUUUGAUCAUGCGCGCCCUAAAAGUACUUUUGCAAACUUCCUAAAAUAGACAAUUGUAUCAAAGGAAAGCGAAUAUGGAAAUGUAACAUGCUAUGUAAAAUAAAUAUACCAAAUGAAGUGUUUUCUUGAAAAUGAGCCAUUAAACAUGGGAAUAGAAUUUAAUGUUAUGCAAUGCAAUACUAAGGCUAUAUUUCGAAGCUAGUAUAAAAUUCAAAAUAGGAUAUUAUCAUAUCCUACAUUCGGUGUCGCUCAAGAUAGGAUAUAGUUAAAUAUAAAUGCUAUAGACCGAAUAAUAUUAUCUUAUAGCGAAAGUGGGAUAAAAUGUGGAUGUGAUUUCUAACAUCUAUAAAAGGAAAGUUAUUUUUUUCGAAUGAAAAACUUCUUAAAUUAACAAAAUUUUAUUAUAUUUCAAUAUAAAUAAUAUUUGAAUUCUAAUAUAAGAAAUUCAAAUUAACAAAAAAUGACAAUUUAUUUAUUUUAUUUUAAUAUUAUUUUAUUUUUUAUAAUUGAAUUUAAUUAUAUUUUAUAAUAUAAAUUCAAUAUAUAAAUAUAAAUAUAUAGUAUUGCAUAUUUUAGGUACUUUAGUAUUUUAGGUAUAUUAGUACAGUUUACUAUUUAAUAAAAUUUUAUUAGAGAAUGAUGGAAGGGCAAGAAAGAAAUAAAAAAGAAAUUAAUUGAUAAAAGUGAGGAAAAUAAAAUAAAAUAAAGUGGGCAAGAGUUUCGCGAGAGUUUUUUACCAUCUCCAUUUGUAAAAUUUGUUUAUUCAUUUAUACUAAUACACUGUUAAUAUCAAAUAAUGUACAUGAUAUAAUGUGAAUAGAUUCAACUUGAUUACUGCAAUCACUAAACAAUGGAUAUGAUAUAACAAAAUCUUUGGAUUUCAUAUCUUAUCAUAUUCAAUCAUAUUAUAGUUAAAAAUUCAAAUGACCAAACAUAAUCUAAAAGAAUGAAUCUACUUAUAUAAUAUUAAUAUGCCCCUGAAUGCACCCUUAUACAUUUUUUUUGUGAUUAUUCAAAUGAAAAUGCAAUCUAAUUACUAGAAGAAAUUAUAUAUAUAUUUUUAUAUUUUUAUUUUAUAACUUGUGAUUAUGGUAACAAACAUAUGAAUAUGCCGAUAGAAUAAUACUUCAAUUUGACAAAUUUAGUCAUAAAAUUUUCAAUAUUUUAACAAUGUAAUCCAAGGCCGAUUAUCAUUGAAGUGUGAGGCAUUUUAUGUGGUAUGGUGAGUUUUAAUGUAGAUAAUUUUUUAAAAUUUUUCUAAAUUUUCUUCUUUCCUUCCUUUCCUUUUCUUUCUCUUUUCUUUUUGUCAGUGGUUGGUCGCUAGCUUGGUGAGGGUCGCCCUCACUAGCUACAUGCGACUGUUGGCUGUGCCUAGGCAAGCCCUAGUGAGGCCGCUUUGGCCUGGGCGAGGGACCCUCACUUAGGCUAGGGUGGCCUCACCAACACUUGCCCUCCCCUAGAGAAGGUUGGCCCUUGCUAGCCAAUAAAGUUCAAAAAAAUUGUAAAAAAUAUCUACAUCAAUGCUAACUGUAUCAUAUAGAAUGGCAGACAUCUAGCUAGUGAUUUUCAGUCAAAAUUGGCCAAAGAGACUACAUUGACAAAUUGUCAAAAUGUUUAUGAUUUGAUUAGUCAAAUUGAAAGGUUUAGAAUCGAAUUGGACUUUAUUAAUAAUUUCCCUGACAAUUUCCUAUAUAUUGGAUCUCUAAUUAUUUAACAUGUGAUUCAUGAACCAUGAAAACAUUAACUUACGUAAAAAGUCGUGUCCAUCCUAAGAUGUAAUCAAACAACCACGAACAAGUGCGUACAGGAAACGCUUCUAUUGUCGGUCUUCUAUCCUUUUGGAAAUGAUAGGACGAUGCAUGCAAAAGAGUCCAUAUUUUUAUCACGUGAGAUGCAUCCUAAAGAUAAUCAAUUAGGCCCUUCAUCUCAUCCCAACCUAGACAGCACGCAUCUCCGAUUGCGCUCAAGAAUUUGGUUCGAUCCCUCGCAUCGUGCAAUCCUGUUUAGUCGAUUGUUGCGAGCUAAGACAAAUCACGUUCAGGAACGGCGUGCAAAUGGUUUAUGACCAGUUCCUAAGGGUAGUCGCAAUUAGGGACCAAAUAAAAUCAAUAGCGAGCGAAUCAACAGUCUCAAUGUGUUCAGCAAUUCGAAUAGGAUGGCAUUGUCUCGAUCAAUUCAAACUAGCAAACACAAUCACACUUGUUGUCUCGAAAUGAUCGGCGGCUUGAAUAGGAUGGUAGCAACUCAUUGUCUUGAUUGACUCAAACUAGCAAACACAGUUACAUAGCUUUGCGAUGUCUACGACUAAGAACAAAAAAAUUGGCAACAAUGCCUUUUGUGAUGGCUUGAGAUGGAUGCAAUAAUUGCGAUGUGAAUGAUGCUAUGCGAUCAAUGUAAGAGUUUUCCUGAUGUGGACUAAAUUAAUUGAUAUUGUAAUUUACUGUUUUUACGGUUAUCGUAAAAUAAUGUUGAUCUAAGGUGAGAUAGAAGGUUUUUUAAUUAGUCAAAUAUGAGAUUGGCUAUUGUGAGCCAAGUUAAGCCUGGCCUGUAAUGAGGGGGUCUUACUGGAAACUCUAUAAAUAGUACUCAAGUCUCUCCUCUAACCCUAAUUCUCACAUUAUCCUCACCUAAGGGGCAUUUACCUAACUCUACACGUGAGGGGGGUCACCUCAUUGAACCAGUGAUACGGAGGGAAAUAGAGGAGAAUGACUUGAUGCGUGGAUCCCCUUGAUAUGUGGGUAAUCCCUUUUCUGCUUCCGUUUUAUGUUCGAUGGAUUCCAAAAUAGGUAUAUUAAUCUUUCUACUCAAUUAUGCAUGUUCUUGUUCUGGUUAUGGAGAUCUUGGGAUUGCGUGAUUUGCAUCCAACAUGUGGUAUCAAAGUAACCAUAACCUUAGAACUCGAACGCAUAAGAUUUGUGCUAUAAUUUGUGAUUUUCGUGUUUUUUUUGUUCAAUAAAAAUAAAAUAAAAUCACAAAUUUGGAUUUGGCUCGAUGAGGCGAGCAAAACUGUGGGCAGCGUGUCGCCGGGGGAGGCCCAAUGUGCCCCCACGUGCGGCCACGUGCCGCUGGGCGUCGAAGACACGCGCCCAUGCGUGUCCACAUGUCCUCACGUGCUCCCACGCGCGGGGCGCUACUCGUGCGUGCAGCGCAUGCGGGCGUUGAUGUCAUGAUUACGUUAGCGACCUAGACUCAGAUCCAACCCGAAUGGCGACCGACUUGACCCGACCCGACCCGGUCACCCGUUGACUGAACCGGUCAAUUGGUCGGACUGGAAGGUCAGAUUGGGAACUAGUCAGACCGCCACUGGUCAGAUCGGUUUUGAUCGGCCUUUGAUGCCCGCGCGUGGGCUCCACGCGCUGCGCACUUAGGCGGUGCGUGCGGGCGCGUGGAGGUUCCGAUUCGCACGUGGCCGGCUACGUUUGAAUUGUAUGGUUAUUCCCUACGUCAUUGUGUAUUUAUUUUACAUUUUUGAUGAUCUUAUAGAUGUGAAAAUACAUACGGAACCCUAAAUAUGUGUAUUUUUAGUGUAUAUUUUUUAUAUUUUCUGUGAUUUUGGAAAUAUAAGUGUUGGGUUAUAGGUAUGUUAUCAUAUAAACAUUAUAAUGGUGUGAUACAUUAAUAAAAAUUAAACUUUAUUGUGAACUGAAGCUGGCUUAAUGAGAUACAACCAUUAUGGGAUAGUUAUUGAGCUAUGUAUUGAUUAUAAAAUUUUUGUUGUUUAAGCAUACUCCUUUACACAAUGAUAAUCUUUGAAUGAUGAACUUCUUAAGAAUUCGUGACCAAACUGAUUGUACUGAUUAACAUAUCUGUUGAAUGUAGGUAAUGCAUGUUAAUUAAGUUACUACAUAUUGUACAUGAACUCAUCUGAUCAUUUGUUUUUUUUUUUUUUUUUUGGUAAAGGCAUCUGAUCAUUUGUUAAUGUCUAUUAAGUUGAAUAUUUUUAUGGUUAAGGAGUAUGACAACAUUUAUGCAAAGUAAUAAUAUCUACUGUUAAAUUUUAGAUAUUUGGUUAUCUGGUUUGACAGAAUUAAUAUGCCACUGGUUGAUUACAAUGAUAAUUUAUUACUUAAAAAUUAGCUAAUAAAUUAGUUGUUGGCCUUGGAGUUAUUUUUUGCCUUAUGAACUUAUGAAUGAUAAUGAAUCACCUGUCAAGCUUGUCAAUUUAGUGUCCCAUGUAUUACUAUUAAUGUUAAUCUGUGAGAGAUAUUUUAGAUUAGCAUUCUUUUAAUGUUGUUCUAGUAAUCAGUAAUUUGGGUGCACAAGAGAUGCUUGCUUCUAUGUUAUGAGAAGUUUCUUGUGUUGCUGUCGAUCUCAUUGGAAUCUAUCUUUUAAGUUCGCUAUAUAUAUAUGUAUAAGUAAAGAUUUUAUUAAUAAAUAAAGCAAUGUAAUUAGCAUGAUAUCUGAUUUUGGUGAUAUGCUGCCCCUAUCACUAAAGUUAAAAUCACAUGUAUAUGAUUUAUGAUAUGUAAAUUUUAUAUCCCUAGUAUGAGAUAAUUUCAAUGAUUCAAUUGAGUAGUGACUGCCAAAGUGGCACGCUUGAUUGGGUUUGAGAAAUUUCGAUCUCGUAUAAUGAUUGUGAUAUCUCUUGGUUUAAUGCAUAGUCAUACUUCCAAAUGAGGUGAUUAUGUAUUAGUUCAUGAAGGAAUACAUGAUAGUAUGGUGGUGGAGUGACUAAUUCUAGUGAUUCAUAUGCCCAAAGGUGAUGAAUUCAUGAAGAAUUGUAAUAUAUUCUCAUAACCGCUAUCAUGUGGGGAGUGUACAACUGCAUGUCAUGUAUUCUGCCCAAAUGUGAUUAUAUGAUUAUGUGUGUAACUCUCUGGAUGUGUAUUUGUAUGUCAAGUUACAUAGUGCUCACAUGAUGCUAAUUAUACACAUUGCUUGUUUUUCAGUCACAUUUUCUGUAAUUAAUAACUCCAUUAUUAUUAUUAAGGUUUUUACUGCUUCAAAUUUUAACUUGUGGACAUAUGAUUUAUUGCUUGAGAAAAGAGCAAUAGAAUUUUGUUUACCGUCCAUGAAGCGUUCCAUUCUGGAACACUCGAAAAGAGGUUUGCCUGCGCACAGCACUGCUAUAAGAUGAUGGAAGCCUUAGUUGCAUGAAAUUACGUCUUGUCUAACAUCGAAAUUAGGACAUAUCUGCAAAGAUUUUAUUUAAGUCCUAAUGACAUAUACAUCUCGUAUAUAGUUAAAAUGUCGUUUCUAAAAGUUUUUUAUUUAAGGAAAAUGACCAAGAUAAAGAAUAAACUAGGUUAAAAUUAGUCUUGAAGGUUGUCAGGUCUAAUAGUAGCGGUAAGUAUUUUGGCAAGUAUGACAAUACUAAAUUGCUUAAAGGGUUAUUUGUCAAAUACUUGGUUAAUUCUGGGGUGGUAAUUUAAUUAUUAGGCCUGAAAAUUCUAACAAGAAGAUUUGGCUAAAAGGUUUGAAGCACCAUAAUAAACAUGUUAAUGAGUAUGAUUAGUAAGACUAAUUUAUCCGGUCUUCGAUGGGUUGAUAUUAUGAAAGCAACUUUUUCUCAUACAAAAUGUGUCUCUGAUCAAAGUUGUUUCAUAAACUUCUUUUGAAUUAUAAAUUGGACAUAGAUUACUUGAAUCAUAUUAAAUUUAGAGGUGUCAUGUAAAAGUGAGAUUAUCUAAUUCAAUAUUAAGUGUGUUGGAAUUUAGAUCCACUUAAAAUUAUUUUGUAUCUUACUCUGAUUGUUCGAAGGAGUAUUAAUUUUAUGACCCUAAAGAAGGUAUAAGAAUUAUGGAAUCACAUACUCUAAAGUUUCUAAAGAUCGACGUAAUUGUAGAGGAUUGCUACUCUCCGACUAUUAAAGAUAAUAGUAUAAUGGAGGUUACUGUAUUUUUUGUUUUUACCUAUUUAGAUAAUUAUGGAAUCUCUUGUACCAUAGACUAAACUUGUUGAGGUUCAAGAUAAUUUUUGAUAUAGUUUAUAAUGAAAUUUCUUAAACCUCUCAAGUGCAGAAUGAAGUGGUUGCAGUUUUAUUAAGGAGAUUUGUUAAGAAAAGACGAUUAAUUAUACCAUCAGACUAUAUAGUCUAUUUGUAAGAGCAUUAUUACAAUAUCCAUUACAUGGUUGUUUUAGCAACUUAUAUAAACGUCGUUUCUUGUUCUUAAUUAAGUAUGUGAUUAAAUGCCAUAAAAAUAAUAAUAAUGUUUUUACUCUGAAAGAUGGGUGAAUAGUUUAUAGUGAAGAAAUAAAAAAAUAUUUCUAGUAUUUUAAAGAUUCUUUCAGAGUGAAUGUGGCAUUAAUAAUUUAUUUUGAUAUGGAGUUACGCCAAAAAGAUACAAAAAUCUAUAUUGUGCAACUGGAGGAUUUUGCAACAUAUGAUUCAAGUAAACUUGUGUGUAGACUGAAAAAUCUUAAUUCAUGAUCUUAAACAAGUUUCCAGACAAUAUUGUUAAAGUUUCAUAGUGUUGUUAUUUUGUCCAUUUGGGAACAAAGUAAUUCAAUAUACUGCAAGGUCAGUGGGAGGAAAUUUAUUUUUUUCCCAUACUCUAUGUACAUAAUAUUUUGCUUACAAGUUGUGACCUUGAGACAUCUUAUAUCCUUUGUACUGAGGUCUGUAAGGAUUGUUUUUGCCAUAUUAUAUUAGAUUUUCUCUGAGGAUAUUUGCUUAUUGUAUAUUAGAAAUAUUCAAUAUACAUCAUUGCAAGCCAGGAAUUGCUCAUGUUGUUAAAAGUGAUGGGUUGAAUCUAUCACAUUGUCCUUAUUUAGAUAUUGAGAAAAUCUAAUUAAAUGGUGUACCUUGUGUCAGUGCACUUAAAAAUAUAAUGUAUGCUCCAAUUUGCACUAGACUAAAUACCGUUUUUGUGACGGGACUUCUAAGAAGAUAUUAGUCAAAUCCAGGACGCGAUAACUCGGUUGCUGCCAAGAAGAUUUUAAGGUGCUUAAAUAAAACAAGAGAUUAUAUGCUAAUUUAUAGACAUGUUCAAUUCUUGCAGCUAGUAGGGCAUUUAGAUAUAAACUUUGCUGGCUAUUAGGAUGACAUAAAAUCAAUAACGGAAUACAUAUUUAUGUUAGCAGGAAGUGUAGUAAAUAAAGUUUGAUGUCAUCUUCUACUAUGUAAGUAGAGUUUGCAACAUUCUUUUAGGCUGUUACUUGGGCUAUUAGGCUCCAGAACCUCAUGAAAGAGUUGAUCGUUUUAACUUUAUGGAUAGACCCAUACGGUUAUAUUGAGAUAACAAAUUUGUAGUAUUAUUUAUUUACUAUAUAGGUUUCAAGGGGUCUAAAUAUAUUGUGAUUAAAAUUUUUUUACCAAAAGAAAAACGGUACAAAAAGGUGACGUAAUAAUAUAAUAUAUUUUUAUAGAUGAUAUGGUUGUAGAUCCACUAAUUAAAGGCCUAUGCCCAUGUGUAUUUGAGCGACAUGUCAUUAGCAUGGGCCUAGGAGAAUCAUGAGAUGCUGUUGUUUAGUGGAAACUAUUUUGGUUUUACUCUAAUAAAUGAUUCAUCUGUGUUCGUUAUACUUUGUAACGGUUUGAUAUGUAUCAACUUUUGCAUUCAAUAAAAUAUUUUUGAAUGUGUUGUUAUUAUAUUAAAUACAUAUUGAUAAAAUCUCAAGGGAUUUUAUAAACCUUGAGUGAAGGCUAGGGGCAUCUAGGCAUCCGGUUAUUAGCCUUAUGCAUAUGUCUUGUGAUACGUAAAUAAAUGUUAGCCAUAAGGACAAGACAUAUGUGGGUUCAUUGGAACCAUAAAUCAUUCUCUAGUGGCACAAGUUUUUGUGACACCUAAGGUAAGAGAAUGGUGACUGACAAAUGGGAUCUCUCUAUGAGAGAUGCUAUUCAUUUGCCACACUAUCAUAUUGAAUCUAUAUCAAUAAAGUUGAGAGUACUUGUGACCAUAGAAUGCUCUGUGUGUGAACAUGCAGUUACCACCAUGAUUCGGUGUUUAAGACUUUAUGGGAUAUGAUUAACUAUUACGAAUUAUCUCUAGACCAAAUGUGCGCACAUACAGUACAAUUUCAAUUUAGAUAGUCCAAGUGGGAGAAUGUAAGAGUUUUCCUGAUUUGGACUAAAUUAAUUAAUAUUAUAAUUUACUGUUUUUAUGGUUACCGUAAAACAUGGUUGGUCUAAGGUGAGAUAGAAGGUUUCUUAAUUAGUAUAAUAUGGGACUAGCUAGUGUGGGCCAAGUUGAGCCUGGCCCAUAAUGAGGGGGUUUGGCUGGAAACUCUAUAAAUAGUGCUUAAGUCUCUCCUCUAACCCUAAUUCUCACAUUAUCCUCACCUAAGGGGCAUUUACCUAAUGCUACACAUGAGGGGGGCCACCUCAUUGAGCCAGUGAUACGGAGAGCAAUAGAGGAGAAUGACUUGAUGCGUGGAUUCUCUUGAUAUGUGAGUAAUUCAUUUUCUGUUUCCGCUUUAUGUUCGAUGGGUCCCAAAAUAGGUAUGUUAAUCUUUCUACUUAAUUAUGCAUAUUCUUGUUCUGGUUAUGAAGAUCUUGGGAUUGCGUGAUUUGCAUCCAACAAUCAAGUCAAAUGAGAGUCGAGUAGCGGGAUCUGAAUGUUACUUGUAUUCUCUCCGUGGUGUGUUUUGUUUUGGGUCAAGAGUCUCUUCACAAUUCCACUGAAUAUUCUGCUUGAUCCUUGACCAAGAGAAUACAUGCUGUCUAUGGCCGAGGGUGUUGCGGUAUUUGCUGAAAUCCCUUUCAUUGAAGGGUGCCGGUUGAGAUUUCAUUAGAGGGUGGCCGGACUUAUGGGGGCUCGGGCUUGAAAAUUGAAGUGGGUUUAUCUCUUUUAAAUUUAAUUUCGUUUAACCUGACGGGCUAGUUAAAAUGCAAUUCACAACCAAGCCAAUUUUAAUGGAAUUCAUUUGAUGCGGACAUGUUACUAGUGAACAAAAAAUGGUCAUACGCCUAAAUGCAAUGUGCAUGCAAAAUUGUGUGAUAUUAGUAUUUUGUUUAAAGGGUCAAAUAAUGUCAUUGUCAACAAAUUCAAUCCCAAAGUUUUUUGUGAAACGUCUGAGAUUUUUAGACAAAAAGUCAAAUGUCAACAGAUAAUUUUAAAAGAUAUUUAAAAAAAAAUCGAGGAAAUUAUCUUUUUCUUCACCCUUAAUUAAUGUAUGUUUGCCAUGACAAUAAAUUUGAUCGAUAUAAGUAAUGGUCAUGCUUGAUCUAUUGGUUAAGACGUACUCAAUGUAAGUGAAUCAAAUUUUCUCUUUAAAUCAACAAUUUCAAAUGUCUUUAAAUAUAAUUUAAAUUUGAAAGGAGUGUUAGAAUACUUAAAUGUUAAACCACGCUUCAAUAUAACAAUUUAGAUUUCUAAAAAAUUGACAGUAGUCUUACAAAAUCUUAUCUAAAGUUCAAAUGCUCAUUAUAUAUUUAAUCUCUAAUGUAGGUUAGAUGACGAAAUAGUGUUAUGCUUAAUAUUCGUAUCAUCAAGGAUAUCAAGUGACUCAAUAUUCAUAAAAUGCUUAAAUCUAGUCUAUAUCGGACAAUGUAAGUAUACAAAAAAUGCAUUAUAUAAUCCAUUUGUUCAAUUAUCCAACGACAACUCACAACUUCAUCUUGCAGGUCAACAUUACAUAACAACCAAUGAACUCUCGAGAUUUUCCCUCUAGUUUUGCCUUCUAGUGAUUUUUCACAGAGAGAGAGAGAGAGAGAGAGAGAGAGCCUAAGUAAUGAAUGGGCCAUGUGCAUUUAAAGGCUUUAAUCAUAUGUUAGACUUCAAUUGCUAGAACAAUCAAAUCUUCCGCUCAUUCCAAGUUAUCACGCGUCCUAGGGCCUCAACAUUUGGAACUUCUUCUAUUGGCAAAGAAAAAGGCUUGACAUGUUCUUGUUCGCAAUUGUUAAUAAAAAAUUAAUUUUUUAAAAAAUAUAAAAAUUGUCCACUAAAUUUGUAUUGUAAGAAAGCGUUUUGAUAAUAUAUAUAUAUUUUUUAAAUAUAAGAAACAAGUUAUCCCAAAUUAGAUUAAAUAAGGAUGUGUUGUAACAAUAUAGAUUGAAUUAGGUAUGGGUCAAGAAAUUUGUAUUAUAGAUAAAUGGAUCAUAAAUAGAUUAGUGAGUCAAUUUGGAUUGGACCAUUCAUGACCAUACCAAACCCACCUGUUUGAUAGGUCUAAGUGCCACAUAUAAUUUAUUGCAGCCUAAUCUUUUCUAGGAUUAAAAGUUGUACCAUGAACAAUUUUUUUUAAAAGCAUUUGGAAUUGAGAAAAUAAAAAAGAAAUAUGUAAUGUAUGUUAUGUUUUUAUCAUUUUUGUCCAAUUGUUUUGCACCAAUCUAUAAUUAAAACUUCUUUCUAGUCUAUAUUGGCAAGAUGACUGGAUAUGCAUUAAGAAUUAUCUCUGAACAAAAAUUUCCUAAUAAUUGGGAUAUCAUUAAAAAGUUCAAAAAACUACUUAUUUAAAUUAAUAAAUUACCUAUUGGAUGAACUACCCCGACUUAAAUAUUGAAUAAGAUUGGACGAACAUAGAUGACUCAAAAUGUGUCAAAUUAAGAUAGCAUUAGCAGACAAGAUUUUGAUACCAAUGCAAUUGCUAGGAAACAUGCUUUGUCAAAUUUAUGUCAAGAAUUAAUAAUUAAUUGUGCGUUGAAUUUUAGGAUUUAGGUUUUAGAUAUAUGAAAAACAUAUUUAAUAUAUUUACGAAUCAAAUUGCGUUUGUCUUGUGUUAAAAAAAAAUGCAAUCUUGUAUUGUGCAUUGUAAUAUAUCAUGUUUGUCGUUUCAACCGUUACUUGUCAAGUAUGUAAAAAUCACUGGGAUUUGCCCCAGUGGCCACCCUUCCAACAUGGAAGGGAGAGGUGAGGGGUUCAAAUCCCCACCUUCUCAGGGGGGAUGGGGUGGGGACGCGUAAGUUUCAGAGUAGAUUUUGACUCCCACGCCCUGCAAGAGGCAUGACAAAAGUCUGAGAGUGAGUGUAGAGUAGGAAUAGAGUAGGACUAAUCAAAAACAAAAAAGUAUGUAAAUUUUCUCAACCAAAACAAGUAUGUGAAUUUUACUUUUGGGCAAUUGCUUAAAAGUAAGAAAAAUAUCAUUGAAAGGUAAAGAGAAAAAAAGCUUGAAAGUGGGAAUAGAAAGUGGGAGUAAGAUUCUCUCCCUCAUACAUGGUCAACAACAAAUAAUCAACCCACGCAUUUUAAUGCCUUCGAUGUUGCCAUUAUUGGUAAAUAAACUUCUUUAUCCCUGCGACGAUAAACGUACGAUGAACAUCUUAGAGGUAGAAGAGAGUUGGACUCAUGCUUUAGGAAGCAAGAAGCCAUUCACGGUAAACCCUCCAUCGACACAAAUGGUUUGCCCCGUAAUGUAAGAGGCCGCCGGCAACCACAAGAAGGCCACUGACGACGAAACCUCCUUCGGCUCUCUGAUGCGACCGAGCGGUGUCCUUGCUAUCGCCUCCUCGUGGAAUUUCUCAUUGCCGAGUAGCUGCUAUGACGGAUGAGUUAAUGUUAGAUCACGAUGGCAAAGGUGAUGAAGAUUUAUGGGGCGAACUAUUUUCGAAGAGGAUAGGAAAUUUUAAGUCUUGGUAAAUUAAAUUACAUGGUCGGUGAGUGGGCUGCCUAUGAAAUAAGGUGCAAUAGAGUUGCUUCUUAUGUUGUCUUUAGCCCAUUCGCAAGCCAGAUUCUUGGUCAACUGGUUCAUUUCUCCAGUCAAUGAGUUGAGAAAGUAAGAAUAUAACUUGGUAGAGCUUGAACCAACCCCAAAGUGAUGCUCGAAAGUCCACUUUAGAGUCACUCAUUACUGUGUUUUGCAGCCAAGGGAUUUGACUACGUAAGGCCCAGUUAUAUAGCCCACAGGCCUGAUUGGUUUCGUAAACCGAUCACUUGAGAAAAUUAGCAGUGAUUAGAGUCAUAAGUCCAUAAUUUGGAUGCCUUCUCCAUGACGGACGGUGAAGUGUUCGUCUUCAUCGAUAUCUCAGACAAUCUUUCUCAUCUCUUGCCUGCCCCUUGAUCUUGAGAAUCCAAGUGAAACUAUCCAUAGUGUUCACUUUAUCACUAGAUUGAGAGAUCAACGUAAGUGUUAUUCUAUUGGUUGCUCGAGAAUUCACUUGCUCAUCUUGAAAAAUAGUACUUAGAAUUCACUUUAUCAUCUUGAGAAAUUAAAUAUGAAAAAGAUAUCAUACAAAGAUAUAACAUCAUUAUCAUGCCAUAAUUUCGCAAUACAUUGACACUGUUCUAAUGAUAAAAUCAAUUGUCCCUACGACGAAAAUUCACGAAGUAGCGUCUUACAGGCAAACGAAAGUUGGGCUCAUGCUCCAAGAAACAAGAAGCCAUUCACGGUAAACCCUCCAUCGACACAAAUGGUCUGUCCCGUUACGUAAGAGGCUGUCGGCAUGCACUAGAAGACCACCAAUGAUGACACCUCCUUGGCUCUCCAAUGUGGCCGAGCGGCGUCCUUGCUAUCACCUUGUCAUGGGACUUUUCGUUACUAACUGACUACGAUAACAUGAGUUCAUGUCAUAUCAUGAUGACGAACCUGAUCAAGAUCUAUGUAGUGAUCUGUUUUCAAGCACGAGAGAAAAUUUACAGCCUUAAGAGAUAAUCUUACAGGCUCGGCUUGUGGGGCCAUUAUGUGCCAAGGUGCAAUAGAGUUGCCUCUUAUAUUGUCCUUAGCCCAUUCACAUGCCAAAUUCUUGGUUAAUUAAUUCAUUGCUCCUAACAAUCGACUCGGAGAAAAAAAGAGAGGAAUUUUUUAGCUCCAUAUGAAAAAAGUUCAGAUAGUUAGUUAUGAUAAUAUUAACUUACCUUUGGUUGUCGAGCAAAUUUGUCCAACAUUCAUUGAAACAACGCCGCAAACAGAUGACAAUAACACAACGCUUCCGGCUUCUGAGGCAUUGAGAAGGGGAUGCACGAGUUGACUUAGACACUAAGCUGAUUCGAAGUUAGUUGUCAUGAUGAAUGAAAAAUUUUCCGCUGUAUAUUCCAUGGUCAGCUUUACUCUGUUGGUUUGUUGAUCUACCACACAAACUACUACCAAUAAAAUGAAAACCAAGUAUCAAAUCUAUCGAAAGAAAUGCACAAAUUACGACCUUGUUAUUGAUGUAAUCAGAUCCACAGGAUCAGACUUACUAGGAUGUCGAGCUUCCCGUCGAAGAGGGAGGACACAGUAAGCAUUGGCUUCUCUCGCUCCGAUCUUAAGGAAAAAUCACAAGUCGAACCUGUGACCUGGAAACCCUUUCUCUUCCAAUCUUUCAAGCAUUCAUGAAUAUCCGGCUGCAUUUCUGGAGCAGGAAUACACGGUGGCCCCAAGCCCUUGCUGGCUUCUCCACAAUGGCAUGCCUAAUCAUAGGGGUGAGCAGGUCCAGGGUAGGUAGGGUCUAGACCUGGACCCUGUUCCUUACCUUGUUAUAACCGGUUCUCCUUUUUAGACCCUGUUCCCUACCCUGUUUUCAUUAGACCCUGUUCCCGGCCCACCAUGUUUUUCCGGUCCGGGAACAGGGUUGAUCUUGUUUAUAUUGGAACCUGUUUUGCAUAAAAAUUAACCUUAGAAAAGUAAGUCUAGAUGAGUUAUCUGCUGAAACAAAAAGGCCGAACCAAGCACAUCCUUCGACCAAACUCAUUGGGAACAUGUAUAAAAUUUGGACUCCCCUUGAAGAAAACAACCAAGUAUAUAAUUCGAUCAUCUCGCAUCCCCAUAUCCCACAAGAUACAUCGAGUUUGCCUUAUAUUAAACAACAAAGAUUCCCUCACACUAAAGCAAUAUCUAGUCAAUGAACCACUAAAUCAGUGAGGUCGCCACAAUCACGUACAGCUAGGAACAGACAAGGUCAAUUCAAUACACCUUACAAUCACUCCUUCACUCCCAUCAAGUAGUUAUAGCCUACCAAAGUAUCUGCCUUCUAAGAUCCAUCACUGGAAUACUGAAGGAGUAACAAAGACAUUCUGCCAAUAUCAUAACUUGGCUUCAGGUACAAAAAAAGGAAUAGAACAUUAAUGUAAGUACAUAUAAUAUUAAUGGCAUUAAGGAACAGAACAUUAACUUGGCUUCAAAAUCUUUGAUCGAAGCGAUGGAGUCGAGAAAUAGAAACUCGAGCUGCGGCGUUUUCGCCAAACCAAAAAAAAAAAGAAAGAGAAAAGAAAGAAAGAAAGAAGCAGGGGUGGUCGGGGGAGCUCACCAGGAUAUGAGCGGUGAGGGAGUGAGAAGGGCCAUGGGAGGAGAGGGAGUUGAGGGCGACCUCGGUGGCGGAGUGCUCGGCCUAGCGGAGCGGGAGUGCUCGGGCGGAGCAGAGAGGCAGCGGCAGCUUCGCGAAGGGAGGCGGCGGUAGAUCGGCAGCAGGGGAGCUCGGGAAACAGCGCGCGGUGAGAUCUGCGGGUCAGAGGCGUCGGCAAGGCAACAACAGCAGGUGGAACGACGAGAUUGAACGGAGGCAGCGUCGGUGCUCGGGUGCGAGCUUGGCGGGGGUUAGCAGCUUCGCGAUUUCGGGAAGUGAGGGCAGUCCGACAGCUUCACGAACGAGACCGUCGACUCCUCGUUGGGCCGGAGGAGGUCCCGCCACAGGGCGAAGGCGACGGAGAGCCCGAACGCGCCGGACGGCGAGAAGACGACGCUCGGGACACCGCGGUCGUGGGCGAAGUGGUUGGUCCACCCGAGGAAGAAGUCGGAGACGACCACACAGGGCGGGGAGGGGUGGGACUCGAACCACCGGGAGAGGAGUGGGAGGUGGAGGUCACAGAGGGCGCGGACUUUGGCGACGAAGCGCACCCACGGCGGGUGUGGCGAGGCGGGGGGCUCUGGGGAAGGCAAGACGAGAGGCUGGAGCGAGGAGGAGGAGGCGAGGAAGGGGUCAAGUAGGUGGAGGUUGUCGGGGGUGACGACAACAGUGACGGUGACAGCGGGGGCGGCGGGGCGGGGGAGGAGGAGGAGCUUGGCGGCGGUGGUGCGAGCGUGAGGGGAACUGGGAGAGGAGCUCAGGGAAUUCUGGUUCUUUGUGUCUGCGCCUUUGCGGGUAAAGAUUAAAAUAAAAUUAGGGUUUUGCUGGGGUAAAAACCGGUUCCCAAACCAGUCCGGUCGAACCGGUUCCCGGGUGGGUAAUCUCUCGGAACCGGUUCUCGUUAAACAGGGUCUGAGUUUUGGGAACCAGUUCCGACCUGGUUUUAACCGGAACCGGUUCCCGACCCUGUUUUCCGGGUGGGCCGAACAGGGAACCGGGUAAACUCGGUCCGGUUGCACACCCCUACCUAAUCAUGGUACAACAAUAUGACUACUAAGCCUUAGUACAUGUCGUACCUAGGAUUGUUAUGAACAGGCCAUUUUAGCAAUGCAAUCCUCGAAGUAAUUGAGCUCUCUGUUAUGUCCCUCGUCAUUUUCAUCGAUCGAGUUUUAGAUGGCGAUUAUAUAGAUUUUCUAGCUUAUUAUUUAUAGAAUCCAACAUUACUGAAUUUAGAAGAACCUACUAUCUCUUGGGGCAAGCCUAGCUGAAACGAUUUUUUUCAAGCCUAGAUAGGCUUGAGCCGGGCUACUAAACCCAUUUGUGUUGUUACUAGUUAAACAUUAUAUGAGGGAUGCAAUGGCCGAAAAUAGCAUUGAACGCCUUUUAACCUAUGGCUCCAUGGUGGUGAGCUUCGCAAAAGCUUUCUGAUGUAUAUGAUACAGCCUGCACAUUGUCAGAAGUUAUGUAUGCAAAAUUUCGGGCCUAAGCCAGAAUAGCCCGGAUUUGACUUGGCCGGAGUUAUUUAGCCGGGCUAGUAUAUAAAGGACUAAUCACCCGGCCAAGAAAUUCUAGGCCAUAUUUGUUCUCAUAGGACCAAAAAAGGUACCUCGACGUUUGGACUGCCUAAUCCAUACACAAUUCUACCGUCACACACAUUAUUAUGAAGAAAUAAGAUGCCAUAAUUGACGGUUUUCAGAUGCCUAAUUGAUCAUGUUUGUUCCUCCAACCUAAACCAAAAUAGUCAAUUGAUUAUCAAAAUCAACAUUGCAAAAGAAUGAGGUGUUUGAGUGAGAGAGAGAUCCGAUUCCAUUAGUUCCACCGGUGUCGAGAGCGCUCAUUCCGUGAAGCGACCACCUGUUGUCGUUGUUGCGGCUGCCCCAUCUCCUUGCCGUUCCACUCCCCUCAGGAGCCAUUCUCUUUCUUUCUAAUAUCUGAUUUUUUCCCCUCGUCUCACUUGUUUUCUUUUUGGGUCUAUGCGUCUUUCUAACUAUCCACUGUGUCAUGUAUAAGUACGGGGGAAUUGGGUUCGGCGGCGAUUCCGUGUGGCCUGAUAUUAGGGUCCAGGUGGAUGAAGUCGUACUGCCAUUUGCAGCGUGAGAUCGACAGAAGAUAAAGCAUAAAGUUACCACGUGACCGACGAUGGCCAAAAAGCGACGGAAGCUCGCCGUGUGUAUCCGGCGCUCUCACAUGGAUCGAAUGGAUGCGUGCAAUGCUGGCUCAGACAUUGGGCUUGAGAACACUUGGGCUAGGGAGAAUGGCGAAGCCUGCAGGACGCCACAGUCCCAUUGCAUAGCACGGCCCACACGCCCGACUGGUUUGGUGAACUGAUCGCUUUGAGAAGACCAGAAGCAAUUGGAGUCCUUAGUCCAAUAUCGACUGAGAUCUUAGGAGUCCUUAGUCCAAUAUCGACUGAGAUCUUACAUAAUGCUACUCGAGAAAUUAAAAAUCAAAAGACAUCACGCGAGAGAGGACACAAUUAUAAUACCAUCACCUCACAAUGCAUUGAAAUCGUUCUAACCCUUUGUGUAACUGAUAAAUAGUGACCAUAUAAAUCUACCAAUCAAACUUAUUUUAUUUCUUUUUCUUUUUCUUUUUGGCAUUAUCAUGUUAACUAAAGAUGAACCCGUGUCUAUGGCAUGAUUAUAAUAGUACCACAUACAAUUAUUUCAGCCAAAUCUUUUCUAAGUUUGAAAGCGGUAUUGUGAACAGUCUUUCAGAAAACAUUAUGAAAUAAGAAAAUAAAAACUCUGUAUUUCACUAAUAUAUUGUUUUUUUGUUGAAAAUCUUUGAUGUUUUGCAAAGAUCUAUCAUUAAAACGUAUUUCUGAUAUACGUUAGCGAGAUGAGUGGAUAUAUAUUGUGUACAAUGUUUUCCUUUAAUUUCCUAAUAAUUGGAAUGUCAUUAAAAAGUUCAAGAAAAUGCUUAUUUAAAUGGAUAAAUUCUGUUGAAGCUACCUAGAAAAAAAAAACAUAGCUUUUUAUAUGAUAAAUUUAUUGGACCGUGUUUGUCAUGUCAAUCAUUGCUUGUCAAGUACAUAUAUUUAAAAAAAAAAACAAAACACAUGCAUAUUUAAAUUUAGGCAAUGGCAUAAACAUAAGAAAAAGUUUCACGAGAAGCUAAUAAAUGGAGGCUUAAAAGUGAGAAUAGCAAGUGAGGGAAAAUGUACUAAAUUAGUCAUGAUUUUUUUUUAAAUUUUAUUAGUAGAAUUAUAAUUUUUUUUGGGUGAAAUUUUAAUGUAGUCUUUUUUAGUUAAUUUUCAUGUGAAAAUGCUCAUGUAAAGGUCUAUUUAUUAUCAAUUGUCUUAAAUAGCAUAAUCGGCCCUGAGUUGUGGUUACUGUUCAUCUUCAUUUCCUUCUUCUGUUCAUUUUGUUCAUGUCCUUCUUCUUCAAGCACAUGGUCGCGCAAAUCAGCACCAAGUUCAUCGACCCUCUCUCCGAAUUGAACCGUCAUGGUGCAGACCACGAACCCUUCGUAGCUCAUCCCCACCACAUUCAUCUUCUUCACGCCAAUUGCCUCCAGCUGCACCCAAUACUUUCUCCUCCAUUAGAGCAAUUGCGCACUGGGCUUGGAAUUGCUCCGUCCGCUCAGGCCUCAUCGUGCAAGAGUCUACAAAGAAGACAAAGUCAGGGACGUACACGUUGAAGCAGGCAGCCAGCGGGGAGACGAAGUCAUUCCACUCGGCACUAUCACAUUCCCUUGGCGCCAAUGCCGGGGAGGAGGUGGAGGAGGAGGUUGGGCCUUAUUUGUGAUAUUGGCGAGAUUUGCACUCCUAUUCAAAGAAAGGAGAGAUUGUAAGUAAAUCUGUAUAUUGACAGUUUUCUUAUUUAUUGGAGUUUCCUAUUUUUGGGUUUACUUGUUUCCUUUGUUGUAGCAACCCUUGUGUACAAAUUGCAAAAGAAUGUUAUGACAAAAAAAUAAGAGAAUUGAGAGUUUUGUCCGAGGCCAUAGGCACAUUGCUAAACCUCACAAUUCUUGUGUUCUCUUUUGUGAUUGCUUUAUUAAAACUCAACAUGGUAUCAAAGCAUGUUUGAUUCAAUCUAUGAUUUUUUGGGUUUGGUUUUUUUUGCACAUCUAAUUGUCUUGAUCUACUUAUGUUUGGGUCCUUUCCUAUUCUGACGAUCUGUGUUCUUUGGUUAGUGCUUGUUCCUCUCUUUGUUGCUGUCAUAUCCUUGUUAUUACUACCAACACGCCAUGGAGGGCUCAACGAAGUCCGGAGAUGCAUCCAACACAACAAAGGUGCAUGAGACAAACAACCAAUGAUUGACUAUGUUGUUGCUAAACGAAAGAAACUACCUUCCUUUGUCACGAGCUGUAACAGUUGCUCUUAGGGGGUAGAUUGAAGCUUGGUCACAUCAAUGAGAAGAUUAGAGCACCUCCCGCAACAAAUCCCAGAUUUGAUGAAUGGCAAGCCAAUGACCAUAAUGUAAUGUCUUGGAUAUUCAAUUCCAUGGGGCCGGUGAUCUACAAGAUAUUUGCAUAUUUAGAGUCAGCCAAGGCAUUGUGGGAUUUGAUAUAUGAGAUGUAUGGUCAAGCCAAAAAUGCACCUUGGAUCUUUGAGACGAAGCAAGGAGUCGUUUGUUCUAAGCAAGGCACAACACAAUCUUUCACUGAAAAAUUGGGUCGUAAUGCCAUGUCUAAACCUAUGAAGCUAUCCUAUGAAAAUUAGGCAACAAUACACAUUGCUUCAAAUCCAGUCUUCAUGAUAGGACCAAACGCAUAGAUGUCGAUUGUCACUUUAUAAGGGAAAAGGUUCAAGACAAGAUGGUAGAGACACCAUAUAUUCGUAGUAAGGAUCAACUUCCUGAUGUGUUCACCAAAGCUUUUAUCCAAUGGAGUAUUUCAAGAUAUGAUGAACAAGUUGAUCUCUAAUGAUGUAUUCGCUCCAACUUGAGGAUAAGUAUUGGUGAUAUUGGGGGGAUUUGCGCUCUUAUUCAAGGAAAGGAGAGAUUGUAGGCAAAUUUGUAUAUUGAUAGUUUUCCUAUUUUUUGGGUUUGCUUGUUUCCUUUGUUGUAGCAACUUUGUGUACAAAUUGUAGAAGAAUGUCAUGACAAAAAAAUAAGAGAGUUGAGAGUUUUGUCCAAGGACAUAGGCACAUUACUAAAUCUCGUAAUCCUUGUGUUCUUUAUUGUGAUUGACUUACUAAAAUUCAACAGGCCUCACCAGCUUGGGACUCUUGGGGACACAACAUCGCAUCACCAUGCCGUCAUUGAGGUCGCCAGGUUAGUGACGGUGGACUCGACGCCAGACAGCAAGAAGGAGAAGUGGAGGCACUAGUCCCUCAAUGCCGUGAAGCUAUGACACUUGGUCAUUGGACUGAACCUUAAAGCUCAAUGCUCUUUUUGCGACCGCUUCCCUCCUCCUCUAGAAGCAGAGCAAUGGUGGUGAUGCGAGAGGCGGGUGGUGAUGCCGAUUUACAGAGACAUUCAUAAAGCGAGGACGACGACGAUGUUUCAAAGGUUCGAAUUGGUUAAGGUCGUGGUGAGGGUCGCUUCAAAAGUGCUGGAUAAGAGAUAAGAGGUGUAUGUUUUUGAAAAAAGAUGAACGGUACAAAAUAAGAAAAAAGAAGAAAGUUUAGAAAACUAUAUUAAAAAAAAAAAGGAAACGACAUAAUUUUGCCUACAUCAAAAUACCGAUUGUCAAAUAUUUGAGAAAUAAGGUAAAUCGGCGAUGAAUAACUGUCAUCCGUCAUGUUACUAUUUUCUAAAAAACUUGACUGGAGUAUUAUAUUAAAAUUUUAUUAAAUAUUCAAGAUUACAUUGGUAAAAUUUAAAAAUUAAAAAUUAAAAUGACAUCCUUAUAAUAGCUUUAUGACUCAGAAGGUGAGAGUAAAUGAACAUAAGAGUAGCUUCUACUCUCCCUUAUGUACGAACAAGCAAUUGUCCACCUGCACACGUGAAUGUACAGAGAUGUUGCCAUUAUUGAUUAAUAAACCUCUUAACAAAGUUGGACUCAUGCUCUAGGAAAUAAGAAGCCAUUCACGGUGAACCCUCCAUCAACACAAAUGGUCUGCCCUAUUAUGUAAGAGGCCGCUGGCAAGCACAAGAAGGCCACUAAAGACGACACCUCCUCCGGCUCUCCGGUGCGGCCGAGUGGCGUCCUUGCUAUCACCUCCUCGUGGAACUUCUUGUCACUAAGUACCUGCAACGAAAUAUGAGUUAACAUCAGAUCAUGAUGGCGAACAUGGUCAAUACUGAUGUGGUGAACUAUUUUCCUGCAUGAGAGAAAAUUUAAAGCCUUGGUAGAUCAAAUUACAGGCUCGGCUAGUGGAGUCAAUAUGAACCAAGGUGCAACAGAGUCGCUUCUUAUGUUGUCCUUAGCCCAUUCGCAUGCCAAAUUCUUGGUCAACUGGUUCAUUGCUCCUGCCAAUCAAUGCGGAUAGAAAACAUAAAAACAAACGCAAUUUGUUUAGCUCCAUAUUAAUAGUGUUUAGAUAGUUACUAACGAUAAUGCUAUUACCUUUGGUGGCUGAGUAAAUUGAUCCGACGUUUAUUGAGACAACGCCACAAACGGAUGACAAGAACACAAUACUUCCAGCUCCCGAGGCCUUGAGAAGGAGAUUUAUGCACACGCAAAGUAGCCCCUGUGAAAAACAUUGCGUCUCAAUCAGCAUGUUAUUGGACAAAUUGGCCAUCUUUCUUGGUUCGACUCUUGCCAACUCAUCUUCUCAUGAAAGGCAGUACUCGCAUUAUCAAAACAUGCCAGUACCUUCUUCAGAAACACAUAGAACUCCAAAAGAAAAGUAAACCCCUCGAAUAUCUUUGCAAGUGCAUGUAGAACCAACCUUGGUAACAAGAACUUCCUUGAAGAAUUCUUCUGAAGAAAUCAUAUGAGCAAAAGAAAAAAACAUAAACUAAACCAUUCAAUCGCAGUAUACAUCUGACCAAAAAAAAUAAAAAAAAUCGCAGUAUACAAAAUAGUCAUCUUUAUCCACUCUUUCUGUAGAUGACCCAUAGCAAAAGACCUCGCAUUUCUUCUUGUCAAAUAUGUGGUUACGCCUCUUCAUCAUCCUCAACCAGAAUCCUCUUGCACGCUUCGCAGCACAUGAAGGAUAUCCCAGCAGCAGGCACCAACUUCAUGCAACUAGGGCCUAAACCUCUAUAUAGACCUCCAACCCCUUCCUGCUCAAGUAUGCUCGCAAGAGCAUGAACCACGUUUUUGUACACCUGCCUACCGCUGACUGGUCCCACUUGCAUAUGCUUCCGAGCUACCUCCAAGGGGAAAGUUGCACUACUCGAAAUAGCGCCAGCUAAUGAUCCGAUGAGAAGAGUCUCGAUGUUCCUAAUCUUCUCUUCCUUAAAAAACUUCCGAUAUUAAAAAACUUCCGAUAUGCCUUUCUCGACGUGUCGUAAGCAAAAUAGUUGGUGGCAGCAUAUGGAAUCACUCCGAUAAGACUAGGGGCGAGGCCUCUAUAUAAUUCUGCGGGUCCCUCGUCCCUCACUAUUUUCAAGAACGCAUCAAACAUACCAUCGUAAACUCCCCUCUGCAAUAUGGAAGGCUCGUGUUAACAAUGACAAGAUUCAAUCAUAUUGUUUUAGCAUGCAGCACUAUACCUGGACUGUGAGUCGAAUUUUGACCAACUCAAGAGGAUAUGUGUAUAUUGUUGAGCUCACACCAGCACAGGCACCUGCAACUAAGGAGGCAGGAAGGGGAAGCUUUGGCUGUUCCCCAGGUUUAUGCGACAACUGUUUGUUGACUGUAUCAUAAGCAAAUAGCUGCAAUACACAGGACCAAAAAUUCAAUUGAUAAUUGAAAGAUUGUAGAAGCUGGAGAGAUUAAACCUGGCAACAAGGAUACAAGGAACCAAGAGAAAUCUUGGGCAUAGUUAAAUGUCAAGUUCCUAAUAGUAGAUCUCUUCAAACUGCAUGCCUACCACAUAAUGUUUAUAUGAUUAAUUUCCAAGAAGCCCAACAAAGCAAAACUUAAGCCCACAACUAGCGGCACACUACUUUACAAGUCAAAUAAAUAUUCACAGCAGAGGAUAACAGAUUGAAGGCCAUUGUCUAGCAGUCAUGAACAAACCUUAAUGACAAUCGACAGGAACAUCAGGUAGGGAAAACCAUAAUAGAUACAUUAGCUAUUUAGAUUACAUGGAUGCCGGAUAGAUUGUAAAUAUUGUAACGUAGGAGCCAAUGCAUGUGACCUCCUGAAUGAUCAAGUCAUUGGCAAUAUUCUUAUAUACCAAGAUGAUAACAAGUUCAAUUUUCCUUCCAUGAAGGAAGAUCAAGAAUUAUAAUGGUGACUUGAGAUUCAAAAACAAAGUUCUCAGAAAAUGUGCGAACCACACUUAAAUAGCUUACUUUAAUUGAGUUCCCCAUAAGAUUUGUGAUGAUCUGCUGAAAUCUCCCCGGAUCACCAAUCAACUUCUGCGGAACAUUUUCAGAAAUGUAAACUGCUAGCUGCAGAUUUGAAGGGGUGGAAAUUAUAAGAUAAUGACUCAGGUGAAUUAGCAGCACCAUGUAACAAAGCCAGUCAAUACCUCCACUCCUUUUUCUUGAGAUUUUUCCGAGAAGAGGGACAAGACAUUAUCCAAUAUGGCCCUUAGAUCAAACUGCACAGCCUCAAUCUCAAUCUUACCAGAUUCAAUCUUCGCUUGGUCCAAGACCUCAUUUAUAAGUGAAACCAAAUUUGUGCCUUUGAAAAUGUAGGAGUCAACUUCAAUGAUAUAUCACCAUAAGAUUCUUCUUGUUGCACAUUAAUAAGUCCGUAACUCUUUAAAGCCUGUCCACAUCAUAUGAGAAGUCAUCAACUUCCCUCAGCAGCUCUUUUAACACGACCAGAAACAGGGGCGUCCACCAAUUUUAGAUCUUUUCCUUCAUCUGCAAUAUGACACAUGCAGCACAAAAUUUAGAAUAAGAAUGCUGGCAAAUAAACCCUUUAGUUUAUCGAAAUUGCUUGGACAAGUUUUGCUUCCAACAUUCCAACAGGCUUUCACUCUAGGUCACUGAACAAGAAAAGGUAUUAACCCUCCUAGCAUAAGGACAAAACAUUGAGAUUUUGCAACCUCGUUUCCAAAGAACCAAUAUACUAUUAACAUGAGGCUAAAAUUACAAUAACAGCUAUACUACACAAGUUGUAAUCAAUCAUUCCUCUUGAUCAAAUUACUUUCAAACACUAUCUUCUCCAAGAUCGCAUGUGCAAGCUCCAUACAAGAAGAUACUAUUUGAAGAACUAGAAAUGGUUCGAUCCACAUCUGCGAUAUCAUAGUUAGGACUUUCCCACAUUAGGCCUAAAUAUUUUGAUGUUGAUCCUAGAAUAUAUUCUUCAUUUUUCCAUCUUUUUCCAUCUUUCAUUGAAGUUAAAGAAGAACGAGGCAGCUCAGAUCCAAUCACCAAUAGCUUGAAAGGGAUUGUCCCAACUGCUAUUCUAACCAUUCCUCUCAUAAGGAGAUAUUCUGUUACCAGCUAUUUGAAUGCAUUUCUAACGAAGAAAAAUGAGUCAAUGAACCAAACUUGUAGUUCAGUAAAUUUCUUCUACUCUCAAUUUGCUUCACAUUUACUGGGAUUUCCCAUAUUCACCGCUUUCUUAAUCUGACAAGUCACCGUUUCCAAAGAACCAAUAUAAUAGGUUGGUUGCACACAGUGGACAGGGUGAAAACUUGGUCUAACAUUGAUAGCACCUGUGUGCUAUGCGGAAAACAUGAAGAAUCUCGAAUGUACUUGCUCUUUAAGUGUGUAUUCUUAAAGCAGAUUUUGGAAACAAGACUCUUAAUGCUGAUGUUAAGUGUCUGUGGAGAAAUUGGCGAGUUCUUGUUGGCUAGCUUUGCUGUGAUCCGGUGGCAUGGUAUUUGAGUUUGCAUCUUGUUUUUUCUGGGUAGUAUUUUGCUGUUGCUACUGGUAGUGUAGAUGGGGAAGACUAUUAUGUCAUGUUGUCAUUCGGUGCGUGGGGUCAUCAGAUUGAAAGUCAACCUGAUGAAUUAUUCUCAAGUUAUCAAGCUUUCCUAUUAUGAUAGAUUGCUCAAAGGGAUCUCCCAUCCUUUACAUCGAGCAGGGACGAAAGUUCCCCCUAGUGAUCGACAGUGCCGAGUAGACAGGCCAUUGCUCAACAGAUAAAUGUUAAUUUAGGGAUAGCAGACUAAUCUUAUCCAAAAGUUCACAAAUACAAGAAGGUUUGGCACCAUGAUCCAGCUGUAUAUGUGGGACAGUAUGCUGCAAUGGACUUGUACGGGAUGUGACCUCCCUUGUUUUUUUUUUUUUCCACAGGUUGUCCAAUAAAAUGAAGACUUACUUAAUAAAAAAAGAUAUUGUUAAAGUUUGUGCUCAAUGAAUGCGGUUCAAACAGUCAAUGACACAUGGAAAUUUUAUAAACUCUAUUCAUCUUACCAGUUUCCGAAAACCAUUCUCCAAUGAGCUUAUGCGUUGCUGCAUUGCUUUGAGAGCACUCUCCAUAUUCUCCACCGAGCUACACCAUGGAAAUUGACACCGUGAACAACUGCUGUCUUGUGGAAUUAUUCAUAACAAAUAGACAAAUAUCCAUUCGUAACACUUUAGGUACUAGUGCAUAUGAAUGUCAGAAUCAAUUACCAGACUAAUCAGAUGCAUUCCCUUGAUCUAACGCGACAUAGAAAAGUCAACGUAAAGCUGGAAUACAUAUUAAUCCAGUUCAUAGAUAGCAGAAGCAAGUCAAUCAGCAGCUAUCUCUAAAUGCACCACUUUCAGUGAUAAAAAGAGGAAAAAAAAAAGCUAUGCGCAGGUAUGACACUUUGCCAAACAGAAUCAUGGAUUGAUGGCACAUGAUACUUGAUGAUUUUUUUAGUUGGAGAGACAAUAUGGAUCACAAUUCUACUAGAGGAAUCACUUGAUGCAUAUAAGAUACUGCCAACAAACCAAUUGAACUAUAUUCACCUUUGAAGAUUGUUAGCCCAGCGAGAUAUAAGAAGCUCCACCACUUUUCCGAUCUGUCCAGCAAAGAGCAAUAGAAGAACAUAAGCAAAAAUCAUCUGUCAUGUAUCCAUCACAUUCUAGUUUCACAUCACAGAUAUCUUUUUGUCCUACUACGUGCAAACUGUCAUUGACCACAUAUUCCAGGAUUCAAGCAGAUAAUUAUGUCCAGGGCACUUCUUUGAAAUUUUAUAUCUUCUUUUGAUCCAUACUCUCCAUAACAACAUGAAAAGCCUAAAUCAUGUUCUCAGCAAAAACUUUUCACAGGAAAACCCCAGAAUUGUCAGCAGGUCAUUUUUACCACUCAAACGAUAGUUCUCUAUAUAUCUUGCAGCAAGUUACUCAUGUGGAUUUCUAUCCAGAAACUGACUGGACUUUUAAUUGAAGAGAUCAGCAAUCGAUAUACAAUGACAACAGUAUUUGUAUGUCCAAGUAGGCUACUUUACUUGUCUUACCUCUCUCUGGCCAUCCUCCAACAUAAAACAACUACUUGGCACGAAACCCCUCUCAGACCCUUUCCAUUCUUGACUGUGUGGAGAUCAGCAAAAGAAAGAACAAAAAAAGGCAAGAUAGGAUAAUUUAGCAAGCAGGAGAGCAAAGGGAAUGAUAACAGAUCACUUGCUAGGUAAAAAAAUCUAACAGGGUUCAAUUCCAAUAUGGAGAAAGUCCUGCAAUUGGCGUAAUGCGAAAUCGCAUGGCAGAUUGAAGACAACAACAUUUGAUAUAUGUACGUUUUCACAUAAAAGCCGCAGCACAACCCCACAAACAAAUGCUAACAAAAUGCUAUACUUCGACGCAGGCUUCGAUCUGACCAAAAAAAAAAAAAAAGAACUUCAGGCUUCGCAUCUUCAACUCAAGAGCUCGAGCAAAGCUGAAACCAGCACGAUCAUCAAACAAUUAAUCAAGCAUUGAAACAUUAAGACGGAAAGAGUGAGCCUACAUGUUUUGAUCCAAGCAUGGCCUCUUGGAUCCACUUGGUUCAUCCAAAAAAGUGGAAUCCGAAGCUCUCUUUUGCGUGGACAUAAUUUUUCUUUUCUUUUGUAGAAUUUGACAAGAACUGAGAAAGUGUCGGAAUUUUGGGAGUGUUCACCCGCUGAAAGAAUGUUGCUUGUAGAGCUUAACAAGAACUGAGAAAGUGCCUGGAUUUUGGGAGCGUUCGCUCGAAAGAAUGUUGCAGAGAAAAGAACAAAUCAGUAGACAGUUUAUCCGCGAACUCAAACUCAAGAGGGCAGAGAGAGAGAGGGGGAGGUCGCACGCCGGUCGGUUGCUCGCGGUCGUCUCGCCGGUAUCCUCCUGGUUCGCCGGUUGCUCGCGGUGGUUCGCCGGUCGGAAGAGGGAGGGCAGAGAGAGAGAGAGGGAGGUCGCACGCCGGUCGGUUGCUCGCGAUCGUCUCGCCGGCCGCUCGCGGUGGUUCGCCGGUCGGGAAGAAAGAGGGUGGAUCAGUGGUUCGUGCGCGCCACGUCAUCCGCUGACGUGGCGCGCACAUACCACUCAGGUACCGACACCUGUCCCGAGCGGGACCCCCUGGAAAAUGAGAAAAGGGCUGGUAUUCGGCUGGCUCGGCUCGGCUCCACCUACAGAAAAGAAAGGACGGUAGCCUACGGCCCUACGUUUGUGCAGAAGAUGGACAGCGGACCCACGCCUCCACGUGGCGCUUCAUGAAUGGCCGGAGAGAGAACGUCUUUGUUGUAGAGAGGAGGCCGUCCAUUUUCUUCUUCAGGGAUGGGAGGAGGACAGGAUAUGAGCGAGCGAGAGAGAAAUAAAUGCGUGCAGGCUGUUAUGUGCAGGUCUAGUUGAUAGGGGAGAGGACAAAGGACCGAAACUGAGCCCACUUCUCUGACGCUCUCUCUCCUCUUUCUCUCUUUUGUCCCCCUUCCCAUACACGUGGCACCGCGUGAGUGGUUCGGGACCACGUUGACGUGGUGGUCCCGGACCACCCAAUAUUUUCUCGGAUUCCUGACCGAGGUGACGCUAGGUGGGAUUUGGGAGCUACUCCCUGCAUAGGAUAAGGUUCUAGAAGAAUAUGAGGAAGUGAGGGAGAAAAGCACAAAGAAGGAGUUGGGAGUAAAAACCAAUUUUAGAGAAAGAGAGAGAGAGAAUGGCUUCUGAGGGGAAGAGGACUGCAAGAACAUGUAGCGCUCACAAUGGCGACAUCGACAAUAGGUGGUCGCUUCAGGGAAUGACCGCCCUCGUCACUGGCGGUAGCAAAGGAAUUGGGUCUCUCUCUUUCUCCUACUCAACGAACACUUCGUUUUUUUAUGUUGUUCAUUUAGAUGAUCGAUCAACUCUUAUGGUUUAGGUUAAGAAAAAAACAUCAUAAUUUAGGCAUUUGAAGACAGCCAAUCUUGUGCCUAUGGCAAUCAAACUAAUUUUAUAUCUAUUAACUAACGACAAACCUAGAAGCAAAUCUCAACCGUCCACAUAAAAUUAGUGAAUUGAUCUUGUAAUGACCCAUGGAUGAAGUUGGGAGGAAGGUAAGGUUGCAUUUGUGUUUUAGAGUAUGUGCUUAAACUUAUAUGACUACUGAUUAGGGUGCUUAAAAUAAAUUAUUUGUUUUUACAAUUUCCAUUUUGUGUGUGUGUGUUUUUAAUUUUGGAAUAUCUAUUAUAGCAAAAUGGGUAUAGUUGCCCAACUUAGGACUAUCCGGGCCAGAAAAAUUCAAGUCAGGCAUGUUAGAUAGGGCUUUCAACUAUAGCAGGUGCUUUUGAAUCUGAUUAUAUUCGAUUUCAUAGAUAAAAUGCUAGACAACUAAUUUCAUGAUCACUCAAAACUUUAUAUGACAAAGAUGAUGAGAGAUCAAUUACUUCGAGGAUUUGUAGCUGGAUAGGCUGGUUUAUGCAUUUUUGUUUUUUUAUUUAAAGUUUUGUUGUCUUUAGAUGUUAAUAGCUCAUAGACAUGUCGCUAGCUAGUAGAAUUUGCAUUCUCCGAUUGUCAUGAUCCAGUGCAUUUAAAGGCUUUAAUCAUCUGUUAGACUUCAAUUGCCUGUGUAAUCAAAUGUUCCGCACAUUCCAAUGUAUCACCUGUCAACUUCUUCUAUUGGCAAAGAAGAAGGGCUUGAUCUGUUCUCGUUUGCAAUUACAAGUUGGUAAAUGGUCAUAAUGUCGUCCCGUGCUUAGGCGUGCUAUUGUUGAGGAAUUAGCGGGGCUUGGGGCUACCGUCUACACCUGCUCCAGGACUGAAGCUGAACUCAAUGAAUGCUUGAAAGAGUGGAAGCGUAAGGGCUUCCAAGUGGCGGGUUCGGCUUGCGACGUUUCCUCAAGAUCCGAGCGAGAGAAACUGAUGCUCGCCGCGUCCUCCCUCUUUGACGGCAAGCUCAACAUCCUAGUAAGCGUCGGUCGUCUUUGACCCCGUGGAUCCAAUAACAACAUUGAUAAGGUCACGAUUUGUGCUUUUAUUUCGAUAGAUUCUGUUCCGUUUUUCAUUUUCUUGGGAUUGGUUUGUGUGUUAGAUAAACAACGUUGGGACUCUGGGGACAACCGGUGGAAUGCCGACCGUGGAUUGCACGGCGGAAGAUUUCUCCUUCAUUAUGACUACUAACUUCGAAUCGGCUUAUCACUUGAGCCAGCUUGCGCAUCCUCUUCUCAAGGCUUCGGGAACCGGAAGCAUCGUGUUCUUGUCAUCCGUCUGCGGUAUUGUUUCACUCAGCGUCGGAUCAAUUUAUUCAGCCACAAAAGGUGAAUUGAUAGUAUCAUGAGCAACUAUUUAAACACUUUUAAUAUGGAGCUAAACAAAUUCCAUAUGUUUCUUACUUUCUCAACUCAUUGUUAGGAGCAAUGAACCAGUUGACCAAGAAUUUGGCGUGCGAAUGGGCUAAGGACAACAUAAGAAGCAACUCUGUUGCACCUUAUUUUAUUCUGACUCCAUUGACCGAGCCUGUAAUUUAAUGUCCCAAGGCUUUAAAUUUCUAUCUUGACCAUUUUUCCCAUCGUGAUCUAACGUUAACCCAUCCUCCGUCGCAGCUACUUUGUAGUGAGGAGUUUCAUAAGGAGGCAAUAGCCAGGGCGCCGCUCGGUCGCACAGGAGAGCCGAAGGAGGUGUCGUCACUUGUGGCCUUCUUGUGCUUGCCGGCAGCCUCCUAUAUAACGGGGCAGACCAUUUGUGUCGAUGGAGGAUUCACUGUCAAUGGCUUCUCCUUUCCUAGAGCAUGAGUGUAACUUUGUUCUGUGUCUGAGAUGUUUGUCGUGCGUUGCCGUCGCAGGGAUAAAGAAGUUUAUUAACCAAUAAUGGCAACGUCGCAAUACGUUUCAAUGUGUACGUCGAUCAUUUGUUGACCGCAUAUAAGGGAGAGUAUCGUACUCCCACUUUGUAUUCCCUUUCGAGCUCUUUUAUGCAAUUGCCUAUGAGUAAAAUUUAUGUACUUGACAAGCAAUGAUGGAAACAGCAGACAUGAUAUACUACAACAGCACUAUCCGAGAAUAUAACAUUUUUUUACACAAGACAAACGAAGUUUGAUUCACAUAUAUGUUAUAUCUGUUUUCCAUAUAUCUAAACGCUAAAUCAUAAAAUCCAAAGUGUAAUUUAUUAUUAAUUCCUAACACGAAAUUGACCAAGUAUGUUUCGUAGCAAUUGUAUCGUCAAAAUCGUCUUUGUAAUGCUAUGUUAAUAAUAUUUGUGAAAGAAUGCCUCCUUUUAUGGCACUGCCUUGGUCAAAGAGAUGUUUUAAUUUGAACAUGAGAUCCACAACAUCAAGAUGGUAUGAAUCGAGAAACUUGAUGCAUUGGAAAUAUAGAACCACUGAAAUUAACAUAUAUAGCUUUAUAUAACCGUAGCAAGGUAGAGGUUAUCACUAGCUUUGCCUUCAUAUGAGUGAAAGAUGUGAUGAUGAGGUAAAAUUCAAUAACGCAGCCUGAAAACAUGCCGGAAAAUUCUUUUUUGUGAUCUAAAAAUAGCAUCAAAUGCCUUGACCCUACAGCCUCACAGCGUUGAGCUUUGUAGGAGCUUCUGGACGGGCAAUACUGACCACAUAACUCUGGGUUGAUCAAAUCUUAUCUCUAGUUAAAGUAGAGGUGCACGAAAUUUCGGGCCAAAGCUAGAAAAGUCCGGAUCAGAGACGGCUAAUUCAUUUUGAUUCGGGCUAGUGUAAUUAAGGACUAGGUGCAACCUACAAUCAUUACGAUCAAUUCGUUUUGGAUGGGCCAAGAAAUACACAAGUGCUUGGCCAAGCACAAUCCUACUAUCUCUGAAAUUAUUAUAAAGGAAUGAUAUAUCAAAAUUGACAAUUUUCAAAUGCCUAAAUCAUGAAGUUAUUUUUCUCAACCUAAACCAUAACAGUUAAUCGAUCAUCUAAAUCAACGACAUAAGAAAAACGAAGUGUUUGAUGAGAGAGAGAGAGAGAGACCCGAUUCCUUUGGUACCACCGAUGACCAGGGCGGCCAUUCCCUGAAGUGACCACCUGUUGUCGUUGUUGCCGCUGCGACUGCUGCAUCUACUUGCAGCUUGCAGUCCCCUUCCCCUCACGCCGCAUGUGAAUUGCGAACCACUCCCAACGUAAGGUCAUAGAAGUCUGCUGAGGGUGAGAACUGUAGCAAUGACAAGACUUAGGACGCCACAACGAUUUCGAACCACAGAAUUUGCAUUCUAUCAUGGAAGUAGGCAAGUCCCACACCUAUCUUUUAUCGAAGCACCACGUUACUUGUGUUUUCAUGUUACUCAGGUUGAACUGAUAGUUAUUCAUACAGUUGUCAUAUAAUGCCAACCUUCAUGAUCAUCCUGGUGCAAUGUGAGUAACAUGAUAGUGUAGAAACAUUCCCAAAUGUGAAUCACCAAAUAGAAAACUAAUGAAUUACUAAAUCCAGAGACUUAGUGUGAACUUUUCCAAGCCCAUACCAACCGUAUUUUUCAAGUUUUUUAAUUUUAAUUAGCAUAACAUGUAAAUUAGUUUAUUUACGAGUCGCCACUCAUCAAUUAUCAGUUGGUCGUAUUUUUCGAGUUUUUAAUUUAAUUAGCAUAACAUGCAAAUUAGGUUAUUAUUAUUAUUCUUCUUCUAAUUUAAAUAAUUUAGUUUUUAAUUUAUUUUGAAUUAAUAUUAAAUUAAUAAAUUUAGUGGCAAAAUGAUGUCGUUUUGCACCUUCAUUGCUGAGUUGGCUUUUGGCAAGCCACGUAGAUCACAUAUAUUAUUAGAAAAAUGCCACGUUGGGUUUUCGGCUACUUUCACUAGAUUUGGCACUAAUGUGUCCCACUAUUAAAAGAGAGUGGCAUUUAAGUGUACAUUUUAGAACUUUUAGCACUAAAGUAUUCACUUAUGCCAAGUUUUGGCAUUCUCGAUAUUCUUUGUCCAACAUCUAACUAUUAAAGAUAUGUUAAAAAAGUUUAGGUUAGUGCCUGACAUAUGCCACAUAGGACCGCCAACAUCCACGUCAAUUAUUUCUAAUCUAAAUUGGCUAAAUAAAUUGAAGUGGUAUCAAAGUAAAAAGGUUUAGAACUAAAGUUUAAAACUGAAUUUGUAUUAAUGCAAUAAGUUUAUGACUUUUUUGAUACUGUUCCCAAUUAUCAACGUACUACUUCCCCUUGUUAUGUGGCCAUUGUAUCAGACACGUUAAUUGCCAGCCUAAUCUAAGUGGGCAAUGAUAGUGAUAGCCACCCUCCUAAAGGCAACGGGGAUUCCCCGAGGAAUGUUGACAGAUUGCUAAGUGAUUGUGAAUAGCUUUGCCUAACAUGAGCCUUCCCAAAUUUACCAAUCACAACUUAAUUUUUCCAAUAAAUUAUUCAAGCAAUAUUAGAUUAAAGUUGCCACUAACCUAUUAAGUGUCGAGUAGUAACCCGGAUAGGAUGUAGUGGUCCAUCUUGCUCCCAAGAACCAAAUUUAAUUAUGCUAUAUGAAUCUAACAUUGUUUUUUUACCCUUCUCUUUAUAAAAUCGCUUUAUCAUAUUAUAGCCUAAAAGUGAUCGUGAAUGGUUCUCAAGCAAUAAAAUAAACAAUCAGGCAAUAAACAUCAAAUAACGAAAUAAUAAAUAUCUAGCAAAUAAAUAAAUAACUAGAAUAAUAAAGAACUCCAGCCGAAUUGGGCAAUAAUUACAAAGCUUUUUCAUAGGCUUUAGGGUAAAACCCUGUGUGCUGUAGGUGAAAAGUCUAAAAGUACUCAUGCAAGCUUCCUAAAAUAGACAAUUGUAUCACAGGAAAGUGAAUAUGCAAAUGUAACAUGCUAUGUAAAGUAAAUUCACUAAAUGAAGUGUUUUUUGAAAAUGAGCCAUUAAACAUGGGAAUAGAAUUUAACAUUAUGCAAUCCAAUACUAAGGCUAUAUUUCAUAGUCAGGAUAAAAUUCAAGAUAUGAUAUUAUCCUAUCCUGCAUUUGGUGUCGCUCAAGAUAGGAUAUAGUCGCAUAUAAAUGGUAUAGACCGGAUAAUAUUAUCCUAUGAUGGAAAUGGGAUAAAUGUGGAUGGGAUUUCUAAUAUCUAUAAUAGGAAAGUUUUUUUUUUUUAAUGAAAAACUUCUUAAAUUAACAAAAUUAAAUUAUAUAUCAAUAUAAAUAAUAUUUGAAUUCUAAUAUAAUAAAUUCAAAAUAAAAAAUAGUUAUUUUAAUUUAAUCUUAUUUUAUUUAUAUAUUUGAAUUUAAUUCUAUUUUAUAAUAUAAAUUCAAUAUCUAAAUAUAAAUAUAUAUUAUUACAUAUUUUAGGUACUUUAGUAUUUUAGGUAUAUUCGCAUAGUUUACCAUUUAAUAAAAGUUUAUUAGAGAAUGAUGGAAGGGGAAGAAAGAAAUAAAAAAGAUAUUAAUUGAUAAAAGAGAGGAAAAUAAAAUAAAAUAAAAUAAAAUAAAGUGGGUAAGAGUGUCACGAGAGUUUUUUAUCAUCUCCAUUUGUAAAAUUUGUUUAUUCAUUUUAACUAAUAUACUGUUAAUAUCAAACAAUGUACAUGAUAUGAUAUGAAUACAUUCGACUUAAUUACUGCAAUUACUAAACAUUGAAUAUGAUAUAAUAAAAUCUCUAGAUUUCAUAUCCUAUCAUAUUCAGUCCUAUCCUAAUUAAAAAUUCGAACAAUCAAACGUAAUCUAAAAGAAUGAAUCUACUUAUAUAAUAUGAAUAUGCCCUAAAUGCACCCUCCUACAUAUUUUUGUGAUUAUUCAAAUGAAGAUGCAAUCUAAUUACCAGAAGAAAUGAUUUUUUAAAUUUUUUAUUUUAUAACUUGUGAUUAUGGUAACAAACAUAUGAAUAUCGGAAUACAAUAAUAAUUCAAUUUGACGAAUUUAGUCAUAAAUUUUUUAAUGUUUUGACAAUGUAAUCCAAGGUCGAAUAUAUAUAUUUUUUUGGUCAAAGAUAGAUGAUUCUUUCAUUCACAAGCAAAGAUUACAAGAAGACGAUAGGGUGGAUUCAUAGCAUAAAAUACUAAGAAGAGGAUAGGGAGGUGCCUUGAAAUAGUUUGUGGGAAGGGACUUAAGACGAUGCGAUUUCUCUACCCAAUCAGCGGCUUGGUUGGCUUCUCUCGUGCAAUAAGACAACUUAACGAAAGGUAAGUUUUGUAGCAUGAUUUUGAUUUCAUUAAUCAAGCUUCUCAUAGCCCAUGAGCUUCGGCCUGGCCCAGCGUUGCUUCAACAAGAGAUUGAUUAUCGCUUUGUACUUCCCAAGCACUUCCCUUGUUCUGAAACUGAACUAUGCCCACGUGAGUUGUUGUUCUAUGGGUGAGAAAAUGUAGACCGUGCGAGAGAGCUAGGGCUUCAGCGCACAAAGCAUUCGCCACUUGGAUCUCAGCAGCAAAUCCAUCGAUCAACAGCCCUCUUGAGUCGCACACAACCCCCGCCAUCGAGUUCUUCUCUUCCCCCUUCACCCAGGAGCAAUCGAUGUUGAGUUUGAAGCCAUCUCUGUCCGGCGGUUUCCACGUUUCAGGUGAAGAGCGGUUGCUAGAUCUCUUCUGUUCUUUACUCGGGACCCAUCUGGAGAAGGCCCUAACUUGGGCGUGAGCUAGAUCUGCUAUAAAGUCAAAUUUGGGAGGCUUGGAUAAGAAGAUAUGGUCAUUCCGAAGCUUCCAUAUGAUCCAAAGCGUGCUGGCCACCAUCUCCACUAAGGGUAAGUCGAGUUUUUCAGCAAAGAAAUCUUCAAACAACUUAUCCAUUCAGGUUACUGAGAUUGUUUUGUUGUAGAGGUUGAGUCGCGGGUCAAGCCAUGUAUGUCGGGUUCUUUUGUAGAGGAAAAAGAGAUGCUUUGUUGUUUCAAGGUGUCGAGAAUAGGGUGGGCACAACGGAUCAGGUAAUACUCGCCUCUUAUAAAAAUUUUCCUUUGUGGGUAUUGCGUUUUGACAGAUGCUCCAUAGAAAAAACUUAACUUUGGGAGGGAUUGGGAUACUCCAUAAUCGGGUCCAUAAGGAUUUAGGUGGCUGGUAUGAAGUAGUUGCUUUGUUUGGAUCUGGAGAAGUAAUCAAUGAGCAAAUCCUGUUGUAUCCACUUUUAACUGUAUAGGAGCUGGACUUGUUUCCCGUCCAUAUCAUCCUAUCUUUCUGUGGUAUUGCUGAAAUAGGGAUUGCAAGAAUUUCUUUAACUACUUGGUCGUCAAAAAGUUCACGAAGCUUUGGCUCAUCCCAUGCUCUGCCUUCAUUGCACAUUAAUUUAGCAACUUUCUCAGGAUCAUUUAUAUUCGCCGGCCCGCCUAAUACUCCCCUUGGAAGCCAUUUGUCCUGCCGAAUGUGAAUACGUUCCCCAUCCCCCACCAUCCAUUGGACUUCCGGUUCAAUAGUGUCUCAGCCUAUGAGAAUGCUUCGCUAGCCCCAAGAUGGCCUCUGUCCUGGUUUUGCUCUCCAUAAGUCCCCAUUUGGAUAGUAAACACCUUUUAAUAUCUAGCUCCAUAGUGCUGAGGGUGAUUGUAAUAAUCUCCACGCUUGUUUGUUUAACAUAGCCUUAUUGAACUUAAUUAGGUCUUUAAAGCCAAGACCCCCUUCAUCUUUUCUGGACUUCAAAACUUCCCAUUUCCUCCAAUACAUACAUCUUUUAGAAUCAUUUUGUUUCCACUAGAAGGCUGCAAUCCUUUGUUCAAUGGCUUUGCAUACUGAUAUUGAGAUUUUGAAAAUAGACAUGGCAUACCGGGGAAGAGCCUAUAUCACUGCUUUGAUCAAGACAUCUUUGCCGGCUUUAGACAGUAAUUUUUCUUUCCAUCCUUCAAGCUUCAUGUUUGCUCUUGCAGGAAUCCAUGAAAACAUCUCAUUUUUUGUUUGUCCCCAGUCAGAUGGAAUUCCCAAGUACUUCCUUGUUUUGUCGAUAAUAGGCACACGUAACUCAUAUGCCAUAUUCAUUUUCAAGCUCAGAGGGCAGCCUUGCUAAAAAACACAUGAUUUGUUUAAAUUGAUGGUUUGAUCGGUAGCAUAGCAAUAUUGAUUCAAAAUGUUUGCCACAUUUUGACAUUCUCUGACUGUCCCAUCCAGAAAAAGUAUAGCAUCGUCUGCAAAUAAUAGAUGAGACAGCGUGGGACAAUACCUGUUCAAUUUUAUUCCUUUGAUGCUUCCAUCUUCUAGUGCUUUGUGCAUCAUCCAGGAGAAUGCAUUUGCCAUUAACAUAAAUAGGUAUGGGGACAAUGGAUCUCCUUGUCUUAAACCCCGCGUCGAAUGGAAAUAUCUUGUAUGAUUGCCAUUGAUUUUGACACUAAAGGACACCAUGGAGACACAAUGCAUCACAAGCUCAAUCCAUUUUUUACCAAAUCCCAUCUUCCUCAUACUCAUUGUUAAGAAAUCCCAUUCAACCCUAUCAUAAGCCUUUUGCAUAUUCAGUUUAAGAACUGCAUGGAAUUUCUUUUUGUGAUCUAUAAUCCUUAGCUGAUGCAAAACCUCUUGAACAAUAUAUAUGUUGUCAUGUAUUUGUCGUUCUUUAACAAAGGCGCUUUGUUUAGUAGUUAUUAGCUCAGCAAGGCAUGGUUUUAGUCUAUUUGCUAGCACUUUAGAGAUAAUUUUAUAGCUUAAAUUACAUAAACUGAUUGGCCUAAACUGACAAAUACUUUCUGGAUUUUUCACUUUUGGAAUAAAGGAUAUAUGAGUCUUGUUGAGCAGGGGAUCAAAUGAACCUGAUUCAAAAAAGUUUUUGACCAGAUUGAACACUUCUAGCUUAAUCUCUUCCCAAUAAUACUGAUAAAAUUGUCCAUUAAGGCCAUCCGGACCGGGGGCUUUGAGUGUACCUAGCUGGAACACCGCUUCUUUGACCUCUUCCAUUGAAAUAGGAGCUAACAGGCUUUCAUUCAUUUCUCUAGUGACUAUAGAUGGGCAUAUGUCUAGCAGAGGUUGAAGGUUUCUUGGGCCUGCCGAUUCAUAUAAUGAGCGAUAGAAAUCUUCUAUGUGUUGCUUCAAUAUUUUCUGAUCCUUACACCAAGUAUCUUCAUUUAGUUUCAACACGGAGAUUCUAUUUCUUUGUCUUCGUUGAACCGUUGUAGCGUGGAAAUAUUUUGAAUUCCCGUCGCCCCAUUGAAGCCAAUUUGCGCAAGACCUCAUAUAACAAUGCUGGUUGUUUCCACAGCCGUUCUAUAUUCUCUUUAAGCUCCUGACUUUCCUGCUUGCUGGAAAAUUGGUGAUCCCCAUUCGUAAUCUCAGUUAAUUUUUGUUUGAGCCUUUUGAUUUGGAUAGAGGCAUUAGAAAACUUAUUUUUGCUCCAUGCGGUCAACUCUUGUGUAACGGAAUGUAUUUUCUGAGAAAAAGUCAUAUAACAAUGCUGGUUGUUUCCUCAGCAACGACUUAUGAUGUCCCGACAUUCUUCUUCCUCCGUCCAAUAUGCUUCAAACUUAAAUUCCUUUCUUUUAUUCUCCCGAGCAAGAUGUAAAGAUAACACCAAAGGGCUAUGAUCAGAACCUACCGCUGGAAGGGCGACAACUUCAGCAUUUGAGAAGGUAAUUCUCCACUCCAUUGUACAAAGAGCUCUAUCUAGCCUCUUUUUAACUAAAUUUUCACCUUCUCUAUUAUUAGCCCAAGUAAAAGCACACCCCUUUGUAUCAAUAUCCAUCAAGGAACAAUCGUUGAGCAUCUCUCUAAAGGCCGCUAUUCUAUGUUGAUCAGCUUCCCUUUUCCCAACUUUUUCCCAACUAUAUAGAAUUUCAUUAAAGUCCCCCAUACAGAGCCAAGGAAGUUGAUUAGUAGAAUGAAGAUUCCGAACAUUUUCCCAUAACAUAAGUCUCUCCUGGAAUUUUGUGGAAGCAUGCAUCAUUGUGACUCUCAUUAGUUGUCCACUAUUCGGAUCCUUACAUUCCACAUCCAUAUGCUCUUUUGAACUCGAAUUGAUUUGAAUUUCCACGCCCUCAUUCCACAUCAGCACCAAACCCCCGGCAAUUCCUAUUGGUUGCUCUACGAAUAUGUGUUGAAACUUCUAUCUUUUUCAGACUUUAUCCACCAUCGACUCCUUAUUUUUAGUUUCCAUCAAGAAAACCAAAUCGGGCUUUUCUUGAGCCAUUAAGGCUCUAAGCUCCUAAACUGUCAGGGGGUUGCCCAGCCCCUGACAGUUCCAACUUAGAAUCUUCAUGGUGUCUUUGGUGGCUUAUUAAGGCUAGCCACCAGAGCCCAAUCCUUCCCCUCUCUUACCAACUGCACAGGGGUAUCUAAUAAUUCCAUAUCAUCCAGAAUAUAAGAGGUAGAAACUUCUGCUCUUUUCUGUUUAUUUGUUUUUUGAUAUUUCGGCAUCUUCGUUUUAGAUUCACCUGUGAUGUUCAGUCCUGCAUUGGGUGGGCCUUCGAGUAGCAUCAACUGUUUUCCACUGCCCUCUUUGGCUGAUGAAAGCAUUUCUUUGCCAUCUCUUCCCACCAAUGAAGAAGGGCUAUCUACUCAUUUCUUGUUCCGGGAAAGGGGGUUAAUUGUUUCAGUUUCUGCCCUUGCAGUAACUUCCAUAUUGACUGUCUCCACGGGAGUUUCAGGUAUAGAUUCUUCUUCAUUAGGAACAACCUUGCCAUAAAAUGCUUCCCAAUGUGGACUUUUACUUCUACUUUGAACCAUGGCCCAUACUUUCCUACCUUGUUUGUAGCCCAGUUCGUUGUUUCAUAGGGUAUCUCCUCACAAUAUGAUGCAUAGUGCCCAAUUCGCCCACAUGAGUAACAAAAGUGAGGGAGACGCUCAUAUUUAAACUCCACCCAUAAAUUCUUGUUCCCUAUCUUGACUAAAGCCCCAAUUUUCAGAGGAGCUGUAUGAUUCAUCUCUACUUUAGCUUUCCCUGUCUUAUAGGGACCAUAGCCUUUAGAUGCUAAUUGUAUUUCUUUUACUGCUCCCACUUUACCAGCAACAUUAGAAAAUACCUCUUCUAAGAUCCAUCCCGGGGGUAGUCCAACAAUGUGAACCCAUAACUCAUAUCUAGAAAAAUCAUAGCAGUGUACAGGGAUAUCUGGCUCACAUUGUUUUAGCACUAACAAAUUGCUUGCAAAUGACCACGGCCCAGAUUUCAGGACUCUCUCCUUUUCCUCCUCUGUCUCGAAUACAAACGAGAAGAGACCCAGUUCUUUUUUAGAGCAUUCAACAGCCUCUGUUUUCCACGCCUUCUUCAUAGUGUUGCAAAAUGCUUGAAAAUUCACAUUGGAUUUUGAGUAUAACUUACCAAAGAGAGUAUGACUACAUUCAAUGCGUUUGUUAUGGGGGAUUUCCUGUUGUACUUCAAUUACAUCAUUGGCAGACCAUAAAUGGCCUAAACUCUUGCAGAGAGCAGCAAGACGACACUGAUUUUCCUCAUCAUGCUCCAUUCCGGCAUCAAAUUAGUGGGUUUUUGGGGUUGAUAGUGGCUGAGGGAUGAGGUUAUCUUCAGGACUGUUCUGUGGAUGUCUAAUGGCUUUGGGUAUUGGGUGAUUGAAGGGAGCUUUGCAAGAUAGUGGAGGGGAGGCGAAAUCUGUCGGAAGGUGCUACUCCACGCUCGAUUUCCUGUGAAACAUAAGGGGGGAUUGCAUUUCCGAGAUGGUUUUAGGGUUUGUGUUCUGUAUACCCAUGGAUUUGGGCAAUGAUUUACUAGUUUCGAAUGGUAUGGUUUCCACAAAACUAUGGGAUGGAGCAGUGAUUUAGGUUUUGGGGGUAAAAGCUCCUAUGGGAUUGGGAGAGGAGAACUCAACUAGCGAGAGAGAAAUCUUAAAAAGUGGUUUAAUAGUUCCAAGGUCGAAUAUCACUAAAGUAAAUGUUGGGCAUUUUAUGCGGUAUGGUGAGCUUUGAUGUAGAUCAUUUUUACAAAAAAAUUCUAAAUUUUGUUCUUUCCUUCCUUUCCUUUUCUUUCUCUUUUCUUUUUGCCAGUGGUUGGUCGCUAGCUUGGUGAGGGUCGCCCUCACUCACUACAUGCGAAGGUCGGCCGUGCCUAGGCAAGGCCUAGUGAGGCUGCCUUGGCUUGGGCGAGGGACCCUCACCCAAGCUAGGGUGGCCUCACUAGCACUCACCCUCCCCUAGAGAAGGUCGGCCCUUGCUAGCCAACAAAGUGUAAAAAAAAUUGUAAAAAAUGUCUACAUCAAUGCUAACUGUAUCAUAUAGAAUGGCUGGCAUCUAGCUAGUGAUUUUUGGUCAAAAUUGGUCAAAUAGACUACAUUAGCAAAUUGUCAAAAGGUUUAGGACUCGAUUAGCCAAAUUGAAAUUUUUAGGACUAAAUAGGACUUUAUUAAUAAUUUCCCUGGCAAUUUCCUAUAUAUUGGAUCUCUAAUUAUUUAACAUGUGAUUCAUGAACCAUGAAAUCAUUAACUUAUGUAAAAAGCCAUGUCCAUCCUAACAUGCAAUCGAACAAUCACGAACAAGUGAGGUGCAGGAAACACUUCUAUUGUCGGUCUUCUAUCUUUUUGGAAAUGAUAGGACGAUGCAUGCAAAAGAGUCCAUAUUUUUAUCACGUGAGAUGCAUCCUAAAGAUAAUCAAUUAGGCCCUUCAUCUCAUCCCAACCUGGACAGCACGCAUCUCCGAUAACGCUCAGGAAUUUGGUUCGAUCCCUCGCAUCGUGCAAUCCUGUUUAGUCGAUUAUAGCGAGCUAAGACAAAUCAUGUUCAGGAACUGCGUGGAGAUGGUUUAUGACCAGUUCCUAAGGGUGGCGAUUAGGGACCAAAUAAAAUCAAUAGCGAGCGAAUCAAUAGUCUCAAUGUGUUCAGCAGCUCGAAUAGGAUGGCAUUGUCUCGAUCGAUUCAAACUAGCAAACACAGUCACACUUGUUGUCUCGAUGUGUUCGGCGGCUUGAAUAGGAUGGUAGCAACUCAUUAUCUCGAUCGAUUCAAACUAGCAAACACAGUUACACAGCUUUGCGAUGAGGACUACGACUAAGAGCAAAAAUAUUGGCAACAAUGCCUUUUGCGGUGGCUCGAGAUGGACGCGAUAAUUGCGAUGUGAAUGAUGCUAUGCGAUCAAGUCAAAGGAGAGUCAAGCAGCGGGAUCUGAAUGUUGCUUGUAUUCUCCCCGUGGUGUGUUUUGUUUUGGGUCGAGAGUCUCUUCACAAUUCCACUGAAUAUUCUGCUUGGUCCCGACCGAGAGAAUACAUGCUGUCUCUGGCCGAGGGUGUUGCGGUAUUUGCUGAAAUCCCUUUCAUUGAAGGGUGCUGCUGAGAUUUCAGUAGAGGGUGGCCGGGCUUAUGGGGGCUCGGGCUUGAAAAUUGAAGUGGGUUUUUCUCUUUUAAAUUUAAUUUCAUUUAGCCGGGCCAGUUAAAUUGCAGUUCACAACCAAGCCGAUUUUAAUGGAAUUCAUUUGAUGCGGACAUGUUACUAGUGAACAAAAAAUGGUCAUAUGCCUAAAUGCAAUGUGCAUGCAAAAUUGUGUGAUAGCAGUAUUUUGUUUGAAGGGUCAAAUAAUGUCAUUGUCAGAAAAUUCAAUCCCAAAGUUUUUUGUGAAACAUCUGAGAUUUUUAGACAAAAAGUCAUAUGUCAACAGAUAAUUUUAAAAGAUAUUUAAAAAAAUUUCGAGGAAAUUAUCUUUUUCUUCACCCUUAAUUAAUGUAUGUUUGCCAUGACAAUAAAUUUGAUCGAUAUAAGUAAUGGUCAUGCUUGAUCUAUUAGUUAAGACGUACUCAAUGUAAGUGAAUCAAAUUUUCUCUUUAAAUCAACAAUUUCAAACGUCUUUAAAUAUAAUUUAAAUUUGAAAGGAGUGUUAGAAUACUUAAAUGUUAAACCGCACUUCAAUAUAACAAUUUAGAUUUCUAAAAAGUUGACAGUAGUCUUACAAAAUCUUAUCUAAAGUUCAAAUGCUCAUUAUAUAUUUUAUCUCUAAUGUAGGUUAGAUGACAAAAUAGUAUUAUGCUUAAUAUUCGUAUCAUCAAGGAUAUCAAGUGACUCAAUAUUCAUAAAAUGCUUAAAUCUAGUCUAUAUCGGACAAUAAAUGCAUUAUAUAAUCAUAAGAUAGGCUCUAUAUUGGCCUUAUUAAGUGUUUGAGUAUAAUCCAUUUGUUCAAUUAUCCAUCAAUUAUCCAACGACAACUCACGACUUCAUCUUGCAGGUCAACAUUACAUAACAACCAAUGAACUCUCGAGAUUUUCCCUCUCAAGUGAUUUUUCAUAGAGAGAGAGAGAGAGAGAGAGAGAGAGAGAGAGCCUAAGUAAUGAAUGGGCCAUGUGCAUUUAAAGGCAUAUGUUAGACUUCAAUUGCCAGAACAAUCAAAUCUUCCGCUCAUUCCAAGUUAUCACGCGUCCUAGGGCCUCAACAUUUGGAACUUCUUCUAUUGGCAAAGAAAAAGGCUUGACAUGUUCUUGUUCGCAAUUGUUAAUAAAAAAUUAAUUUUAAAACAAAUAUAAAAAUUGUCCACUAAAUUUGUAUUGUAAGAAAGCGUUUUGAUAAUAUAAUUUUUUUUAAAUAUAAGAAACAAGUUAUCCCAAAUUAGAUUAAAUAAGGAUGUGUUGUAACAAUAUAGAUUGAAUUAGGUAUGGGUCAAGAAAUUUGUAUUAUAGAUAAAUGGAUCAUAAAUAGAUUAGUGAGUCAAUUUGGAUCGGACUGUUCAUGACCAGACCAAACCCACCUGUUUGACAGGUCUAAGUGCCACAUAUAAUUUAUUGCAGCCAAAUCUUUUCUAGGAUUAAAAGUUGUACCAUGAACAAUUUUUUUAAAAAGCAUUUGGAAUUGAGAAAAUAAAAAAGAAAUAUGUAAUGUAUGUUAUGUUUUUAUCAUUUUUGUUCAAUUGUUUUGCGCCAAUCUAUAAUUAAAACUUCUUUCUAGUCUAUAUUGGCGAGAUGACUGGAUAUGCAUUAAGAAUUAUCUCUAAACAAAAAUUUCCUAAUAAUUGGGAUAUCAUUAAAAAGUUCAAAAAACUACUUAUUUAAAGUAAUAAAUUACCUAUUGGAUGAACUAUCCUGACUUAAAUAUUGAAUAAGAUUGGACGAACAUAGAUGACUCAAAAUGUGUCAAAUUAAGAUAGCAUUAGCAGACAAGAUUUUGAUAUCAAUGCUGAUGGUUUUAUGUGAUGGGCUUAAGGCCUGUCCGCCCAUGUUGGGCCUAAAAAGCCCAGCCCACAGGAUUAUGGCUCAUGGAUGAAGGGGUACGAUUCUUUGUUUUUUGGAGGGACGUAUAUAAUGGAGGAGAGAAAAGGAGAACGUACCUUUUGACAUUACGUACGUUCCUUCCUCCCUCUCUCCCUCCAAAAAAAGAACAGUAAGCAAAAGAGGCUACGUAGUCUUCCCUUCAAGGCGAAUUAGCGUCAUCGGAUCGAACAGGGCCAAUUUCUCUUCCUCAAUCUUCAGCAUUGGUGUUUAAUCUGUGGCUAACAAGGUACGCUCGAAUCCGUGGUGUGCUUUAGGAUCGGUGAUACGUGAUUUUCCUAGGCUUGUCUUCUGCAUUCGUUUUAGGGGUUUGAUUUAGUGUCGAAUCCGGUUUUUGGGGAUCCGUUAAUCCCAACAUUAGUAUCAGAGCCCUAGUUCAUGUUUUCCUGAUCCUUUUCAUGUUUUUUGAUUGAUUUUUCGCAAAGAAAUUCGGCUGACAUGGAUCGGGGCGAGAAAUCCCGACACCCGAGCACUGUUCGUCCGUUUUUUUUUUUUUUAGUUUCUGUAAGUAGAAAUCGAAUUUUGAUGGCAUAGGGUGAAAUGGCCCGUCGAGACGAGUCCGACGACAUGUUGUGCGCCGCUAGGCGACGCCGCACGCGCCCACAUGCGCGGCCAGAAGCCGCUGCUCGUGGGCGCCACGCGCCGGUCGGCGAACUGGCACGUGCGCGAUGCCAGCGGCGAACCGGCACGCGCCAGUCGGCGAACUGACUCGUGCUGACGUCACCCAACGGUCGGUAACUACUGGGAUGACGUCAGUGCCGACGACGGCUGGCCAGGCGGUCACCGGCCGACGACCCGACCGGCGACCCGACCUGACCCAACCCGCGGACGCCUGGCACGCGUGCGGCACAUGCAGUAGGUUCGUCCGACCCGGCUCGACCGGCCUGAUCGGUUCAACCGGUCCGACGACCUGCCGCCCAUUGACCCGUUGAUCGACCGUUGACCAUUGACCCGAAAAAAAAAAUUGUUUCUUUUUCAUUUAUGCCUAUGUGGGUUAUAUGUAAUCCAUUAUUUAUUCUGCAUUUGUUGCAUGAAUUUUUGAAAAUUAUGUAUUUUCCCUUAUGUAAAUUAUGGAUUAUGAGUAAUCCAUUUUUUGGUUCUGCAUUUGUUGCAGGAAUUAGGAUGCGUUAUGCACGAAUACCUGCAAUCCCGAGAACGGACGAGGGAAAUGCAAGACUUAAAAGGCUGAUGUCAAAUUUAGCUAAUUAUCGGUGGCAUGACGGUGAUUUAGUAUCACAUGUGGUCAUGGUCAAUCAGAUGAUACAGGAAAUCAUCUGGAAUGGUUAUCUUAUGCCGGAUUUUGAGAAGGUGUCGGCUUUGAUGAACACUCUUCUACCUGAAUGGCAAUCAGUGUUAGAUCGGCUAUGGGAGGUCAACGUGGUCCCGGGUUAUAGGAGGCUAGUGAAAGCUUUUGUAAGAGAGUACUAUAAGAUUGAGUUGGCCAAAACUUCAACCCUUAGAUUGAACGCCACAUGGUGCAGAGUGAAUGCGCCUUGGAGGCGACAUGAAAGCUCUCUAAAAGUUUUUCCAUGGUUGGCAAAUGUGCCUUCAAAUUUCUUGGAUAUUUUGAUUGAUAGAUUAGAAGGAACAUUCCCUAUUUAUUUCUUAGAUUAGUUUGAGAUGUUUUUGGGUGUGAAUAUCUCUUUCUAUGUUGAUAUUUCUUUGUAUAUAUUACUUAGUGUAAUAGAUAGUUGUAUUAUGUGAAAGCAUUGUUAUUCUAUUGGAUAUUAGAUAUUAUUUGCUUUCUGUUAUUGAUGACUGCUGUGGGUAGUUCAUAGAAGUUUUUGUAACUUCAUAAAAUUUAUUUUGCAUAAGACAAUUAUAUUAAUGAUAAUUUUAAGUUAGGAUUUUUAGAGAAUGAUUGGAAACAUAGUGACCUUUUGAUUCUGAAGCCUUACUUGAAAUUAUUCAUUAAUAUGAUGGGUCUGUGCAAAUAGGGAUGCAUAAAUGAUAGGCAUUAAUUAUUCGUGCAUGUAUGUCUGAUGUGUUCAGAUCGAUGUUUUCAGCAACUAAGAACGUAAUUGCUUAUAUGAACGGCAACAAUUGUGAAAUAUUGAAUAUGAAGAUUCAAUAUGUGCUGGAAAAGCAAGAAGCACUAGAAGCUCUUGACUAUGUUAUGGAAGAUCUUGAAGAUGCCAUGCGCCACCUCAAGCUAGCUGAGGACCGCCUAACGGCAUUUGAGCCGAAAAUAGAUAUUUGCUAUGUUGGUUCUAGCUCAGAAAGGGCUUUGAGCUCUAAGCGCAAGCGUAUUGAUUCGUUCAAUAUGUGGGAAUGCAAAGGAUCAAGUCCUUAUUGCAAGAAAUCAAGAGUUAAUCAACACAAGAGAGGAAAAUGUCCUCAAGUGAAGAAAAUGUCAAGGGUGAGGUGUUACAAUUGUGACAAGAAAGGUCACUAUGCUCGCGAUUGUCGUGAGCCAAAGAAGGUAAACACCUCUUGUACAUUUGAGAAUUUUGCUUAUGUGUCAAGUUCUGUAUUAUUGGCUGAAUCCAAUCAUUUGUGGACUGUAGAUUUAGGAGUAACAGACCAUGUAGCAAAGGAUAGAGGAUCCUUCGUGGAAUUCCGACGAGUACCAACUGGAACUAAGUGGAUCUAUGUAGGAAAUAACUCCAGAGAUGAAGUUAAAGGGAUUGGCACCUGCCAAUUGAACAUGCGUGGUGGACGCACCUUGUUCCUACAUGAUGUUCUAUAUGCUCCGAAGAUUCGUCGAAAUUUAAGUGUUUGUUUUUUGGUGUUGGUUAAGCUUGUUUUUAGUGAGAACUUCCGUAAUAGCGGUGUAGAUUUGUAUUUGGAUACAAACUACUAUGGUUGUGGUCAUUUUUUGGAUGGUUUUAUUGUACUAAAUGUUGACCGUAGUGAUGUCAAUAAUUGUUAUUCCCUUAUUUCUCGUCUUCUACUUCAUAUGAUAAUGAUGUGAUUAUGUGGCAUGCUAGACUUGGCCAUAUUAGCCAACAUCGUAUGAAUAGACUGGACAAAGAGGGUUUGUUGGGCAACAUUGAAAAAGUCAAUUUGCCCAUAAAUGAGUAUUGCCUAGUAGGGAAAACGACAAGGAAACCAUUUGGAAAAGGUAAAAGAGCUGAAUUUUCUCUGCAUUUAAUCCAUUCUAACGUCUGUGGUUCAAUAAAUGUGAGAAGAUGGCAAGGGGCUGUUUAUUUCAUCACUUUUAUAGAUGAUUAUACUCGAUUCGAAUAUGUCUAUUUGAUUUCUCAUAAAUCUAAAGCAUAAGUUAUUUCAUAAGGUUUAUGAACCUGGCAGAAAAUCAAUUAGUCGAGAAAAUAAAGGUAUUUAGAUCCGAUCGAGGUUGAGAAUAUUUAUCUGAUGAGUUCAGAAAAUUAUGUGGUGAAAAAGGAAUAGAAAGACAGUUGUCUAUUCCAAAUACUCCUCAACAAAAUGGUGUUGCAGAGAGAAGAAACAGAACCCUAUUGGAAAUGGUUAGGUCCAUGAUGGCGCAUGCUAACUUACAUAUCACUUUUUGGAGUGAUACGUUGUUAACUGCUGCCUAAAUACUUAACAAGGUGCCUUCCAAAUUAAUUAGUUCCACUCCAUAUGUGUUAUGGACAGGUAGAAAAUCGGACUUAAGUUUUCUUAAGCCAUGGGGUUGUGCUGUCUAUACUCAUGAGUCCUCUCACAAGUUUGGGAAGUUUGGUCCCAAAGGAAAGGAGUAUUUUCAUGAGAUACUCCGAACACUCGAAAGGGUAUAUGUUCAUAGGUGAGCAAGAAAGUGGGAGUAUAACUGAAUUUGAAUCACGGGAUGUCACAUUCUUAGAGGAUGAAUUUCCUAAGAAGGGCGAAAUAUGGGAAGAUUACUCACUAUUUGUAACUUUGGAUCAAGAUAAUGAUAUUAGUGGAGUUCGUCCAAGUGGGAGAAAUAUGAGAAGUGAUGAAUUCAAUUCAAUUCAUUCUCAAUUGCAACCACAUGAUGAGACAACGUUAUCAUUAUCUAAUCCAAGUGGGAGCAUAAUGGGGAAUGAUGUGCAAAGUGUACAAUCUCCCAUACGGCGAACAAGUCGCCAAAGUAUUCCCCGUCGACGUUUUGACAUUGAAGGGGAAACUUUUAUGAUUGCUCCGCAAGAUGAGGAUGAGCCAAGAAAUAUUAAUGAGGCUCUGAAUUGCCCUAGUAAGGAAAAAUGAAUUUAUGCAAUGAAAGAGGAGAUUAAGUCAAUGAAGUCAAACCAAGUUUGAAAUUGGUUGAUCUUCCAAUAGGACACAAAGCUAUUGGGAACAAGUGAGUUCUCAAAAUAAAGCGUAAAGCUGAUAGUUCGAUAUAAAGGCAUAAGGCUCGCCUUGUGGUGAAUGAGUAUAAUCAACAUGAAUGAAUUGAUUAUGAAGAAACAUUUUCUCCUGUAGUGAGAUUUACCUCGAUUCGCAUAAUUUUGGCAAUAGUGGUUAGUAUGGAUCUUGAGUUACAUCAAAUUGAUGUAAAAACUUCUUUCCUCAAUGGAGAAUUAGAGGAAGGAACAUAUAUGGAACAACAUGCUAGUUUCAUAGUGAAAGGCUAAGAAGAAAAUGUAUGUCGACUUUUGAGGUCGAUAUAUGGCCUUAAGUAGUCGUCAAGACAAUGGUAUAUACAAUUUCAUAAUGCCAUAAUAGAAUAUGAUUUUACAAUAAUAGAUGAGGAUCAUUGUAUAUGUAUAUAUUAAAAGAUCCAAGGAUCAAUUUGUGAUCAUAUCAUUAUAUGUUGAUGAUAUAUUAAUUGCCGGAAGCAAUAUGGAGCUUGUCAAUACUGUCAAAAGUUGGUUGUCUUCCAAUUUUGAGAUGAAUGAUAUGGUAUGAAUGGACUUAGACUUAGAACCGGAGAAGGAGAGUAAAUUUCCUGUAGGUAUGCAUCCCAUAGUGGGCGAACAUCCUCGUUCAAGCCCUUCAGGGACAGCCUUUUAGCAGAAAACCACUCAGCCCUUUAGUUCAGAGCCUAGAGACACUCAAAGAUGCCAGGAUGGAAACGUUUCUAACCUACCCAAGCUGCAUUUCUUGAAGGAUCCUACUAGGCUGGAGAAGAAGAGGAAUUUAGAAAGCCAUGGAGAGAUUUUGACAAAGCACACACUUUACUUCAAGGGACUCUGCCCAAAACAAUACACACUCCUUGCCUUAUAUAGGCAAUAAGAGGUAUGAGUACACACACAGGGACUUGGCUCACGGGUCCAGAUACAAACAAAGGCACCGAAAAUUUUCGGGAGGGAAUUAUUCGCACACUAUGAACAGUAACUGUACUGUGAAUAGUACCUUCCCUAGCCUAGUGCUACAGUAAAAGUGAAUAGUGAUUUGCUACAGUGAAAUUGUACGGACUCAACGGUCUCGUCCGUCACGAGCAUUGUAGCUACAAACUGAGUCAUUUGAGUUGUCUUCUAGGAGAUGUGCCUCGUAUUUCUGUUCAAGGGCUUCAAGGUCUUCAGGUGAGAGGAUUUGAUUCAGCCUUCGUGAUGAGGAUGCUUGUUCAUGAGCCCAAUGUGAUACUUCUUCUUCAGCCUAGUUUGUAUUUUCAUCUUCUUGAGGGUCAGGAAUUCUUGGCUGAGGCCAGUUGGAUGGCUGUGCAUAGAAAGAUGUGUCCAUGCUUUGGAAUUAUUCAUAGGGAUCCUGGGACAGAGGUCCUCCAAAGCGUGCAUAGGGGUUCUGGGUAGAUUGGACAAUGUCAUUUUCGCUUGUCAUUUCAGGCUCUUGGGACGAUGUGGCUUGUCUGUAUUGUCUGAGUGCUUCCUUAGCUUCUGGUGCUAGGUGAUAAUGAUCCCACGUAGUGGGUACAUUAUUCCAAACAUCUUCGAGAAUGGUCUUGUUUUCUUAGCAUAGGAUUCUUUGGAGUUCUCGAUAUUCAUGUUCACAAAGUCGAACAAAUCUAGGAUAUGAUUUGUAAAUCCGGGCUUCUCGGCUGUUCAAGUUAGGUUUAUAGGAUGUGGUUCCUAUUUCUAGUGGUGCAUCGAGAAUACUACCAUUAUUUCUGCAAAAAUUCCAUGGACGUCGGAAAAACAAGAUGGUGUGGACCUCAGGAUUAGGCGUCAUGGAUCUCAAUUCUUUUUCCAAGUCUUGUUUCCAACAUGUAGGAUGAUAGAACCGGUUUAGAAAAUCUAAAAGAUUUCUAUCACAUUCCUUUUCGAUAUUUCUUCCAAGUAGGAUUAUCCUUGUGAGGUUGACAAUGAAUCUUCUGGUUGGAAUUUCAAAAGCUAUUAGGUACUUAUUGGUUAAGUACCACAAUAACGUUUUGAGCUGUUUAAGGAAAUCAUAUUCCUUCCAGAUUAGAGGAUGAAUGAAUGGAUAAUUCAUAUUUAACCCAAAAGGAUAAAGAAUCGAACCUCCGUUGAAUCUGAAUAGGUCUAUGUGGCUUUGCCACAUGAGGUUCUCCAGGUUUUCAACAAGACUGUCGUUCUGGAUUUGCUGAAUAAUCUCCUGAGGGUAUUUCCAGCUUUGUGAAUCUUUGAUGUUCUCAAUUUUGUAUUUUACUCCAUGAUUGAGCAUAUGGAAAUCAGGCCUCUUGAUGUACAUGUUGAUCUCGGCUGGUGCUUUUGGCCUUGAUAAGAAGUCAGCAAGUACAUUCUUCUUUCCAGGAAUAUGCUUAGUUUCAAAGGAGUAUUUUGAGAACCAUUCAGCCCAUCGAAGCAGUUGGGAAUUUGGAAUCUAUUUCUGUUUAAACUUGGUCAUCUGAGGGAAAUAUGCCAUGUCCAAUUCCGUGGUGGCCGAUGAGAUGAAACUCAAACUUUUUUAUUCCAUUUUUUACUGCUAAGAUUUCUUUAAAAGUGGAAUGGUAAUGCAUUUCGGCUUGGGAAAACUUUCCACUUUUAUGAGCACAGAGGAGUCUCUUACGAUCAAUUUCUUCAAAAAGAAUAGCUGCCCAGUAUUCGUCACUGGCGUCAGUUUGGAGAAUCCUUUUGCCUGUUGAUGGUAUUUGUAAUGGUGGGAGAUUCUGCAUAAUCUCCUUUAGUUUAGCGACUGCUUUGGUCUAAGCUUUUCCCCAAGGUGGGGAAUUCUUCUUUAGCAUGGAUUGCAAAGGAAUUAGAAGCUUUGUAAUGUUUGGGAUAAAAACCCUGAGAUAAUUAAUUAUCCCAAGAAAUUGCUGAACUUGCUUUGUUGUGAAGUUGUCUUGAGGAAACUUUAAUAAUUCUUGAGCGAUAUGUGGCCCUGGGUAGUAUGUACCUUUGUUAAGGUGCAUACCAAGAAAUUCGAUUUCUGUCUAGGCAAUAUUCAUCUUCCUUUGAGAAAGCAUAAUACCAUGCUUUUUCAUGAUUUCUGCAAAUUGCUUAAGGAGUUGACAGUGUGACUGCUCAUCAGGACUGUAGAGUAGAAUAUCGUCAAUGUAUACGGCUACACUUGAUAAGAUCGGUUGGAAGAUACGACACAUGGCCUUUUGGAAAAGGGAUGGUGCUACCUUUAAGCCAAAAGGAAGAACUUUCCAUUGGAAGUGCUGGUUCGGGAUACAGAAUCCUGUUUUGGCUCUGUCUUCAGGAUGGAUGCCCAAUUGCCAAAAUCCGGCUUUGAGGUCGAAUUUGGAGUAGAUGUGGGCCUUGGUUAGACCACUAAAGAGAGAAUCUCUAGAUGGUAAAGGGAACUUAUCAUCUUGAAGGAAAAGAUUGAGAGGUUGAUAGUUGAUCACCAAUCUCAUUUUUCUUCUGUUUUGCUCGGCGUGCUUAUUGACGUAAAAGGCUUCACAAGCCCAUUGUGAAUCGGAGAUUUCAAUAAGGCCUUGUUGCAAUAGUUCCUAGCAUUCCCUUUGAGCUAAAACCAGAUGUUCUGGCUUCAUUCCCAUGUGGCUUGCCCUGGUUGGGUUUAUGUCUUCUUCUUUUUUUAAAGGAAGGCGAACAAAGAACUCUGGAUUUUCCCAUAAAGGAUGGGAACACUUUUGAGCGAAUUCUGCAUGGGAUUCUGAACAAGAUUCUAACAACUUUUGAAUAAUUGGAUCUAGUAGACUCAUCUGAAUGGAAAAAAGUCUCUGAAUAUUGAUGAAUUCAGAAAAUUGAUCUUUAUAUCUAAGACCUUUUCCAAGAAUAAUGCGAAGCUGAGAGAUUUGAGUCAUGAUGUCCCACCCAAUUAUCAGAUCUUUAUUGGGAAGGUUUGAUCCAAAGAUUUUUGCAGUUAUAGAACACUGAGGGAAGAACUGGACAAUUAUAGGAGUGGUUCUGACAUUUGUGGAGAAAGUGUCUCCCGAAGCAGAAUUGAAAUAUCGGGUGUAAGGAGUCUAGAAUUCUUCAGGAAGAACUUUGGUGUCUAAUAUUGAAUAACUUGCUCCUUUAUCAAUGAGAGCACUAACAGUGAUGGGUUUGGCAAACUUUGAAGUGAGAAUUUUUACAAGGAAAUGGGGACAGUGAGUUUGACUUGAAAAUAUGUCAAGGUUUGGUUCUGGGGAUGAUGAUGAUAUUUGGAAUAUAUCUUCAGACUCUGAGUCUGACUCAGUCUCACUGGAAGUUUGGUACAAGGGAAUGACACAAAGAGUUUGUUUAGAUGGCUCUUUAUCAGCAGAGAAUAAGGAUUAAAUAUCAUCAUUUUCAAGAGAAAUACCUGUUUCAUUCUCAAUAUGAUGAAUUAGAUGAUUCUGACCUUUUCUAGUUUGAGGACAGUUUUUGGCAAAAUGUCCUUUCUGAUUGCAAAUGUAGCAACGGUUUGAUUUUUUGUGGCUUGUGCGAUCCUUCCUUUUGCGUAGGUAUCGCCAUUUCUUCUUUUUCCGGAAAUGCUUGGAGCCAUGUUUGGAUUUUUUUAUCCAAAACUUCUUGUAGUGUUUCUUCUUCCGGGAAUACUUGCCACAAGUACUUCGAUGGUGAUGGACAUCAUGUUCAUUACUAUAAAGAUGACCAUGGUCAUUGUUUUUGGGAUCCCUUUUGUCAAUGUUCUCAUUGUACAAAUUCUCCUGACGAGGUAGAUCCUUUUGCAAGAUCUCCACCUCGACGGAAAAGGCCAAAGGAUAAGAUGUACCAAAGGUACUUAGACGGAGAUUCCUCCGUUGAUACUCUCGGUGAAUGUGACAAAUACCAAUUCAUGGUUUCUUAUACACCACCUCCACCACCAGAGUCUAGUACUACAUCCCAAGCCUUAUCAGAUCCACAAAAAACACCACCAUCUCCUCCCCAGAAGAAGUAAGCCCUCUCUCCAUUUUAUAAGCCAAUACUCAAAUGGGCUAAGAAGCACUCUUACCCCCUCGAAGUCCCGGAAGAAGCACCACCCACUUCUUCUAUCGCUAUGUUCUAGGAUACCGACUUUCCUCCUCUUGUCAAGGAAAGUUCUAAACUCUCGUCCCCUGCUGCAGAAGAGUUUAUUGAUCCCCAUGGCAGAUAUCGCCAUGUUCCUAAAAUCCCUACUCCCACUGAUGUGGAUGAACAUGGGAGGCAGAAAAAACCUCUGCCGCUGAAGCUGUUCUAAAUUGGCAAUCAGAGAUUCUGUUGGCACAAAACAAUGUCUUCAAGGCAAUUGACUCCAAAAUUGGAAACGUGCAGCAAGAUCUCCGAAGAUAUGAUGAAAGUACCAAAAAGAUACUUUCUGAAUUCCAGAAAAGGCUUCACGCCUUGGAAUCAGGACAACAUCUUGGGUACCAUUAUCUUGAAAGCCCAAAGCCAGAAAUAGAGAAGCUCAAGAGGCAAAUCUAGCUUCUUGAAGAAGGAAGGUUCAGACCGUUUGACCCUUUGGCACCUCCUGUUAAAACCGGGUACUUACCCCCACCGCCACAAACAUCCAUUUUUUCCACUAUUCCAACAAAUCCUUACAGAAGAGAACCGGACAUGGCAGAUAUACAGAAUCAUCUCAAAGCCCUGCUGAAGGAAAAGGGGAAAGAAAAAAUACCACCCACAGAAUCAAGUUCCAUUGUUAUAAGAGAAAGGCCAGAUCAGAUGAUGCUAUCAAAUCCAUUAGAAUCUUUUCUAAAAGAUUUAAGCACUCAGGAACCUGACCCUGUUAUCCAACAGCCUGAACAGCCUAAUCCAGUCAUUCCAGAAAGCAGAUUUUGCUCCCUGUAGAACAAACUUCUCGUGAUACUGAAUCAGAUUCUUCAGUAUCCCUCUCCUCUUCUUCAUCCUUUUCAAUUCCUACAGUUGACUCCCUCCCCAUUGCACCAGUAACUUCAUCAAUAUUCAUGGCUGACCCCCCAGAUGAUGAAAUGGAAUCAAACUAUUAUGAACCAGAAAUUGGUCAGACAAGCAAUUCUGCUCAACAUGUAUCCAUAGCAUCAAAACAAUUCUUCACCAUUGAUGAUAUUCCUUAUCACAAAUGGCCAAUAAGGCUUGAAGAAUUUCAUACUUGGUUGAAUACCCAGUCUAUCACUAACCAUGAUAUGGAUGACGUUCUAUAUAACUUUGUUACAAGGUUCAUAGGAAGCUUAAAACUCUGGUGGCAAUCAAUUUCAGAACAAGACCAGAUCCAUUUUCUGAUGUCACCAAAUUUCAGCCAUGCCAUCACUCUCUUAUAUCAUGUCUUUGUGGGAAAACCCGCUGAUCUCAUAGAGAUAAAAAGAAGAGAGUUUUUUGAGAGAAGAUGCUACUCCCUCCAAGAAAAACAUCUUGAUAAGCAUUAUCGAAUAAUGCUUCAGCUUUUUUAUCAAGUCGGAGCAGAUCCAAAUCUGAAGCAUGUUUUCCUUACUUCCAUCCCUAAAGAACUAUCCCAGAUGGUUGAAAGAUCUUUCUUCGGAAAACAAAGGAGAAUACAAGAUGUUCCCUUAGGCGAAAUACAGCAAGAAGUUCAUUUAUGUCUUGAAGAAUUGUGCCUAAAGCGCCAGAUGGUCCGUACUUACAUUACAGACGAUAAGCGCCUUGAAUCAGCUUGUUCUCGCCAGAAGUUAAAAAUCAAAUGUUCCAAGAAAGACUGUGAUGGUACUUGUGGCAAGUAUUCCCGAAAGAAGAAAUACUACAAGAAGUUUUGGAUAUAGAGUGACAAAGAUUGUUCCUGCAUUCAAAGUAGUUUGAACAGUACCAAUGCAAGCAUGCUGGUAUUGUAAAAAUCUGGUAUCUAACAACGCAAUUCUUGCCACGACUGGCAAACCUUUAUGACCAUGGAAAGUCAGGGCAAGACGAACAGCUCCAUAAUGGACAUGAGUAUAUCCCUGUUGAGCCCAUUGUCUGGGAAAUUCAGGAUGGAUCUGGAGAGUGACAAAGUACUCCUUUUCAGUAGCAGGAAUAAGAUGCUGGUCGAAUUUUGAGGACUGAACGUACUCCUUUACUUGCUUUGGGGUUUGGUGAAUAAGCUGGCGGAUGGAGCGGAUGGGUGAAAAUGACGAGUUUGGUUUGGCAAAAGCAGAAUAAGGGUUCAUAAGAGGGAGCUGGGUUUCAAAAAUUUUGGUUUCAUCGCUAAGAGAGACUUCAUAAAGAUAAUCUAUCUUAGAAGCAUUAGAAACACGAAAUUUUGGAGAUGUUGAAGUUGAAGAUGAGGGAGCAAGAGAAACUGGUGCUUCGAGAAUUUCUGGUUCUGUAGACAUGAUGAGAAGAGAUCUUCUCAGCUCUGGAUUCACUUGUCAAGCGCAUGGAAUGGAUAAUAUCAAAAACGAAGCCAUGGCUCUGAUACCAUGAAUGGACCUAGACUUAGAACCAGGGAAUGAGAGUAAAUUUCCUGUAGGUAUGCAUCCCACAGUGGGCGAACAUCCCCGUUCAAGCCCUUCAGGGACAGCCUUUUAGUAGAAAACCACUCAGCCCUUCACUCCUAUUGCAAAGGUGAGGGAUUGAGCCAUAGAUUGUGUCCAAGGACUCCACAAGAGAAGGAACAAAUGAAACAUGUUCCUUAUGCUAGUGCUGUUAGGAGCUUGAUGUACGCUAUGAUGUGUACAAGACCUGACAUAUGUUUUGCAGUUGGAAUGGUGAGUAGAUACCAAUCCAAUCUAGGUCAAGCGCAUUGGAAGGCCGUUAAGAUAAUACUGAGGUAUCUAAAGGGGACUGCUGAUUAUACGCUGAGUUAUUAGAGAAAGGAUCUGCGACUCUAAGGCUAUUUUGAUGCUGAUUGGAGAGGAGAUUUAGAUGAAAGAAAAUCUACCUCUGGGUUUGUUUUCUUACCGAAUAAUGGCACCAUAUGUUGGAGCAGUAAGAAACAAAAGUGUAUAGCCUUGUCCACGAUGGAAACUGAGUUCGUGGCAUUAUCAGCAGCAAUAUAAGAAGAUGUUUGGCUUAAGAGAUUAUUGGAUCAUUUAGGUGUUAUUAGAAGUGCUGCAGAUUCAUUGUUGGUUAACUGUGAUAGCCAAGCAGCAAAAGCAUACACCAAAGAUCCAAAAUAUCAUGGCAAGACCAAACAUAUAGAUACCAAGUAUAAUUUUGUCAAAGAUAUGGUUGCACGAAAUGAUGCAAACUUACAGUACAAAUCUACGCAUAGAAUGGUGGCAGAUCCUAUGACAAAGCCAAUACCUAGAGAUGUGUUUUGUGGCCAUAUGAAAUCUCUAGGAUUGCGUAGAGUCUGAUGUACUGGAUUGUAAUUUCCCUGAAGUGUUCACAUUUGAUGAAUUUGUGUUUUUCAUCAUUAAUGCCUAUGAAUCUUUAUUUGAUCUUUAUGCAUCUUAAUGCUUAGUGUAUUAUUUUAAGUUGAGAAAGUAUGUUUGACAGAUAUAAGAUUAGCCCACUCACAUGGGUAAUCGCCUCUAUUUACUGUGUGAUAAAUAGAGAUGAGACUGUUUUUAAGCUUAUUAUCUAGGUGAUAAUCGAGAGCUAAAGCUUAAAAUACUUAUGUUGCCUUAACUAAGUGUUAAGAUGAGGACAUAAUACUUACUAUGUCCGAAAGUAAAAUACCCCACAUAUUUUACUUUAUCUGUCUAUGAUGCCAGAUGUGAGUUCUAAUGAAUUUUGUGAAUGAGUAGAUACGUGAACUCAAGUUAGACAUUGGAUAUGUCUGAACUAUCAUCUGUACGGUAUUGAAGGUGUAGACAUACGCUCCAUGGGAAAUGAGUUAUUACCGUAAUACGUAUUUUAUACUACGUAUGCAUGAGACAACCAAUAAGAGUGGCAAAAGUUUGAUCUCAACUUUUAUGUCGUGUGAGACUCUUGAGGAAAAGAGUUCCUUAAUUUUUUAGUCCCCUCAUGACUCUUACUUAUUCUCAAUAUUUCUAUUUAGUGUUUGCUAUUUUAGGAUGUUGCCAAUGGUCAUGAGUUGAUUCAAUCUAAUGGGACAUUUCUAGAAAAGCAAGCUGAACCGAAAUUGAGAGUUUGAAGGAAAGAGGAAAAUCGAAUUUGGAGAAUCAUAUUGUAGUUUUGUAUUCACUAGUUAACCAAUUAUGACUGUCUUUGGGAUAAUCAUAAUUGUGAAUACUAUAUAUAUAUAAUAUCAUUGUUUAAAAGAGAUCAAGAGAGAUAUAAAUGUGAUCGAUCGAUCUAGGGUACUGCAUACUAAAUCUACUCAGAGUGUGAUGCCCAUUAUGAGCUGUUAUAUAUUCCUAACAGAUGUAUGGCAACGAGCUCUCAAAGUAUGCUGGUCGCAUGGAUUAUUCACUGGUAUGAAUGUUGAAGAGAGGUAAAGAGAAUUAUGUUCGGCCCACCAUGUGCGAGUGGGAGAUGAUGGUUUUAUGUGAUGGACUUAAGGCCCGUCCGCCCAUGUUAGGCCUAAAAGCCCGGCCCACAGGAUUAGGGCCCAUGGGUGAAGGGGUACGAUUCUUUGUUUUUUGGAGGGACGUAUAUAAGGGAGGAGAGAAAAGGAGAACGUACCUUUUGACAUUACGUAAGUUCCUUCCUCCCUCUCUCCCUCCAAAAAAAAGAACAGUAUGCAAAAGAGGCUACGUAGUCUUCCCUUCAAGGCGAAUUAGCGUCAUCGGAUCGAACAUGGCCAAUUUCUCUUCCUCAAUCUUCAGCAUUAGUGUUUAAUCUGUGGCUAACAAAAUACGCUCGAAUCCGUGGUGUGCUUUAGGAUCGGUGAUACGUGAUUUUCCCGGGCUUGUCUUUCGCAUUCGUUUUAGGGGUUCGAUUUAGUGUCGAAUCCAGUUUUUGGGGAUCCGUUAAUCCCAACAAAUGCAAUUGCUAGGAAACAUGCUUUGUCAAAUUUAUGUCAAGAAUUAAUAAUUAAUUGUGCAUUGAAUUUUAGGAUUUAGGUUUUAGAUAUAUGAAAAACAUAUUUAAUAUAUUUACGAAUCAAAUUGCGUUUGUCUUGUGUUAAAAAAAAAAUGCAAUCUCAUAUUGUGCAUUGUAAUAUAUCAUGUUUGUCGUUUCAACCGUUGCUUGUCAAGUACGUAAAUUUUCUCAACCAAAACAAGUAUGUGAAUUUUACUUUUGGGCAAUUGCUUAAAAGUAAGAAAAAUAUCAUUGAAAGGUAAAGAGAAAAAAAGCUUGAAAGUGGGAAUAGAAAGUGGGAGUAAGAUUCUCUCCCUCAUACAUGGUCAACAACAAAUAAUCAACCCACGCAUUUUAAUGCCUUCGAUGUUGCCAUUAUUGGUAAAUAAACUUCUUUAUCCCUGCGACGAUAAACGUACGAUGAACAUCUUAGAGGUAGAAGAGAGUUGGACUCAUGCUUUAGGAAGCAAGAAGCCAUUAACGGUAAACCCUCCAUCGACACAAAUGGUUUGCCCCGUAAUGUAAGAGGCCGCCGGCAAGCACAAGAAGGCCACCAACGACGAAACCUCCUUCGGCUCUCCGAUGUGACCGAGCGGUGUCCUUGCUAUCGCCUCCUCGUGGAAUUUCUCAUUGCCGAGUAGCUGCUAUGACGGAUGAGUAAUGUUAGAUAACGAUGGCAAAGGUGAUGAAGAUUUAUGGGGUGAACUAUUUUCGAAGAGGAUAGGGAAUUUUAAGUCUUGGUAAAUUAAAUUACAUGGUCGGUGAGUGGGCUGCCUAUGAAAUAAGGUGCAAUAGAGUUGCUUCUUAUGUUGUCUUUAGCCCAUUCGCAAGCCAGAUUCUUGGUCAACUGGUUCAUUGCUCCAGUCAAUGAGUUGAGAAAAUAAGAAUAUAACUUGGCUAAGCUUGAACCAACCCCAAAGUGAUGCUCGAAAGUCCACUUUAGGGUCACUCAUUACUGUGUUUUGCAGCCAAGGGAUUUGACUACGUAAGGCCCAGAUAUAUAGCCCACAGGCCUGAUUGGUUUGGUAAACCGAUCACUUGAGAAAAUUAGCAGUGAUUAGAGUCAUAAGUCCAUAAUUUGGAUGCCUUCUCCAUGACGGACGGUGAAGUGUUCGUCUUCAUCGAUAUCUCAGACAAUCUUUCUCAUCUCUUGCCUGCCCCUUGAUCUUGAGAAUCCAAGUGAAACUAUCCAUAGUGUUCAAUUUAUCACUAGAUUGAGAGAUCAACGUAAGUGUUAUUCUAUUGGUUGCUCGAGAAUUCACUUGCUCAUCUUGAAAAAUAGUACUUGAUAUUAUGGGAAAAUGCUACGUGAGAAAUUAAAUAUGAAAAAGAUAUCAUACAAAGAUAUAACAUCAUUGCCAUGCCAUAAUUUCGCAAUACAUUGACACUGUUCUAAUGAUAAAAUCAAUUGUCCCUACGACAAAAAUUCACGAAGUAACGUCUUACAGGCAAAAGAAAGUUGGGCUCAUGCUCCAAGAAACAAGAAGCCAUUCACGGUAAACCCUCCAUCGACACAAAUGGUCUGUCCCGUUACGUAAGAGGCUGUCGGCAUGCACAAGAAGGCCACCAAUGAUGACACCUCCUUGGCUCUCCAAUGUGGCCGAGCGGCGUCCUUGCUAUCACCUCGUCAUGGGACUUUUCGUUGCUAACUGACUACGAUAACAUGAGUUCAUGUCAUAUGAUGAUGACGAACCUGAUCAAUAUCUAUGUAGUGAUAUGUUCUCAAGCACGAGAGAAACUUUUCAGCCUUAAGAGAUAAUCUUACAGGCUCGGCUUGUGGGGUCAUUAUGUGCCAAGGUGCAAUAGAGUUGCCUCUUAUAUUGUCCUUAGCCCAUUCACAUGCCAAAUUCUUGGUUAAUUGGUUCAUUGCUCCUAACAAUCAACUUGGAGAAAAAAAGAGAUGAAUUUUUUUAGCUCCAUAUGAAAAAAGUUCAGAUAGUUAGUUAUGAUAAUAUUAACUUACCUUUGGUUGUCGAGUAAAUUGGUCCAACAUUCAUCGAAACAAUGCCGAUAAAUGAAAAAUUUUCCGCUGAACAUUCCAUGGUCAGCUUUACUCUGUUGGUUUGUUGAUCUACCACACAAACUGCUCCCAUUAAAAUGAAAACCAAGUACCAAAUCCAUCGAAAGAAAUGCACAAAUUACGACCUGUUAUUGAUGUUGUAAUCGGAUCCACAGGAUCAGACUUACUAGGAAGUUGAGCCUCCCGUCGAAGAGGGAGGACACAGUAAGCAUCGGCUUCUCUCGCUCCGAUCUUAAGGAAAAAUCACAAGUCGAACCCGUGACCUGGACACCCUUUCUCUUCCAAUCUUUCACCGGCUGCAUUUCUGGAACAGGUAUACACGGUGGCCCCAAGCCUUGCUGUCUUCUCGACAAUGGCAUGCCUAAUCAUGGUACAACAAUAUGACUAUUAAGCCUUAGUACAUGUCAUACCUAGGAUUGUUAUGAACAGGCCAUUUUAGCGACGCAAUCCUCGAAGUAAUUGACCUCUCUGUUAUGUCCCUCGUCAUUUUCAUCGAUCGAGUUUUAGAUGGCGAUUAUAUAGAUUUUCUAGCUUAUUAUUUAUAGAAUCCGACAUUACUGAAUUUAGAAGAACCUACUAUCUCUUGGGGCAAGCCUAGCUGAAAACGAUUUUUUCAAGCCCAGACAGGCUUGAGCCGGGCUACUAAACCCAUUUGUGCUGUUACUAGUUAAACAUUAUAUGAGGGAUGUAAUGGCUGAAAAUAGCAUCAAAGGCAUUUUAACCUGUGGCUCCAUGGUGGUGCUUUGCAGAAGCUUUAUGAUGUAUAUGAUACAGCCUGCACAUUCUCAGAAGUUAUGUACGCAAAAUUUCGGGCCUAAACCAGAAUAGCCCGGAUUGGACUUGAUCGAAGUUAUUUAGCCGGGCUAGUAUAUAAAGGACUGAUCACCCGGCCAAGAAAUUCUAGGCCAUAUUUGUUCUCAUAGGACCAAAAAAGGUACCUCGGCGUUCGGACUGCCUAAUCCGUACACAAUUCUACCGUCACACACAUUAUUAUGAAGAAAUAAGAUGCCAUAAUUGACGGUUUUCAGAUGCCUAAUUCAUCAUGUUUGUUCCUCCAACCUAAACCAAAAUAGUCAAUUGAUUAUCAAAAUCAACAAUGCAAAAGAAUGAGGUGUUUGAGUGAGAGAGAGAUCCGAUUCCAUUAGUUCCACCGGUGACGAGAGCGCUCAUUCCGUGAAGCGACCACCUGUUGUCGUUGUUGCGGCUGCCCCAUCUCCUUGCCGUUCCACUCCCAUCAGGAGCCAUUCUCUUUCUUUCUAAUAUCUGAUUUCUUUCCCUCAUCUCACUUGUUUUCUUUUUGGGUCUAUGCGACUUUCUAACUAUCCACUGUGUCAUGUAUAAGUACGGGGGAAUUGGGUUCGGCGGCGAUUCCGUGUGGCCUGAUAUUAGGGUCCAGGUGGAUGAAGUCGUACUGCCAUUUGCAGCGUGAGAUCGACAGAAGAUAAAGCAUAAAAUUACCACGUGACCGACGAUGGCCAAAAAGUGACGGAAGCUCGCCGUGUGUAUCCGGCGCUCUCACAUGGAUCGAAUGCAUGCGUGCAAUGCUGGCUCAGACAUUGGGCUUGAGAACGAAUGCAUGCGUGCAAUGCUGGCUCAGACAUUGGGCUUGAGAACACUUGGGCUAGGGAGAAUGGCGAAGCCUGCAGGACGCCACAGUCCCACUGCACAGCACGGCCCACACGCCCGACUGGUUUGGUGAACUGAUCGCUUUGAGAAGACCAGAAGCAAUUGGAGUCCUUAGUCCAAUAUCGACUGAGAUCUUACAUAAUGCUACUCGAGAAAUUAAAAAUCAAAAGACAUCACGCGAGAGAGGACACAAUUAUAAUACCAUCACCUCACAAUGCAUUGAAAUCGUUCUAACCCUUUGUGUAACUGAUAAAUAGUGACCAUAUAAAUCUACCAAUCAAACUUAUUAUUAUUAUUUUUUUUUGGCAUUAUCAUGUUAACUAAAGAUGAACCGGUGUCUAUGGCACGAUUAUAAUAGUACCACAUACAAUUAUUUCAGCCAAAUCUUUUCUAAGUUUGAAAGCGGUAUUGUGAACAGUCUUUCAGAAAACAUUCUGAGAUAAGAAAAUAAAAACUCUGUAUUUCACUAAUAUAUUGUUUUUUUUUGGUUGAAAAUCUUUGAUGUUUUGCAAAGAUCUAUCAUUAAAACGUAUUUCUGAUAUACGUUAGCGAGAUGAGUGGAUAAUGUUUUCCUUUAAUUUCCUAAUAAUUGGAACGUCAUUAAAAAGUUCAAGAAAAUGCUUAUUUAAAUGGAUAAAUUCUGUUGAAGCUACCUAGAAAAAAAAACAUAGCUUUUUAUAUGAUAAAUUUAUUGGACCGUGUUUGUCAUGUCAAUCAUUGCUUGUCAAGUACAUAUAUUUUUAAAAAAACAAAACACAUACAUAUUUAAAUUUAGGCAAUGGCAUAAACAUAAGAAAAANNNNNNNNNNNNNNNNNNNNNNNNNNNNNNNNNNNNNNNNNNNNNNNNNNNNNNNNNNNNNNNNNNNNNNNNNNNNNNNNNNNNNNNNNNNNNNNNNNNNNNNNNNNNNNNNNNNNNNNNNNNNNNNNNNNNNNNNNNNNNNNNNNNNNNNNNNNNNNNNNNNNNNNNNNNNNNNNNNNNNNNNNNNNNNNNNNNNNNNNNNNNNNNNNNNNNNNNNNNNNNNNNNNNNNNNNNNNNNNNNNNNNNNNNNNNNNUUCUGUUCAUUUUGUUCCAGGUCUUUCUUCUUCAAGCACAUGGUCGCGCAAAUCAGCACCAAGUUCAUCCACCCUCUCUCGGAAUGAACCCGUCAUGUUGCAGAACACGAACCCUCCGUAGCUCAUCCCCACCACAUUCAUCUUUUCACCGCCAAUUGCCUCCAGCUGCACCCAAUACUUUCUCCUCCAUUAGAACAAUUGCACACUAGGCUUGGAAUUGCUCCGUCCACUCAGGCCUCAUCGUGCAAGAGUCUACAAAGAAGACAAAGUCAGGGACGUACACGUUUAAGUAGGCAGCCAGCGGGGAGACGAAGUCAUUACACUCGGCACUAUCACAUUCCGUUGGCGCCAAUGCCGGGGAGGAGGUGGAGGAGGAGGUUGGGCCUUAUUUGUGAUAUUGGCGAGAUUUGCACUCCUAUUCAAAGAAAGGAGAGAUUGUAAGCAAAUCUGUAUAUUGACAGUUUUCUUAUUUUUUGGAGUUUCCUAUUUUUUGGUUUACUUGUUUCCUUUGUUGUAGCAACCCUUGUGUACAAAUUGCAAAAGAACGUUAUGACAAAAAAAUAAGAGAAUUGAGAGUUUUGUCCAAGGCCAUAGGCACAUUGCUAAACCUCAUAAUUCUUGUGUUCUCUUUUGUGAUUGCUUUAUUAAAACUCAACAUGGUAUCAAAGCAUGUUUGAUUCAAUCUGUGAUUUUUUGGGUUUGGUUUUUUUGCACAUCUAAUUGUCUUGAUCUACUUAUGUUCGGGUCCGUUCCUAUUCUCCGACGAUCUGUGUUCUUUGGUUAGUGCUUGUUCCUCUCUUUGUUGCUGUCAUAUCCUUGUUAUUACUACCAACAUGCCAUGGAGGGGUCAACGAAGUCCGAAGAUGCAUCCAACACAACAAAGGUGCAUGAUACAAACAACCAAUGAUUGACUAUGUUGUUGCUAAACGAAAGAAACUACCUUCCUUUGUCAUGAGCUAUAACAAUUGCUCUUAGGGGGUAGAUUGAAGCUUGGUCACAUCAAUGAGAAGAUUAGAGCACCUCCCACAACAAAUCUCAGCUUUGAUGAAUGGCAAGCGAAUGACCAUAAUGUAAUGUCUUGGAUAUUCAAUUCCAUGGGACCGGUGAUCUACAAGAUAUUUGCAUACUAGCCAAGGCAUUGUGAGAUUCGAUAUAUGAGAUGUAUGGUCAAGCCAAAAAUGCACCUUGGAUCUUUGAGACGUAGCAAGGAGUCGUUUGUUCUAAGCAAGGCGCAACACAAUCUUUCACUGAAAACCUGGGAAAAANNNNNNNNNNNNNNNNNNNNNNNNNNNNNNNNNNNNNNNNNNNNNNNNNNNNNNNNNNNNNNNNNNNNNNNNNNNNNNNNNNNNNNNNNNNNNNNNNNNNCAAUUGGAUGAGCUUCAUCAAUAUAAAUCUGCAACUAGAAUGUGAUGGAUUAUGUCAUCUAGAAGAGCAAGAUAAAAUCUUCAACUGUUAGCAAGCAUUAAGCCUGAAUUUGAGGAUGUCAAACGUCAAAUUCUUAGGAGUCCUCAAUUGCCCACUUUCAAUGAAGUUUAUGCCAUAACGCAAUGUGAGGAAACAAGGAGACAUGUCAUGCCUUCAGCUCCAAUUGCAUCAGGAGCGCUUGGUGAACAAUUGACCCACUAUGCUACCAACACAACAUGAAGCAAGGAGACUUCACUGCUCGAUAUGUCAAAGGAAAAUUUAAGAAACCAGCACGGUUCCAUUGUGACUAUUGCAAUCACAAUGGCCAUUCCAAAAAGAGGUGCUGGUUCUUCAUCCACAUUUGUGUAUUUUCAAAGACAGGGGUUCAAAAACUAAGGUGGCAGUCCAGAACAAUUAAUGAUUUUUAAUCCAAGUUGGAGGAUUUGUCACAACAAGUUUUGCAAUUAUUUCAGAUACAUGGCAAUGGAACGAACGCUUCUAGCACUAAAACUGGAAAUUGGGCUAUUGAUAUUGCUAGUAUGAGUACCUAGAGGGGGGUGAAUAGGUAUAUAAAAGAUUUUUCUUCAGUAAUUGCACAAUACUAGACAGUUGAUGGAUUUAAGAUAAACGAUAAUCAAAGUAAGACUGAGAGAAGAAAAAAUUGAACACGUGGUUUAUAGUGGUUCAGCUUAUAUCAAGCCUACGUCCACUCUUCUUCACUGACAGCCUAUUGGCUGGAUUCCACUAUGAACAAAAGAGAAGUUACAGCACAGCUUUGCCUUGAUUCUACAGUGUAGAUGUUCUAUCACACCUCUUCAAGAUUUCUCACAAAUAUAGACUCUCUUUUGUAUACAAGUAUUCGCUCAAAGGAAUUGUCUAAACAAAAAGGAGCUUUAGACUUUGGAAUUCUUCUAUCGCGCACACCUUGAACAACUAAGACCGUCUUCCUUAUAUACUCCUUUAUGCCAUCAUACCCGUUGGCACUUACCAAAGGAAUUCCUCCAAUCUACCCGUUGGACGGAAUCAAUUAGGAAGAUUGUUCGAGCUAUUAAAGGAAUGUGUCGAUAGCCCAUCAAUCAUGUUCGCCCAUACAAUCAGGAUCUCGGUUUCCAUAAGUAGAACCUUCCAAUAAUAUUUUGUUAUAUUUAUUGAUGACAAAUCCUGAGCUACAUGGCUUUGUUUGCUUAAAUCCAAAAGUGAAGUGAUGACCGUGUCUCAAGAUUUUUGCAAUUUGGUGAAAAAUCACUUUUAACACUAUAGUGAAAAUUCUUCGUAUAGACAACAUAACUAAAUAUACCAAUCAAUCUUUUCAAGUGUUCCUACGUGGCCUGAGAGUCAUCCAUUAGACCUCCUGCAUGGGAACUUCAUAGCAGAAUGGAGUUGUAGAAAGGAAAUACAGGCACCUGCUUGAGGUUACCCGAACAUUGUUAUUCUUAGGAAAUUUACCCAAGACAUAUUGGGCAGAUGUAGUCCUUACUAGCUGCUACUUAAUCAAUCGUUUGCCUAGUAAGGUGUUGGGUAUGAAGUUUCAAUUGAAAGUUAGUAUGGCCCAAAAUUUGGUAUCUCUCACCUAAGAAUUUUCGGAUGUGUGUGUCAUGUGCAUUCUCGAUAUGGUGACAAGCCGGAUCCACGAGCUUGAAAGUGUGUGUUUGUAGGAUACUCGAAUGUCAAGAAGGGAUACAAAUGCUAUGAACCAAGUACUGGACGUGUUUAUAUAUCUCGUGAUGUUUACUUCAAAGAUGCUUACAUGUUUUUUUUUUUUUUUUUUUUUCGGGAAUCAAAUUCAUGGGAGCAAGGUGACUAUUCUAAAUUUUUGCUUCCUGUCCUACCUAUCGAGAAUUCAAUGUUGGAUCAAGAGGAAGUUCCAAUAGUGGCUAUUCAAGGGAGUCAGCCAAUCCCCAAUGUCAUUGCCAUUCUUGAUACAUUUGCCAUUACACAAUGCAGCUGAUUUGGAAGUUAGGGCUGAAUAUGCAGAGAGAUAGCUCCAGUAGAUGUNNNNNNNNNNNNNNNNNNNNNNNNNNNNNNNNNNNNNNNNNNNNNNNNNNNNNNNNNNNNNNNNNNNNNNNNNNNNNNNNNNNNNNNNNNNNNNNNNNNNNNNNNNNNNNNNNNNNNNNNNNNNNNNNNNNNNNNNNNNNNNNNNNNNNNNNNNNNNNNNNNNNNNNNNNNNNNNNNNNNNNNNNNNNNNNNNNNNNNNNNNNNNNNNNNNNNNNNNNNNNNNNNNNNNNNNNNNNNNNNNNNNNNNNNNNNNNNNNNNNNNNNNNNNNNNNNNNNNGUUGCCAAAUGGGAAAAAAGACAAGUUGGAUGCUGGUGGAAUUACAAGAUCAAAUACAAUACUAAUGGUUUGGUUGAGAGUACAAAGCUCGCUUGUCGCAAAAGGGUAUACUCAAACCUAUAGGAUAGACUACAAGGAAACAUUUGCUCUUGUAGUGAAAAAGAACAUUGUUCGUGUCCUUCUAUCUAUGGCAAUUAACUGUAGGUGGCCAUUGUUUCAGAUGGAUGUGAAGAAUGCCUUCCUCCAAGGAGGAAGAUGUUUAUAUGGAUAUCCCUCUAGACAUCCCUUAGAGAAUAAUAAGGGAAUGGUUUUCAAAUUGAAGAAGGCAAUAUAUGGUCCCAAGCAGUGGCCUAGAGCAUGGUAUGGCAAAUUGAGUUCCGCACUUGAUAGGUUUGGUUUCAAAAGGAGCAUGGCUAAUUCUUCAAUGUUUACUAAAGCAAUUGGUGAAGGUAUUGUUGUUAUUCUAAUUUAUGUUGAUGAUCUUAUUAUUACUAGUAGUAACUUAAUAGGUAUUGUAGAACUUAACAGUUGUUGAGCAAGGAGUUUGACAUUAAAGAUCUUGGAAAAUUGAGGUAUUUUUUGGGCAUAAAGGUAGCAAAUUCUAACAAAUGUAUGUUCUUGACUCAAAGGAAAUGUAUCCUAAAUCUAUUGAAGGAGAUUGGUAAGUCGGGUGUUUAACCUGCUAGCACUCCUAUGGAUUACAACAAUAAGAUUGUGUCUAAGGAAACACCAUUACAUGAUAUUGGGCAAUUUUAGCGUUUGAUAGGGAGAUUGAUUUACCUAACUAUUACUAAACCUGACAUUACUUAUUUUGUCAGCUAUGUGAGCCAUUUAUGCAAAAACCUACACAAGGACAUAUGGAGUUGUUAAACUAGCUCCUUAUAUCUAAAAGCUUCUCUAGCAAGACGAACUUUGUUGAAGAAUAAUGGUAUUGUGGGAUUUACUAAUGCUGAUUGGGCUAGGAACCUCAUGGAUAGAAAAUCUACCACGGGUUUUUGUACCUUUGUUGGUGGAAAUAUUGUUACUUGGAAGAGUAAGAAGCAAACAGUUGUGGUUAGAUCUAACAUAAAGGCUGAGUACCAAGCCAUGGCUACCGCCACUAGUGAGUUUGUAUGGCUUCAUCUAUUACUUUAAAAAUUGGGUCGUGAUGCCAUGUCUAAGCCUAUGAAGCUAUCCUAUGAAAAUUAGGCAACAAUACACAUUGCUUCAAAUCCAGUCUUCAUGAUAGGACCAAACACAUAGAUGUCGAUUGUCACUUUAUAAGGGAAAAGGUUCAAGACAAGAUGGUACAUACACCAUAUAUUCGUAGUAAGGAUCAACUUGCUGAUGUGUUCACCAAAGCUUUUAUCCAAUGGAGUAUUUCAAGAUAUGAUGAACAAGUUGAUCUCUAAUGAUGUAUUCGCUCCAACUUGAAGAGAAGUAUUGGUGAUAUUGGGGGGAUUUGCGCUCCUAUUCAAGGAAAAGAGAGAUUGUAGGCAAAUUUGUAUAUUGAUAGUUUUCCUAUUUUUUGGGUUUGCUUGUUUCCUUUGUUGUAGCAACUUUGUGUACAAAUUGCAGAAGAAUGUCAUGACAAAAAAAUAAGAGAGUUGAGAGUUUGUCCAAGGACAUAGGCACAUUGCUAAACCUCGUAAUCCUUGUGUUCUUUAUUGUGAUUGACUUACUAAAAUUCAACAGGCCUCACCGGCUUGGGACUCUUGGGGACACAACAUCGCAUCACCAUGCCGUCAUUGAGGUCGCCAGGUUAGUGACGGUGGACUUGACACCAGACAGCGAGAAGGAGAAGUGGAGGCACUAGUCCCUCGUUGCCGUGAAGCUAUGACACUUGGUCAUUGGACUGAACCUUAAAGCUCAAUGCUCUUUUUGCGACCGCUUCCCUCCUCCUCUAGAAGCAGAGCAAUGGUGGUGAUGCGAGAGGCGGGUGGUGAUGCCGAUUUACAAAGACAUUCAUAAAGCGAGGACGACGACGAUGUUUCAAAGGUUCGAAUUGGUUAAGGUUGUGGUGAGGGUCGCUUUGAGAGUGCUGAGUGCUGGAUAAGAGAUAAGAGGUGUAUGUUUUUGAAAAAAGACGAACAGUACAAAAUAAGAAAAAAGAAGAAAGUUUAGAAAACUAUAUUAAAAAAAAAAAGGAAACGACAUAAUUUUGCCUACAUCAAAUUACCAAUUGUCAAAUAUUUGAGAAAUAAGGUAAAUCGGCGAUGAAUAACCGUCAUCCUUCAUGUUACUAUUUUCUAAAAAACUUGACUGGAGUAUUAUAUUAAAAUUUUAUUAAAUAUUCAAGAUUACAUUGGUAAAAUUUAAAAAUUUAAUAUUAAAAUGACAUCCAUAGCUUUAUGACUCAGAAGGUGAGAGUAAAUGAACAUAAGAGUAGCUUCUACUCUCCCUUAUGUACGAACAAGAAAUUGUCUACCUGCACACGUGAAUGCACAGAGAUGUUGCCAUUAUUGAUUAAUAAACCUCUUAAGAAAGUUGGACUCAUGCUCUAGGAAAUAAGAAGCCAUUCACGGUGAACCCUCCAUCAACACAAAUGGUCUGCCCUGUUAUGUAAGAGGCCGCUGGCAAGCACAAGAAGGCCACUAAAGACGACACCUCCUCCGGCUCUCCGGUGCGGCCGAGUGGCGUCCUUGCUAUCACCUCCUCGUGGAACUUCUCGUCACUAAGUACCUGCAACGAAAUAUGAGUUAACAUCAGAUCAUGAUGGCGAACAUGGUCAAUACUGAUGUGGUGAACUAUUUUCCAGCAUGAGAGAAAAUUUAAAGCCUUGGUAGAUCAAAUUACAGGCUCGGCUAGUGGAGUCAAUAUGAACCAAGGUGCAACAGAGUUGCUUCUUAUGUUGUCCUUAGCCCAUUCGCAUGCCAAAUUCUUGGUCAACUGGUUCAUUGCUCCUGCCAAUCAAUGCGGAUAGAAAACAAAAAACAAACGCAAUUUGUUUAGCUCCAUAUUAAUAGUGUUUAGAUAGUUACUAACGAUAAUGUUAUUACCUUUGGUGGCUGAGUAAAUUGAUCCGACGUUUAUUGAGACAACGCCGCAAACGGAUGACAAGAACACAAUACUUCCAGCACCCGAGGCCUUGAGAAGGGGAUGUGCGAGCUGGCUCAGAUGGUAAGUCGAUUCGAAGUUAGUUGUCAUGAUGAAGGAAAAAUCUUCUGCUGUGUAAUCCAUGGUCGACUUUAAGGUGUUGGUCCCGACGUUGUUUAUCUACCACAAAUAAAAACCGAGAGCAAAAUCUAUUGAAAGACAAGCACAAAUUGCGGCAUUGUUAUAAAUAUCAUUAUUGGACCCAUAGGAUCAAAGUCGCCUUAGACUCACUAGGAUGUUGAGCUUGCCGUCGAAGACCGAGGACACGGUGAGCAUCAGCUUCUCUCGCUCUGAUCUUGAGGAAACGUCACAAGUUGAACCCGAGACUCGGAAACCUUUGCUCUUCCAAUCUUUCAAGCAUUCAUUAAUUUCGGCUUCAUUCCGGGAGCAGGUAUGCACGGUCGCCCCAAGCCUCGCUAGUUCCUUCACAAUGGCAUGUCUAAUCAUGGGACAAACAAUAUGAUCAUUCACCAACUUUGUGAUUGCAAUUUGCGAAGAAGAACAGAUUAAGCCCUUUUUCAUCUCCACUAGGAAAAAUUCUACGUGACAAGACAUCAGUACUUGUGAUACCCAAGAAUGUACGGAAGAUUUGGCUGCGGCAUUUGCAAUGGAAGUUAAACCAAUAAUUAAAGCCUUUGAAUGCACUGGUUUUUUAUUUGGGAAAUUACAAAAGGAGAAAAAAAAUUCUAUUGGCUAAUGAUAUCACAAAGAUGCAAAUGAUUUACCAACGUCUAAAGGCCACAUAAUUUCAAAAAGGUUGUGCAUGAAUCAGUCACCUAGGAACAUCAUUCUCAAAGUAAUUGAGCUCUCCAAUCAAGUCUCUCGUCAUAUAGACUUUUAAGUGGCAACAAUAUCAAUUAUCUAGCUUUUUAUCCGAGGGAUCGAAGCUUAUUGGAUUCAAAAGCAUCCGCUAUCACUUGAGCGGUUCAAAAAUUUUGUUGGUCGGGAGCCAAUUUGACAUAUGGGGCCCAUUUUGUUCGGCUUUGGAGAAAUACCUUUGGCUAAAUACAAAUACCUUUGAAGUAAAUGAGUUUUCAGGAAUACUUGGACGUUUGGCAAAUUAUAAUUUAAAGGGCUUGGAAAGUGACUUUUAGUGUAAAUACCAUUUGGUAAACUCAACAUUUGCAAAGGAUUUUUAUUAUUAUUAUUUUUAAAAUAAAAAUCAAAUCCAAUGAAACUCCAUCGCCAAUUAAUGACGGGCCAACCACCGGCGACUAGAUCUAGCCACCGGCGAGGUUGGCCAAGGUUGCAUGAACCAAGAUCUCGUCGCCUGGGUUGCACGACCUUAGGCGAUGCCUGCCUAGGUUGUGCAAGCCUAGAUCUGGCUGUCGGCGAGGCCCAGGCAGCGGUGCCUGAGGUUGCGUGACCACAGGCAGCCUAGCCGACAACCAGAUCUAAGUUCCCUAGACCUCGGGCAACCUUGCCGGCGGCUAGAUCUGGCCACCGGCGGUUGGGGGUAUGGAGAAGAUGCUCGGUAAAAAAAAAAAAAAAAAGUGAAGUUAAUGGAUGAAUAGUAAAAGAUAGACUCACAUUUCCAAAAUAUUGAAAACCCAAACAUUUCAAAGGUAAGUAUUUGGCUAAGGCUUCCAAAUGCUGAACCAAAUACCUAAUAUUUUUUUUCCAAGGGGCUUUGAGCCCUCAAAACCCCUUGGAAAUACUAAACCAAACGGAUGCUUGCUUCGGUUGGAACAAGUUUUUCUAGGCUAGAUAUGACGGAAAAGUCCACUUAAAGUGCUUAAAUCCUCGCUCAAUUUGUUUUGAGUAGGACUGGGCUUCGCCUAGAAAUUGUAGGCCCUGUAUGUUCUGGCCAGGACAAGAAGUAUCUUGAUCCUAGAGUGCCCCAACCAGUGCAUAAUCGUACUAUCAUUCAAAUUAUUACAAAGGAACGAGAUUCCAAGGUUGACGGUUUUCAAAUACCUAAUUCACGAUGUUUUCUUUCCCAACCUAAAUCAUAACAGAUAAUCAAUCAUCGAAAUCAUCGAUAGAAAACAACGAGGUGUUUGGUAAGGGUGAGAGAGAGAGAGAGAGAGACCCGAUUCCUUUGGUUCUGCCAGUGACAAGAGCAGUCAUUCCAUGGAGCAACCACUUGUUUUUGUUGUCAUUGCUGCUGCUACAUCUUCUACUUGCAGUCCCAUCUCCCUCUGUAGCCAUUCUCACUCUCUCUUUCUCUAUCCUAGUGUGAUUUUUCCCCGGAACUCUUGUUUUUCCUUUUCGUGUGUAAUGCGUCUCUCUAACUUUCCACCCCGCUUUAUGCUAAGUCCUUCGCUGGCUGGAGAGAGAGAGAUGGCGACUGGAAGAGGCUUCCUGACCAUGCAACUAUGGGAGAAAAUAUUGGGUGGGCCAGGCACGCCACUAUCACCGUGCGCCCGCCCAAUCAGGAUGCGAGACGUGUUGCCACAUGGAGGCGAGGCCACCAUUAUUUUUCAGUCAAAUUUUUGCUACUUCUCCCUCUCAUUAAAUGCUCCGUCCUUCUCUGCACCAUUUCUCCAAAUUGCACACAAGCAUGCGUCCCUUCCCCCUCCCAUUCUCUAACUGCAGUGAUUGACUAGUACAAGUAGAUAGAAAUGCAAGCCAAAAUCGGAACGGUAUAGGACAACUUUGGGGAAAUGGCUUUGCAUUUCCCCAAGUAUCUUCAUAAGAAUGGGCAUUUAGUGAAUGCUGAAGUGUUUGGGAACUCUUAUUUUGAUGUAGCAUUUUGCAAAAUAGCUUUGAGGUGAAAAGAAAAGGGAAAAACAGAAAAGGAAAAAGAAGGAGGAGAUGUUGACGCAGAGGAGGGGAGCGAGUGGGAGGCAAUCGGAGCUAGUGGGGGAGGCGGCCGGUGGCUGUGGUGGGGGAGGCGGCUGGUGGCUGUGGUGGUGGGGAGGCGGCGGGUCGCGCGGCCUCAGGGCGAUCGGAUCUGGCCGGUUGAGCACCGCUCAGCCUGUCUCGUGGGUCGCGCGACGCCGCCUGAGGCCGCGACCCACGUGACGGCGGUGCCGGAUCUGGUCGGCGAGCAUCGCUCAGCCCGUCGCGUGGGUCACGCGACCCAGGCGACGCCGCUGAGGUUGCGACCCACGCGAUGCUAGUGCAUAGCCACGGCGGUGUGUGGCGACGGUGGUGCGUGGCCACGGCGGUGUGUGGCGACGGCCGUGCGUGGGCGACCAGCUCCGGCCGGUUGAGCUCUGCCGGCUAAGCUUUGGUCUUGAAGAAACAAGGAAGACGAGGAAGAUGAUGAACAGUUAUUUUUUAGGGUAAAACAAGAAAACUCAAUUAUCAGUGAGGGCAAUAUUGGAAGAAAAAAAAUUCAUUAAACCCCCCCUCAGCAUUCCAAAGCAUUCCAAAUGCUAGCAUUCUCCCAAGUAUGGCUCCAAAUGCUGAACCAAACGGUUGAAAUUUUUCCCAAGGGGCUUUCGGGGCUGAAAGCCCCUUGGGAAUGCUGAACCAAACAGCCCCAAUGAUGGUAAUAUAUGAAUCACCCCAAUCCAAGGUUCUGCAUUAUUGCUAGGAGAAUGCGAGGGGGAGGGACGCACGCUUGCGUGUAAAGGAGAGAAAUGGUAAUAUAUGAAUCACCCCAAUCCGUCCUUCUCUGCACCAUUUCUCUCAUUUACACGCAUUCUCUCUCUCAUUAAAUGCUCCGUCCUUCUCUGCACCAUUUCUCUCCGUCCUUCUCUGCACCAUUUCUCUCAUUUACACGCAUUCUCUCUCUCAUUAAAUGCUCUGUCCUUCUCUGCACCAUUUCUCUCAUUUACACGCAAGCGUGCGUCCCUCGUGUGUCCCUUCCCCUCCCAUUCUCUAACUGCAGUGAUUGACUAGUAUAAGCAAAUAGAAAUGCAAGCCGAAAUCGGAAAGGUAUAGGAUAAUGAUGGUAAUAUACGAAUAUCACCCCAAUCCAAGGUUCCGCACUCUUGCUAGGAGAAUGGGAGGGGAAGGGACGCACGCUUGCAUGCAAAUGGGAGAAAUGGUGCAGAGAAGGAUGAAGCCAUUCUCUAACUGCAAUGAUUGACUAGUACAAGCAGAUAGAAAUGCAAGUCGAAAUUGGAAAGGUAUAGGACAGUGAUGGUAAUAUACGAAUACCACCCCAAUCCAAGGUUCCACACUCUUGCUGGGAGAAUGGGAGGGGAAGGGACGCACGCUUGCGUGCAAAUGGGAGGAGCGGUAGAGAGAAUGACGGAGCAUUUAAUGAGAGAGAGAAGCAGCAAAAAAUUAACUGAAAAAUGAUGGUGGGCCCCACCUCACUUGGAGCCACAUGGUGACACGUGUCGCAUCCAACUACGGUGGAGUGAUAAGACCCGUUCCCAGCACGAUACGGAACCGCUACUUACGUACGGUCGUAGAAGUCUCCAACCAAGACUAAUCCACCUAUCAUAUCAUGACCGGUGACAUGAAUUCAUUUCAUGAACUGUUACGUGGGCUCCGCAUCUAGUACUUCCAAAGAUUGAUAAUCGUCAUGCAUUGCUACUUCUGGACUCGAAUUACACAAAAAAAAUUUAUGAUGUGAAUUACAUUAAUUAAAAUUGAAAUUUAUUGUGUUUAAUGAGAUUGGUUUAAUAAGAUAAGAUAUAAAAAUUAUUAAUUAGUCUAAUAUAGAAUUGAUCAAAGUGCGGUUGAGUUUAUGAUUGAAAACUCUAUAAAUAAUAUUGAGUUAUUGUCAUUUCGUGUUUAGAACGAUGAAUUCCAAAUCAUGUGCGCAAAUCUUUUUUUUUCCAUUGCCGUGUUCUAAAAUCUAAUUAUGAAGAUCUUGAUGUGUUGUUUUCGUAGCUAACAAUACCUUUCCCACUCUCGUUGAGGGGCGACACUUUCAUUCAUUUAGGUCAUGUUUGGUAACCAUCACAAUAGUAACAGAUUCUGUUUUUUGUUCCUGGGAACAGUUUAGGAACAAAAUCGCAUUUGGUAAAAUUUUUGUUCCUGGAAACAAAUUUAGAGUAGAAUCAAGAAUAAAAAAAAAAAACUGGCCACUUGAAGAAGAAUAAUAAUAAUAGGAGAGAAAGGAAAAAAAGAAAAGGAAAAAAAAGGAAAAAAAAGGAAAAAAAAGUAAAAAAAAAUUAUUUAAAAAUUAAUUUGGAACAUAAUCGAUGAGCACGGUACCAAACACAAUUCUAUUCCAGAAUCAGAAAUUUUGAAUAGUUACCAAAUGGCUUAAAAUAUUUAGAAUAUGUUUUCGGGAACAGAAUAAAAAAUAAUAAUUUCUUAUCAGAAUCGUUAUCAAAUACGCUCUUAAAAUUAUUUAAGUAUUCUGGCAUACGUUUUCUUGUCGGUGUCCUUUAGUGUACUUUACUGUGUAACGGGGGCUCCAUGUAUAUUAUUUGCAAACUUGUAAUUGCAAUACCGUUUCACCCCUUGUGUUCAAAUUGAUUUUCACUUACUCUAAAUUUGAACAUUUUGUUUUUUUUUUCUUCCUUUCUCUUUUGACCUUGAUGUUUUAGAUUUGACUUAUGGAUUUACUAACGAACAACCUGAUAAUGUAAAAGUAAAAAGGUAAAUAUUAACAUCUAAGGUCUUGUUAAACCUUUUGAUUAAAUUUUUUUAAGGAAUUUGUGAUUGCUAAUUCAAGAGAGCUAGAAUUAGUAAUCACUGGACCUGGAAGAUUGUUAAAAAAAAUAAAAAAAAGGAAAAUAAUAGAAUAAGAAAGAAAAAAAAGAAAUCAAAAUGAUUUUCUUUGACGUUCAAAAAGAAUUCAAUCGACUAAAAAAUAAAACUAUGGACAAUAUAUAAAAUUGCUUUGAUGAAUUAAAUAUUUAGAAUUGAUGGAAUCACCAUUAUAUUUUAAGAAAUUGAACUAUGUCAUUAGAUAGUGAAGUUGUUGCCCUUUGGCUUAUGUAGUGUAAAUGCAUAAAAUUCUAAUAUUGAUCAUGGCAAAGGAGUAAGUCAAAGUCGACCUUGCUCUGUACUUUCAUGAUUAUGACUUUGGUUCCGAAACAAUAAAAGUAUAUUGAUUUUUCUCUGAUAACCGAAUAAUCUUAAAAGUCACAACAACACGGUUUAAUAUACACCAUACAACACUCCUAUAUGGCAUUAUAAGAAAAUUUCUUCUAUUUCUUUUCAAAUUAUUGAGAGACGCCUAGAUGCAUUACCUUUGUAUGUGUCUAAAGAUUUAAAGACUUAUAAAUCGAUACAAUGAUGGCAUAAAAGAUAAAACAUUUUUUUAAUGCCAAUUGUUUUUCAAAUGACAAUUUCAAUUUGUGGGUUUAAUAGGAGAAAGAAAUGUAAAGUCGUCAUUCAAAGACUUUUAAAUUGAUACGAUGCUGGCAUAAAAGAUAAAACAUUUUUUUUAGUGCCAAUUGUUUUUCAAAUGACAAUUUAAAUUGUGGGUUUAAUAAGAGAAAGAAACGUAAAGUCGUCAUUCAAUUUAGUAAUAAAGUAGACGAUCAAUUUUUGCUGAGGUAGUGUCUAGGUGGCAGCUACUUUCGUGGAAAAAUCACCAAAAAGGUUUUCUUGCAAUGAGGAGAGGCUAAUUUCAGCGAUCUACAAUGUUAUAGAUUUUUUUAUUAUUCACUUUGAGGUUAUUUUUAUUUAAUUGAUUCUUGAAAUUGAUAUAAAUAGAUAUUAUAUAACUAAACUGAAGUGAGGCAUUAGCAAAGCAUGCUUAAAAGUGUAUACGGUACCAUAGUUUUUCCAAUCAUAUGGUGCAACGCACUCAAAUUAUCUCAUCCACAUGUAUUUUGUAAGUUUUUCUAAUCAUACGGCAUUAUAGUACUAUGAGUUAAAAACUAUAAUCACAUAUAAAAAUAGGAUAUUUUGAUUAGCACGUAAAAUCUGCAGCAUCCAAAUCGAACGGUUUGUCUUAUACGCUUGCUACUUUGUCAUCUAUGAUUGAUCAAGAUUGUAUAAAUUGAGAAUUCGGAUGCAUAAAAAAAUAUAUAAUCACCGAAAGUAAUUUAUAUGACCAUAUCAAGACGUGGGCUACCACUAGUUAAUCAGGAUACUGGUGAUUACAUGAGUAAUGUGAUGGUAGGGUUGAAAUUCAAGAAAGGGGUCGAGAAAGUCGUUGCAAGUCUUUUUGUGGAUAGAAAUAGCAUCAAAACAGUUGUUUCACUUGUGGCUCGAUGGUGUGGAGCUUCCAAGGAGCUUUUCGCUGAGUAAUACAAGUUGCCUAACUCUAUCUUGAUCAAAAGUCAUGGUCAGUUACAAUUGAGGAGUGCAAAAUUUCAAGCCUAAGUCGGAAAAGCCCUGAUUGGACUCAACCGAGUUAUGUAGUGCCAGCUAAUUUACAAAGGACCGGUGGUUUGGCCUAAAAAUUCUAGGCUGUAUUUAAUCUAGUUUGGUAAAGAUAUAUCUUGACACCACCAUCACUUGAAUUAUUAAAGAGGAACGAAAUUUCAAGAGCAACAGUUUUCAAAUACCUAAAUUAUAGUAAUUUUUACCUUAACCUAAUCCACAACAGUUGGUCAAUAAUCGAAAUCGAUGACAUAAAAAAAUGAAGUGUUCGAGAUAGGGACCGAUUCCUUUGAUUCCACCGGUGAGUGAUCCACCUGUUUAUCGUUGUCGUUGUUGCGGCUGCUACAUCUCCUUGCUGUCCUACUCCCCUCUAGAGCCAUUCUCUCUCUAUCUAAAAGAUGAUUUUUCUUUUCCCUUCAACUCUGUUGUUUUCGUCUUUCUUCUUGGGCCCAAUGCGUCUGAUUUUCCAUUGUCUUAUGCACAAGUAAGUUGGAGUAGGGUUCCACGGCGAUUCAGGGAACUGCCAUCCGUAGCCUGAGGUUGACAGAAGACGAAGCUUUAAAUUACCACGGAACCGACCAUGGCUGAAAGCCAACAGCAUUCGACCGCGUUUAAUUAUCGACAUCUCUUCGUUCUUCUGCUCUUUUGGGUCCGCGCCCCGUCUGUCCUCCUCCUUUUCCGCGUUUUAGAGAGAGAGAGAGAGAGAUCGGACGCUUUUGAAACUCUGGUUAAACUUUCUUUUAUUGAGCCCCGCAGCUAGGAAUUGUAAUGUCGUUUCGACACUUGAGUUCGAAUUGAUAUUCAGUUACUUUGAGUUUGAACAUUUUUAUUUUUAUGUUUUGCCUUCGACGUUCUGGACUUGACUUACAUAUUUAUGAGCGAAUGACCCAAUAGUGUAACAUCUAAGAUCAUGUUAAAUCGUUAUGUCUGUAUUUUGAGAAAGCCCAAAAAAAUAAAUAAUAAAAAGUCAUUCUAAAUAGGUUCUAAAUAUUUUUAUUGAUAUUACCAAAAAAGAGUAACCUGCUACCCACGUUAUGGCCGGCAGAAGUUGUGGAAGCUUGUUUACAAAGACAACAGUAGAGUAGGCGACUCCAUCACUCAAGGCCACAAAAUGCCGGGAGUCGAAUCAAACGAUGGGUCGGAGUCUAAGGUAGCUCCAAACGUUUGAACUCAAUUGAUUUUACAGCAUCGCGUUGCUAUGUCCACGUUCAUACUCAGAGACUUCCCAAGUUAUGACUUUUGAUUGAUACUGUCGGCCAUGCAUUAAAUGCAACACACGAUGAGAUUCAAGACAACAUUGUUCAAUUAUGUAGGACCUUCUUAGGAAAACUUUUUAUUGAGCUUAAAAAGUUUCUUAUAGUCAUUUAAGAGAGAGUCUCGUUGCAUGUGAGCUGAUCGUUUGGUGAUUGAGGUACUUAUGGAAACAACCAUACGAGGAUUUGGAAAAUUUUAGGAAGACUAUGCAGAAAUGUUCGAAUAAGCAAUCUAUAUAAGGUCGAUUAUUUAAACCAGAGGAAUUUUGAGAUCACAGGAGAACAUUUACUACCUCCGAGAAUCAUUUUGUGCUUAUUGUUGGAAAUUUCCUAUAAUAUGGGUUUACAUUAAUUAAUUGAUUUUCUAUUUUAAAUAAUCGGGUUAAUAGAUAUUUCAAUAUUUGUUGAACCCUAAAGUGAUCUGAUUAAAUUAUGUAUUAGUAUCUAUUGAUAAUAGGCUUGGUUGACUAGCAAAGUGUAGGCAAUUGUGUUUGACUGAAGCCCGUAAUGGGAAGGAUCCAGUUGACACGUUGUAGAUUAGGGUUUGCUAGGUCCCAUCUCUAGCCUAUAAAAGGGUAGGUUAUACCUAUCAGUUCAUUUAAUCCUAUUGAAAGCUGCUAUAUUGAAAUAGGUCAUAGAGAUGAAGAUCUCCGAUAGAUCACUGAUUAUCAAAUUGAUAUAUUUUUUUUUCAAGUGAAACAAUGGCUCAAACAUGUACGCUUUACAUUUACGGAAGUUCUUCCUUCUCCGAGGAACAGAAGACUGCAAAGGGGGUGGGGAUUCGACCCCAUGAUCUUUUCCUCUGUAGCUGAUUCUCCUUAGCUUGCUGUUGUUUCAGUUUGCUCUUGUUCUUGUAGUUGCGGGUUCCUUCCAUCUCCGUUCUUCGCCUUCAGCUUUGAGGGCUAGAGGGUUGGGGAGGGUAGGGGUUCCUGUUGUUACGUUUUGUUUGUUGGCUUCCUAGCUUUUGUGUUUCUUGCUGGCGCCCUCGGGCUUUUUUAUCGGAUCCCCGUCACUCUUGCUCCUUUGUUAAGAGUGCUUGUUUGGAUCCGAUCUUUUGUACUUUUGUCCAUUCUCAUUAAUAUUAUUACCUUCACAAAAAAAAAAAAAAAACAUGUACGCUUUAAUUCCACUGUGUUUAUUGUUCUCGGUGUUUUACAGUCAUAUAUGGAUCCGAUUCUUCUUAAUUAAUUAAUUAUUCAUGCGAAUAAUUUUCUACAUGUGGUAUUAGAGCUAAUCAUAUAUGAUUGUAGAACUCAAUUUUUUUUUUUUAUGGACAAAUUCGAAAUCCUCCUCUUUGAGCCGAAUAUGGGCAUUAUUUUUUUGUAUAGAUUUUUUGCUUGAUUGAUUUUGAAACGAUAGGGCUUUUGUUCUACAUGUCGAGAUCUUUCCAACCAUAUAUAAUUUGCAUAAUUUCGUUGAGAAUUGAGAGAGAAUUUUUAGAUUUGAAAUUCUAGGGUUUAUACAUGAAAAAGUUCUAGAAUUUGCAAAUUACUUGCAAUUGAUUGAUGUUUGUUGUAAAUUGGUGCAUGGAUAUUGUCAUAUAUAUGUUUUAGCAUCCUAUUGUUGAAUAAAAGUAACAUUUUAGGCUUAAACUUAAGAAAUUCGAAAUUCGGCCAUGGGAGGUUAAGAUCUUCAUUUAAUUCAAUAUAGUUAAUUAUAUUGAUAUCAUAUGCAAAAUCCAUCAAUAAAUUUCAUCAAAAAUCAUGUUAAUUUGUGUUGUUGGAGCUUCGGGUUGAAACCGGGUCGUGUGACCCGGUUUUCUACAACUUCGGGACCCAGCUAGAGGUUGAAGAAGACCCUCCAGCCGGGCCGGGCCAGCCCAUCCAUUUUUUCUUUUUCGUGUAUUAGGAUCUGGGCGCAGCCCAGAACCUUUAUGUUUUGAAUGGGCUCUGGGCACACGCCCAUUAGCCAACUUGAAAAGAGGUUCUGGGCUGCCCAGAACCAAAAUAUAAAGGGCUUAGCCCAUAUAUAUUUUUUAAUUUAAUUUCGUGGGCUAUUUAAACAGUCCAUUACAUGGGCCAUUCUCAAUUUAAAAGGAGUGGGCUAGUGGUCCGCGUGAGGGUUAAGGAUUCGCGGGUUUGGCCCGCGGUCUGAUUAGGGCUGCUUGCAGGUCCUGGGCCCGGGGGAGUCCGAAAUAUUAAAAUAAUAAUAAUAUAAUAAUAUAAUUAAAAAUUAAAAAAAAUGUGGCAAAAAUUGUUGUUUGAAAAAGUGCAAUAUGAUCAUUGGAAGCACAUGUUGUAAAGUAUUUCAUAUUGUUUGAUGAAUUUUGGGCAUAAAUUUUUGGAGUUCCUUAUUGAUAAAAAUUAGUAUAUACAAUUACUUGCCCAAAAGGGGUUAUUGUGUAUAUUAAUUUGAAAAUUGCAUAAAGAUAAAUUCCAAAAAUAAAAGAUGGGGAUGUAUGACUCAAAAAGAUUUAUCUGCCCAAAGGGGAUAAAUUUUUUAAAGUUAUAUGUAAUUACCCUCUAUAUUGAUAUAUUAAAGAUGAAUGAUGAGGAUGUGUGACUCAAAAGGUUUAUCUGCCUAAAUGGGAUAAAUUUUUUGAGAGUUAUGUGUAAUUCCCUUCUAUGUUGAGAUAAUGGAGAUAUAUAAUUUAAAUGAUUUGUCUACCCAAAGUGGAUUGAUCCUUGAAGAUUAUAUGUAAUUCUUCUUUAUCAUCUCUAUAUAUUGAUAUCAUAGAGAUGUAUAAUUUAAAUGAUUUCUCUGCCCAAAGGGGAUGGAUCAUUAACAAUUAUAUAUAAUUCUCCUUGUUGUUGCUUUAUAAACUUCAUGCUGUGAAAAAUAAUGGUUCAUUAGACACUCUACCCAAAUGGAAGUUUAUAAUGUACUAAUUAUUUUUGUUGAAUUACUUAUUGCCCAUAAUUGAUCUUAUUACAUUAUGUGUGACAAACAGUUACAUUUGCUGUAAAUAAUAAUAAUGUCAUAGUUGAAAUAUUAACUUGAUCAAAUAUUAUACUGUUAAGGACUUGGUCAAAAUAGAGAUAUUGUGAUCGAGGAUGUCAUAACUGAGUCCAUGUUAUUUGAUCCUCUAACAAAAGGCUUACGACCCAUUUUAUUUAAAGAACAUGUAAAAAAUAUGGGUGUUUUAGAUUCUUUUGAUUUCUUUUGUUAGUGGGAGUUAUGUAAUUUGUACUUCUGGAUAUUAUAGUUAUAUGUAGUGUGAUAAUGCUUUUAUGAUGUUUAUUAAAGCAUUUAUUUUAAUAAUUGUUAUUAUUGAUUCUAUUGUUAUCCUUUCUCCUGUUGACUGAGAAAUAGAAGUAUAAAACAGUAUCUUUAAACAAAUUUUAGUUUAAAGAUGACUGGAUGUCACUGAUUAUGAGAUCUCAUGUUGGAUUGUGACAUAAUCGUGCAAUUUCAUGUUGUUUAGAAAUUGCGUUAAUGUAGUUCCAUGUCGUUAAGAAAUUGUAUUGAGAACCGAUAAGAAAUAGUGUAUAUUUUGAUCACAUGUUGGCAUUAUUUCUUACUACACUACUAGGCCCAUGAUCCAUGAAAAUAUAAUGCUUAUUAUAUGUGAUUAUGGAAGGUCUUGUGUUGUGGCAUUUUCUUAACACAUUGAUCUCCAUAGUCCUAUACUGAGGUUAUAUAGAAUUGGAUUGGUAUUGAGAUGCCAUUAUUGGAAUAUUAUUUUUUUUAAAAGUUGUGGCCACAUAAAAUAGAAAAUUUUAGUUAUUAACCCGAUAGUGUUGUUUUCAGUAUAAAAUCUUUUUCAAAAUAAAAUAAGUUAAUUAAUGUAGCCCAAGUGGGAGAAUGUUGGAAAUUUCCUAUAAUAUGGGCUUACAUUAAUUAAUUGAUUUUCUAUUUUAAAUAAUCGGGUUAAUGGAUAUUCCAAUAUUUGUUGAACCCUAAAGUGAUCUGAUUAAAUUGGAUAUUUGCAUCUAUUGAUAACGGGCUUGGUUGAGCAAGUGUAGGCAAUUGUGUUUGACUAAAGCUCAUAAUGGGAAGGGCCUAGUUGACACGCUGUUGAUUAGAGUUUGCUAGAUCUCCUCUCUAGCCUAUAAAAGGGUAGGUUAUAUUUAUUAGUUGCUUUUAUCCCAUUGGAAGCUACUAUAUUGAAAUAGGUCAUAGAAAGGAAGAUCUGACAUUCUGAUAGAUCACUAGUUAUCAGAUUGAUCUAUUUUUUUCAAGUGAAGUAAUGGUUCAAACAUGUACGCUUUAAUUCUGCUGUGUUAUUGUUCUCGGUGUUUUACAAUCAUAUAUGGAUCCAUUUCUUCUUGAUUGAUUAGAUAUUUAUGUGAAUAAAUUAUACACUUAUUUCAUUACUCUAGUGUUAGAACUCGUGAUUGUAUUGAGACUUACUCUGCAAUUUUAUCUCAAGGGAGAGUAUUUCUCUUGUGAAUACAAACAGGAGUGUGCAUUGGUUUUAUUCGGUUUUUAGUGUUGCAGUAUCUACCAUUGCGGUAGCAGAAAGCUUUUGUAACUUGCGAUCUACUUGAAUUGAUACCGCAAUGUCAAAAUGAAGCCUUUGAUGGCUUCUGUAAGUCAGAAUCUGGUCUCUUUCUCUCUCUCACUGGACACUUCAUUCUUUUAUGUCGAUGGUUAUGAUGAUCAAUCAUCUGUAUGAUAUAAGUUGAGGAAGAAAACAUCUUGAUUUAAGAAUUUGAAAAUCGUCGAUCUCGAAAUCUCUUUUCUCUAUGAUAAUUUGAGUGAUAGCAGUAGGAUUGCACAUUGACUAGGGCAAUCCAUGAUCAAAGUACUUCUUGUCCUAGCCAAAACAAAUUGAGCCUGUAAUUUCUAGGUCGCUAGAAUAAAUCUAGCAAAGAAAUGAAUUUAAGCACUUUAAUUGACUUAUUUCCAUUAUAUCCAUGCUCAAGAAAAUCUUUCUGAUCGAAGCGUGUUUGACCGAGCUUCCGACCAUCAAGAUUCUUUUAACUGCCCGAGUGACAGUGGAUGCUUCUGAAUCCAAUGAUGUUCGAUUCCAUGGAUAAAAAAAAAAACUAGGCAAUUGAUGCCAUCACCACUUAAAACUCUAUAUGAUGGAAACGACGAGAGACUUGAUCAGAGAGCUCAAUUAUUUUGCGGAUGUCGUCACUGGGUGAUUGAUUCAUAGGUAGCCUUCUUAAGUUCUGUAGCCUUUUGACCGUGAUAACUCAUUUGACAUUAUUAUUAGCUAAUAGAAUUUCUUUAUCCUUUUGUGAUUUCCCAAAAAGAAAUCCUGGUCCUUCAAAGGCUGUAAUUAAUGGUUUGACUUCUAUUGCGAGUGCGGCCACAUCUACUGCACGUUCUUGGAUAUCACACAGAAUUUCUACUUCCGGAAAAGAAGAGGGAUUAAUCUGUUCCUGUUUGCAAUCACGAGUUGGUAAAAUGAUCAUGUCGUUGUGCCAUGAUUAGGCAUGUCGUUGUGGAGGAACUAGCGAGGCUUAGGGCCACCGGGUAUACCUGCUCCAGAAAUGAAGCCGAAAUCAAUGAAUGCUUGUAAGAUUGGAAGAGCAAGGGUGUUCAGGUCGCAGGAUCGGCUUGCAACAAGUGGAUCCUUGUAAGUCUAAGUCGUCUUUGAUCGAGUGGAUCCAAUAACAAUAUUUAUAAUAAGGUUGCACCUUGUGCAUGUCUUUUAAUGAAUUUUGUUUUUGGUUUUCAUUUGUGGCAGAUAAAUGACAUUAGGACCAACACUCUGAAGUCGACCAUGGAUUACACAACAGAAAAUUUUCCCUUCCUCGUGACAACUAAUUUCGAACUGGCUUACCAUCUAAGCCAGCUCGGACAUCCCCUUCUCAAGGCCUCAGGAGCUGGAAGUAUUGUGAAAUUGUCAUCCAUUUGCGGCGCUGUUUCAAUGAACACCGCAUCAAUCAACUCAGCCGCCAAAUGUACAUUAACAUUAUCAUAAAUAACUAUCUUGACAAUGUUAUAUGGAGCUAAACAAAUUGCGGCUGUUUUCUGUUUAUUGUAUUCAAAUUGAUUGAUAGGAGCAAUGAACCGGUUGACCAAGAAUUUGGCAUGUGAAUGGGCUAAGGAAAACAUAAGAAGCAACUAUUUUGUGUUGGAGAAAUCUUCGUGAAGUGUUUUGAAGUUGACAAAACGUUUCCAUCAGUCUAGUCUGAAGGUCUGCAGACUCUGUUAGUUAAAGUCUGAAGACUUCCGGACAGCCAGACUCAAGACUCAAAGUCUAUCCUCAUUGACAGUCUCUAAUCCGUUGAAGAAAGGUUAUCCAAAACUGGAUGUUUUGUUCAGGAUUUAACCUUAUCAUCUGGAGAAGAUCUCGUGGUUGGAGAAGACGUAUAAGAAUCCUUUGAUUGAUCAAGAUUGAUUCAAUGACUGAAGAUUCGAUGAUUGUCUAAAUAUUAUUGGAAGGUUCUACUUAUGGAAACCGAGAUCCUGAUUGUAUGGGCGAACAGGAUUGAUGGGCUAUCAACACGUUCCUUUAAUAGCUCGAACAAUCUUCCUAAUUGAUUCCGUCCAACGGGUAGAUUGGAGGAAUUCCUUUGGUAAGUGCCAACGGGUAUGAUGGCAUAAAGGAGUAUAUAAGGAAGACGUUCUUAGUUGUUCGAGGUGUGCGCGAUAGAAGAAUUCCAAAGUCUGAAGCUCCUAUUUGUUUAGAUAAAUCCUUUGAGCGAAUACUUGUAUACAAAAGAGAGUCUAUAUUUGUGAGAGACCUUGAGGAGGUGUGAUAAAACAUCUACACUGUGGAAUCAAGGCAAAGCUGUGCUGUAACUUCUCUUUUGAUCAUAGUGAAAUCCAGCCGGUGGGCUGUCAGUGCGGAAGAGUGGACGUAGGCUUGGAAUAAGCCGAACCACUAUAAAUCAUGUGUUCAAUUUUCUCUUCCUCACUCUCUCUACCUUAAUCGUAUUUCUUUUUGUUAAUUAGGAGAGAAUUUACUUUCUAUCAUACGUUAAGAAUCGCUUCUGUAUAUCGAUAAAUUGUUUAGGCACCUAUUCACCCCCUCUAGGUACUCAUACUAGCAAUAUCAAUUGGUAUCAGAGCUCGUGUACUCACUUUGUUUGAAGUGUUUUACUUUAGAGUUAAAGAUCCAUGGCUAGUAUGCUAGCACCAGGGCUGAUGGAAGGGCAAAGUAAUACCAGACCACCCUACUUUGAUGGAAAGGAUUACAACAUCUGGAAGAACAAGAUGAAAGCUUUCCUACGAUCAAAGGAUCCUCUGGAAUGGGAUGUUGUAGAAAAAGGAAUUACUCCUACCACUGCAUCAGUCUCUGAAAGAGGAAAAGAAACUGAAGAAACCAGCGGAAUGUCUCAGGAAGAAAUAAUCAAGAGACAAACACUCGAUGCAAAAGCAAUUUACUCCUUAUAUUGUGCUUUAUCACCAACUGAAUAUAAUAGAAUAUCUUCUUGUGGUACAGCAAAAGAAGUUUGGGACAGAUUGCAUAUCACCUAUGAAGGAACAGAUCGAGUGAAGGAAACAAGAAUCAACAUUCUUCUCGGUCAAUAUGAAGCCUUCAUAAUGAAACCAGGAGAAUCAAUAUCUGACAUGUUUAGUCGUUUUACAGAUAUUGUGAAUGGUCUUGAAAAUCAAGGUCAACCAACUUCUGAUCCCAUGAAGGUAAACAAGCUACUGCGUGGACUCUCCAGGGAUUGGAAUCACAUAAAGACUUCGAUAAGAGAGACGCAGAGAAUUAUGCCACUAUCUGUUGACGAGCUGAUUGGAACUCUUCAGUCCUAUGAAGUGGAAAGGAUCAAUGAAGAUGAAGAUCCAAAAGGUAAGAAAUCCAUUACAUUAAAAUCAAAUGAUGAUUCUGAUGAUACAGAUUUUGAAGAUGAUAUGGACGAUGAGGAGCUUGCUCUCAUGAUAAGAAGAUUCAGAAAACUAAAUAGAAAAGGAAGAAGGUUCAACUCAAAGAAACAAAGCUUUCAAAGACAGCAGACCAAGUCUGUUGAUGAUGAGGAACUAAAUAAAGAUGUAGUCUGCUUUGAAUGCAAGAAAAAGGGACACAUCAGACCCAACUGUCCUCUUCUGAAGAAGAAGAGAGGAAAAGCUGAAAAAUUUCGAAAAGCUCUCAAAGCCGAAACCUGGAGUGAUACUGAGUGUGAAGAAAGUGAUAAUGAAUAUGCCAAUCUAUGUCUAAUGGCACAAUCAGACUCAGACUCUGUAUCAGACUCAGGAUCAGACUCAGAUAGUGAAUUUGAGGCAAGUGAUUUUAAAAUUCCUGUCAAAGUUUCUAAAUAUAUUAAUGAACUAUGCUUUAGUCUUAAGACUUCUCUCAAAAGAAUUUCCGAACUGAAAAAAGAAAACUCAGCUCUAAAACAAAAGGAAAAUGUUUUAGCAGAAAGAGUUAAAAGUCUAGACUUAUCUGUCUCCAAUCUUAAAGAAAAUGAAGAUAAUCUUUUAAAAGAAAAUGCUUUUUUAAAAACAGACUUAUCUAAUAUAUCAAAGAAAUUUUCUAUAGGGUCUGAAAAACUUGAGAAAAUUCUUUCAGCACAAAGACCUUACUUCAAUAAGUCUGGUCUAGGUAUGACAGAAGAAACAAUCCCCUUGAUUGAUUUUCCUAAAGUAAAAGAAAGAAUUAAGAAAAGACUCUCGAGUGAGGUUUACAAAAAUCACUUCAAGAAAGUUUUUGUAAAACCUGUAGGUAGAAAUGCUCUCAGAUGUUCUAAGUGCAACAGUCCGGAUCACUUUGAAAAAGAGUGUCCUAUGGUAUGGAAACCUGUUAAGAAAGUAUGGGCUAAUACUGUUUAUCUUACUAACACCAAAGGACCCAAGAAAAUUUGGGUACCAAAGAAAGCUUGAGACUUUAUUUUAAAUGCAGGUCUCCGUCAAGAAACAGGUAAAGUGGUAUCUUGACAGUGGAUGCUCAAGACACAUGACAGGAGACUCAAAUUGCUUUAUAAAUAUUGCUCAAGUAAAUGGUGGAAAAGUUUCAUUUGGAGGAAACAGCAAAGGAAGUAUUGUGGGAUUUGGAACCGUGAAAAUUGGAACUCUCACAAUAAGUAAUGUUUCCUUAGUGGAAGGACUCAAUUACAAUCUUCUCAGCAUUAGUCAAUUGUGUGAUACUGGUUUCAAGAUCUUCUUUCAAGAAGGAACAUGUUCUGGAAUCAGUAAAGACUCUACUCAGUCUUUCAUGGGUCGAAGACAUGGAAAUAUCUAUCUUCUGGAUGUGAAACCAAAUGAAUCGCAAUGCCUUAUCUCAAUUCAAGACGAAGCAAGCUUAUGGCACAAAAAGCUUGGUCAUGUCAACAUGAAGCAAUUAGCCAAAAUUUCUUCAAAACAGCUUGUUCGAGGACUACCCAGAUUGUCAUACCAAAAGACUGAUUCAUGCACUCCAUGUAUUCUGGGAAAGCAGUUGCUGCAUAUGGAUCUCUUCGGACCAACCAGAACUCAAAGUAUUGGGGGUAAGAAGUAUUGCCUAGUAAUUGUUGAUGAUUACUCCCGUUUUACUUGGGUAUAUUUCCUUGCAAGUAAGUCCGAAACCUUUUCGUAUUUUGAAAAAUUUGCUAAAUUGGUUCAAAAUGAAAAAGGAUGUGUUAUCUCUAGUAUAAGAACAGAUCAUGGAGGUGAAUUUGAAAAUCAAGAUUUUACAAAAUUCUGUGAUGAAUCUGGCUGUAAGCAUGUGUUUCCCUCUCCAUAUACUCCUCAGCAAAAUGGAGUUGUGGAAAGAAAGAACAGAUCUCUUCAAGAAAUGGCUAGAACUCUUUUAAUUGAAAGUAAAAUUUCUUCUCGAUUUUGGGCUGAAGCUGUUUCAACAGCUUGCUAUAUCAUCAAUAGAGUCUUCUUAAGAUCUAUUCUUCAGAAAACCCCUUAUGAGUUAUUCAAAGAAAAGAAGCCUAUUGUUUCAUACUUUCAUGUAUUUGGUUGCAAAUGUUUUAUACUGAAAAAUGCAAAAGAUCGAGUUGGUAAGUUUGAAGAAAGAUCAGAUGAAGGUAUCUUCCUUGGAUAUUCUACAUCGAGCAAAGCCUUCAAAGUCUAUAACAAGAAGAGCCAGUCUGUGGAGGAGUCAAUGAAUGUCAAAUUUCAAGACUCAACACAAGAUGAAUCAAGUCAGACUCAUCAAGAAGAGUCUGAACCUGCUCCAGAUCUUCCAAAGCUUACAACUCAAGAAGCAUCUCAGACUCUGGAAAACCAGAAUAAGGAUGUUCGUGAAGAUUCAGUCAAAGAGAGAGAUCAUCAAUUAGACAAAUCAACAAGUAACUGGAAGCAUAAGUCCAGUCAUCCCAAAGAUCUUAUAAUCGGCGAAAUAAAUGAAGGAAUUCGCACCAGAUCCAAAAGGCGAGAAGAGUCUAGUGCUGUGGCACUCGUUUCUGAAAUUGAACCAAAGAGCAUAGAAGAAGCUUUAUCUGAUGAAAGCUGGAUUGAAGCUAUGCAAGAAGAGCUCAGACAGUUCAGCAUAAAUGAUGUCUGGGAAUUGACAUCCAAACCAAAAGGUAAAACUGUUAUUGGAGCUAAAUGGGUUUUCAGAAACAAGAUGAACAAGAAAGGAAAAGUCGUACGAAAUAAAGCAAUACUCGUGGCCAAGGGAUAUACACAAGAAGAAGGAAUAGACUAUGAUGAGACUUACGCUCCAGUGGCAAGGUUAGAAGCUAUUCGACUAUUACUUGCGUUUGCUUGUUAUAAGAAUUUCAGGUUAUUCCAAAUGGACGUCAAAAGCGCCUUCCUAAAUGGAUUUAUCCAUGAGGAAGUUUAUGUGGAACAACCACUAGGGUUUGAAGACCCAAAGAAGCCAGACUCAGUCUUCAGACUGAAAAAGGCUUUGUAUGGUUUAAAGCAAGCACCUCGGGCUUGGUACGACAGAUUAAUCUUUGCAAGAAAUUUUCAAAGUCUAUGCAGGAUGAGUUUGAAAUGAGUAUGAUGGGAGAGUUAACAUUCUUUCUUGGUCUUCAAGUAAAACAAUUGAAGGAAUGAACCUUUAUUUAUCAAGAAAAAUAUGUUAAUGAUCUUGUCAAAAGGUUUGGAUUGGAAAAGUGCAAAAAGGUCGACAUACCAAUGUCAAGUUCUUUAAAGAUAGACAAAGAUGAAGAAGGGAAGAAAGUUGAUCAAAAGCUGUACAGGAGCAUUAUUGGAUCACUUCUUUAUCUUACUGCCUCUAGACCUGAUAUUUUGUUGAGUGUUUGCAUCUGUGCUAGGUUUCAAUCAGAUCCUAGAGAAUCUCAUCUCAGUACUGCGAAACGCAUCAUUAAAUACGUUGCUUCAUCAUCAAGCAUCGGUCUUUGGUAUCCUAAGAAGGGAGACUUUAAUCUUCUGGGAUAUUCAGACGCAGAUCUGGCCGGUUGCAGAGUUGAUAGAAAGAGCACUUCAGGAACUUGCCAGUUGCUUGGAAGCAGGACAGUGUCUUGGUUUUCAAGGAAACAAAGCACUGUGUCUCUUUCAACAACAGAAGCAGAGUAUGUAGCUCUUGGAAGCUACUGUUCGCAAAUUCUAUGGAUAAAACAACAGCUAAGAGAUUUUGAAAUUGAAGACUCAUGCACGGAGAUUAAUUGCGACAACACCAGCGCUAUCAACCUCACCAAAAAUCCUAUUCUCCACUCAAGAGCAAAGCAUAUAGAGAUUCGACAUCACUUUAUUAGAGAUCAUGUUCAAAAUGGAGAUGUUUCAAUUCAAUUUGUUGACUCAAAGAAUCAACUGGCUGAUAUACUCACAAAGCCUUUGGAGAAAAAUCAAUUUGAGUCUAUACGGUCCAGACUCAACAUUUUGAGGUAUGAGGAUAUCAAAGUCUAAAGACUGUCAGACUCAGGCUUACAAGACUUUAUCUACUGUCUUGGCUCGACCUUCAGACUGUAAGUCUUUCUCUCUCCAAUCUUAUCUUGAAAAGGUACGAUCAUCAGGCUAUGUUUAAAUUGUUGCUAUAUUUAAUUAACGUAAAUAUUGCAUCGAUUCAUUUUCAAAAGGGAAGUUAUUUUUGAAAUAACUAUUUUUGUGGAUAAAGACAGUUAUUUUGAAAAGGCAUAUUUUUAUUUCCUUUGUGACGGUUCGUUUACUCUUCUUUUUAACCGAUUGUGCACUGUCGAUUUCUCUUCACUUUUCUAUUCACUUUUCUCUCAAAAACUCUAGAAAGCAUCGAUCCUCAAUUCCCGUUUGUCUUCUUCGCUCAAUCUUCAAAAAGUUGUCAUCUUUUCUAGGAAAGUCAAGCAAGGAAUCUUCCAAACACUGAGAAAGAUGUCAUCUUCACGAAAGUCCUCAAGAAUCGCAAGCAGGGGACCACGGAGAAUGAGUGAGGGGCCUACGCACUUCGAUCUUACUGAAGAUGAAGUUACUCCAGAUCAGCAACCGAGCCCACAACAUUCUCAGCAGCGUCAGUCUCCUCCAUCUAGUCCUCAAGGCGGUGUUCAUCAGCAUCAAGAAGAAAUCAUCGAGGAUGCAGACCCAGUAAGAGUUCAAAAGCCCGCUUUUAUUUACAAGCUAUAUCGUGCCUUAAAAGGAAUUCGUACUCUUUUGAACUAUGUUGAUGAGUUUCUAAGAGACAAAGGAUAUAGGAACGAAUAUAUCUUUCUGCGAAAAAUGGAAAGUUUGGGAAUCGCUCGUAAAGGGGUGGCUGAGGAAACCCUUGCGAAUAUCCCAAGUGAUCCUCGUGACUGGGGACCGAAUCCUGUAGAUGGGAAUGACGAUGACAAUCUGUUCAGUUUAUUUCAACCGAAAAUGGGUAUUGCGGCUGAAAUUCAAGGAAAAAGGGGAGAUUUGUUCAGAUCAAAGGAACAAAAGGAUCUGUACUCGAAAUUACUGAAGCGUGGGGUAAUAAACCCUAGGAGUGUGGACUUUGAUUUUCUGGAUGCUGUGAAAGUGAACUUGAGGGAAAAGUUCAGUUAUCUUCAACUUGAAAAGUUUUGCUCUGACUCAACUGAGGCUUAUGCUGAAUUGACUGCAUAUUUCUAUUCAAAUCUUAGCUUUUUGGAUGCGAAUAGAUUCUCCUUCAGUGUUAAAGAACAAGACUAUGUUGUGGAUAUGAAUAUGCUGGCAGAUGUGUUAGAAGUUGAGAGAGGCAGAUAUCAACCAAUUAAAGUUUCCAUUGCUCGGGCCACACUUGAACUGGUGAAGGACAGGAGAACAGAUGAGAAGAUAACCUACUCACGGAUGAAUGCAUUCAACAUCUUGCUUCACAAGAUUGUGAUCAAUUGCCUUCGGCCGAAAUCAACUUCCAAAACUGAUGUUUCAAGCUCUGAGGCAAAGUUGAUGUAUGUCAUCCUCUGUGGAAAGCAGUUCUCUCUCCCUCAUACUGUUAUGUGCCACAUGUAUAGAGUAGUGAUGAAGGACAGAGGUCAACUCCCUUACCCAAGCCUUGUUACGAAGUUAUUCAGACAUCUGAAUAUUCAGCCUCCGCAAAUCUUUUGUGUUCGAUCAUGCGAUCAUAUGGUGGUAGGACUGAAAAUGGUGACCAAAAUGCGUCUGAAGGAACUGAGCAAGGAAUUGGAGAAAUUCAAGGAGAAGACUCCUGCCAAAUCUCAUCAACUCUCUUCUGCUGCUAAGAGAAAAGGGAAGGAGCCCAUGGCUGCGUCAUCAAAGAGAAGAAGAGCUCUCCUCGUUGAGGAUGAAGAUGAUGACGAAGACAUCACCAUCUCUGCAAUGGCUUUGAAGAAUUUAAGUCGUCCUGUUCCACAGAAAGAAUCGGAACAAAAGACGAAAGAAGCAGAGGAGAAGGAAGAAGAAGAAAGAGAAGCAAAGGAGAAGGAAGAAGAAGAAAGAGAAGCAGAGCAAGAAGCAGAGAAAGAAAGACCUGAAGAAGAAAGAAGAGAAGAAGGAGAACCUGAGGAAAUCUCUUCUCCACCUGUAGGCAUGGAAAUAGGGGGAGAUCAGGAGAAAAGAGUGACGUCUUCAUAUCCUGAUGCAAGUGAAGGAGUCAGUCGCUCGCCUGCAGACCCAGAAGAUGUUUAUGCAUCCCUGCAGACCCAGAAGAUGUUUAUGCAUCUCAGUUUCUAGAGGAAGGUCAUGAAGCUUCAUCGCCAAAUCUGCAAGAUUAUGCUGAUCUACCAUCUUCUGUAGAUCGAGCCGAAGCAAGUACUCAGACUGAUAAUGGAGCAGAUUUUUGCAGAAUCAUGGAUAUUCUCUUGGAGAUGAAAGGUCAGAUUUAUGCCUUGGGAUGCGAAGUUCAAAGUUUAAAGAAUGAAAGUCAAGCUUCUUCCUGUUCAUUGAAUGAUAAGAUGCAAGCCCUCUCUAUUCAGAAUCAGGCCAAUGCCAAGAGUGAGGAGGUUGUACAGCUGAAGGAAGACUUUAAAAGGCUGGAAGGCAUCGUUCAGUCUAUGGAAGAUUUCCAGCUUGUCCGCAUUCCCAAGACUUCAUCUCAUCCUUUUUAAUGAUGACAAAAAGGGGGAGAGAUGCAUGAUUUGAUAAAAAAAACUUUCAAUCAUUUUUUAACUGUUUGUUGGAUUGUGUUGUUGUUUAACUGUUUUUGACAAGACUUUGACUUUGUUUUGUGUCUGGAUGAGAUCUGAACUAGACUUGGACUUGACUGCUUCUAUUAACAAGUAUUGAUAUCUUAUGGAUGGUUUUAUUAUAUACUAGACUAACCUAUUUUCUGUGGUUGCAGAUUCUAGUGUUAAUCUUUUAGCCAUUCAUCUCUAUAAGAUAUGCAUAUGUGUUUGAGAAAUGUUUUGCAGGUCAAAGUUAUCCAAAUCUGCAGGAAGGUUUUGUCACCAUCAAAAAGGGGGAGAUUGUUGGAGAAAUCUUCGUGAAGUGUUUUGAAGUUGACAAAACGUUUCCAUCAGUCUAGUCUGAAGGUCUGCAGACUCUGUUAGUUAAAGUCUGAAGACUUCCAGACAGCCAGACUCAAGACUCAAAGUCUAUCCUCAUUGACAGUCUCUAAUCCGUUGAAGAAAGGUUAUCCAAAACUGGAUGUUUUGUUCAGGAUUUAACCUUAUCAUCUGGAGAAGAUCUCGUGGUUGGAGAAGACGUAUAAGAAUCCUUUGAUUGAUCAAGAUUGAUUCAAUGACUGAAGAUUUGAUGAUUGUCUAAAUAUUAUUGGAAGGUUCUACUUAUGGAAACCGAGAUCCUGAUUGUAUGGGCGAACAGGAUUGAUGGGCUAUCAACACGUUCCUUUAAUAGCUCGAACAAUCUUCCUAAUUGAUUCCGUCCAACGGGUAGAUUGGAGGAAUUCCUUUGGUAAGUGCCAACGGGUAUGAUGGCAUAAAGGAGUAUAUAAGGAAGACGUUCUUAGUUGUUCGAGGUGUGCGCGAUAGAAGAAUUCCAAAGUCUGAAGCUCCUAUUUGUUUAGAUAAAUCCUUUGAGCGAAUACUUGUAUACAAAAGAGAGUCUAUAUUUGUGAGAGACCUUGAGGAGGUGUGGUAAAACAUCUACACUGUGGAAUCAAGGCAAAGCUGUGCUGUAACUUCUCUUUUGAUCAUAGUGAAAUCCAGCCGGUGGGCUGUCAGUGCGGAAGAGUGGACGUAGGCUUGGAAUAAGCCGAACCACUAUAAAUCAUGUGUUCAAUUUUCUCUUCCUCACUCUCUCUACCUUAAUCGUAUUUCUUUUUGUUAAUUAGGAGAGAAUUUACUUUCUAUCAUACGUUAAGAAUCGCUUCCGUAUAUCGAUAAAUUGUUUAGGCACCUAUUCACCCCCCUUUAGGUACUCAUACUAGCAAUAUCAUUUUGCACUACGAACCGAGCCAGUAAUUUGAUCUCACAAGGCUUUAAUUUUCUCUCCUGCUCAAGAAUGUUUCAUUACAUAGAUCUUGAUCAUGUUUGUCCAUUUUGCUUUUGAUGUUUAAUUCAUCUGUCGUUGCAGCUAUUUAAUAACGAGAAGUUCCACAAGGAAGUGAUAGCAAGGACACCGAUCGGUCGCACCGGAGAACCGAUGAAAGUGCCGUCGUUGGUGGGAUUCUUGUCCAUGCCGGUAGCCUCUUAUAUAAUGGGGCAAACCAUUUGUGUUGAUGAGGAUUCGCCGUGAAUGGUUUCUUAUUUCCUAUGUAACGUGAGUCCAACUUUCUUCUUCCCAUAAGAAGUUCAGCAUUCUUAGUCAUCGCAAGGACAAAGAACCUAUAAUGGCGAAAUCUCUGAACAUUGAUGUAUCCAUUUCGCCAGUGGCCGGCGAGGCGACCUCCUCAACGGGAGGAUCUACGGGUGGCUAUCCCUCUCUCUCUCUCUCUCUCUCUCUCGUUUGAAGUUGUGAGCGCUCGCUUGGAACCGUUCUCUCUCUCCGCCUCAAUCCAUGCCUUGCGAUUGCGCCUCCGAAGUGCGAGCAAGCUCGUAGCUUCUGAUCGCCGCCGCAUUGUGGACGGCGAGCGAGGAGCCUCGCUGACCACUGGUGAGGUCAACCCCUCGCCUUGGCUGGGCGAGGCCUUGCCGGAUCUGGCGAGGCCUCGCCCUCGCCAUUGGCCGGCGAGGCUGACCUCGCCAGAUCUAGUAGGGCCUCGCCCUCACCGGCCCUUGCCUCCGCCCAGUGGGGGUGAGCCUCGCCAUUGGCCGGCGAGGCUGACCAUGCCAGCCCUCGCCUCUGGCCGGCCAGGAGGCGAAGAAGAUGAUGGAAAAAAAAAGAAUUAAAAAAUUCCAAAAAAGUAUUAAAAAUUCGAAAAAAAAAUUAAAAAAAAUUAAAAAAUGUCACGUUAGCGUUCACUGGUCCAUGUCAGCGUCAGCCGGCCAAUUUUUGCCAGAUGGACUGAAUUGACACAAUUAUAAAAGGUUUAGGACUAAAUUGGCAAAAAAAAAGUUUAGGACUGAAUCUUACAAAAGCUUUGACUGAGAUAAUUGUAUACGGUACCAUUAUUAUCGUGCCACAGGCACAGGUUCAUCGCUAGUUAGCAGAUAUAAAAUUAGUUUGAUUGGCAAAUUUUUACGGCCUCUUUAUACCAGUUACACAAAGUUUUGCCGCUAGUUAGCAUAUAUAAAAUUGGUUUGUGAAAAGCUCAAGUGUCUUAUUUUUAUGAGCAGUGUUUUGUUUCAGAUCAUAUGGAUUUUAGGUCAAGUGCAUAUCAAAGAGAGCACAUAUCUCUUAUAGUUCAAGUUGGGUCAAGUAAUGAGGAAAUCCGAUUAGGUCCAUUAACACUUCUAGUUGGUAUGAGUUAGGAAGAGUCCACGUUAAGUUUUUGAAAAUAAUGCUUCAGCUUUUCUUUUGAUGGUUUAUCUUUGGGAAAGUCACAGCACUAUCAUAUUACUCACGUUGCACUACGGUCACGAACAUUGGCAUUAUAUGACAUCUGUAUGAAUAAUAACUAUCAUUUAAAAAAUUACCAGAUUGUUCGAUGUGUAACUUGAAAAACAUGAGUCGACGUGGUGCUUUCGGCGAAAGGCAGGCGUGGGGACAUGCGUGCUUCCAUGAUUGAAUGCAAAUCCGUCAAGGGGCCCUGAAUCUUGUCAUCGCCUUUGUUCUCCCACUAGGUAGACUUCAAGGACCUUAUGCAAGGAGUGGCUCCCAGUUCCCACUAUUAUAGAUGAAGUCAAAUAUUUGUUUUUAGGGGCUUUUUUUGUCUUUUCUAUUAGAUUUCCUUUUAGCGAUGGCAAAACCCUAGCUGUCAAGACGCUGAAAAAGAAAAUAGAGAGACAAGAAAAAGAGAGAAGAAAAAAGUGAGUUUUUUUCUUGAUGAGGGUUCUCAAUCUCUUUAUGCCCUGAUCUUGAGAGAAGAUCGUCGUUGUAUUCCAACUUUUUCGAAGUCUAAUGGAUUUGCAGAGUGCCUCUGUGCAGAGACGUAACCUAGGUUUGGGUGAACUUCGAUAACAAAUUUUCUGGCGUGUUCAUCUAAUUCUGCUCUUUUAUUACUAUAUUAUGUCUGGUGAAUUGUUUGCGAGCGUUAUUUUUCUAGAAUCGACGUGUGAUUUCGUAACAACUUGUAUCAGAGCUUGGGUUGCCUAAUCGAGAACAUCGAGGGUUUUUCAGUGACGUUCGAUUGAAAGCAAACAGAAUGGCAGAAGAUAAAAUCAGAAUCGAUAAGUUCAAUGGGGAGGACUUCGGAUGGUGGAAACUAAAAAUAGAGAAUUAUCUUUAUCAAAAAGAUCUCUAUGCACCACUUGAGGGUUGGAAACCCGAGAUGGCAGAAGUGGAUCCGAUAGCAGAAGCCGGAUGGAAAAUUCUUGAUCGAAAAGCAUUAGGUGCGAUUCAUCUAGGGUUGACAAAAAAGACAGGGUACCACAUCACGAAAGCAAAAACUGCAAAAGAAGCCAUGGAUAUUCUAACGAAUAUUUAUGAGAAGCCGUCCACAUCAAAUCAGGUAUUUUUGCUGAAGAAAAUGGUUAAUAUGAAAUUAUCUGAUAGAGGUUUUGUGGCAGAGCAUAUUAAUAGUUUCACGCAGGUCAUGGGUCAAUUGGAAUCUGCAAGCAUAAAUUUAGAUAUGAAGCUUCAAGCUUUAUUAUUUUUAUGUUCUCUUCCAGAAAGCUACAAUACUGCAAUGCAGGGAAUUUCGAGCACCAUGAAGGAUGAUUUAACUCUUGAUGAUACUGUGAGUAGUAUAAUUUUUCUGUGGAUAUAAUUUUUCUGCAUCUACAUCUUCAACGGCACUCGCAGUGGAGAACCAUGGAAGAAGUAAAAGUAGAGAAAAUUUCAGCGGUCAUGGCAGAUCACAAUCAAAGGGUAAGAGACAGGUUGCAAAAGAUGAGUGUUGGUUUUGUCACAAAACCGGAUACCGGAGGUUUUAGCGUGGAGCCUACAAAAAGAAGCAGCAAGAUGAGAAUUAAGGUGCUAAUGUAGUUAGCGAUGAAUCUUUGCUAGAUAACUUGUGUUUGUCUGUAGGGUUUGACUUGACAAUAGAUAAAUGGUUUAUUGAUUCUGGCGCUUCUUUUCAUUGCACCUCGCAAAGAGACAUAUUUGAUGAUUAUGCCAGUGGAGAUUUUGGACAAGUGGUUGUGGGAAACGGCCACAUGUGUCCAAUUGUUGGGAAAUGAACCGUGACUAUGAACAUCUCAGGUGGAGAACGUCUAGUUUUGCGUGAAACUAGGCAUAUUCCGGAAUUAAAGAAAAAUCUAAUUUCAACCAGUAAACUUGACCAAGAAGGUUUGGUAAUAACCUCUGGCUGCGAAGAGUGGAAGAUAACCUCAGGGGUAAGAGUAGUAGCAAAGGGAAAGCGUACAGGUACAGUUUACCUUCUCCAAGGAGACAAUAUCAGUGAUAUGGUUGCAACUACAAUGGCUACAGGUAAUUUAUCUACUCAUUGGCAUUAUCGUUUGGGACAUCUUGGUGAAAAAUGUGUAAAGCAGUUACACUCGAGAAAAUUACUCCCAUGUUUGCAAAAAGUUGAGUUAGAUUUUUGUGAGAGUUGCAUUUAUAGAAAACAGAAGGCUGUUAGUUUUCAAUUGAAUAGGCGACAAAAUAAAGGCCAGAAGCUAGAGUUGGUUCAUACUGAUAUAUGGGGACCUACUCAGGAACUCUCUUAUGGUGGUAAGAGAUAUUUUGUUACAUUCAUUGAUGAUGCAACAAGGAAGACUUGGGUCUAUGCUCUUAGAGAAAAGUCAAAAGUAUUUGGGAUGUUCAGAAUGUGGAAGACCAUAGUAGAAAAAGAAACAGGUUAUCAUAUUAAAGCUCUGAAGUCUGAUAAUGGUGGUGAAUACACAAAUAAAGAAUUUGCAGAAUAUUUGAGUCGAGAAGGCAUACACGCGCUAAAGACUGUUCCUAAAACUCCUCAAGAGAACGGUAUAGCUGAAAGAAUGAACAGAACUAUUCUAGAACGUGCGAGAUGCAUGAGAUUACACGCUGGUCUCCCGCUACACUUAUGGGUUGCCACAGUUGAUACAGCUGUUUAUCUUAUCAACAGAAGUCCAUCUAGUGUGUUAGAUGGAGAAAUACCACAAGAGCGGUGGUCAGGUAAAAAGAUUAAUUAUUCACAUCUAAAGGUGUUUGGUUGUAUUGCAUAUGCUUUGUUUGAUAAGGAGUAUAGGAAAAAACUUGAUGCUAAGUCCCAGAAGUGCGUCUUUAUUGGAUACGGUGGCGACGAGUAUGGUUAUAGGCUUUGGGAUUAUGAGAAUAACAAAGUCAUCCGCAGUCGCAAUGUGGUAUUCCAUGAAGAAAAGAUGUACAAGGAUCGUCAGACAGAGACAGAGCAUGAGAAGGUAGUACAACCAGAAUAUGUUGAAUUAGACACGAUGUCCGUGAAGAUGUUUCCAGUAGAUCAAAGCUCACCUAAAAGAGAGGUUGAAGAUGAGCCUAUUAUUAGUGAAGAGGUAAUUCAAGAAGAACGCAAUGAUUCGGAGCAAACGAAUGACCCUGAAGUACCUGUCUUGAGAAGGUCUACACGUGUGAGAAAGCUAAAGGUAAUUUUUGAUCCAUCAACUAAUACUGUUCUGAGCCAUGUCUUAUCUACAGAUUCGGGAGAACCGGAAACUUACGAUGAGGAGAAGGCAGACACGUCUCACUUGCAGUGGGAGUGUGCUAUGAAAGACGAGAUGAGCUCAUUAUUUCAAAACAAAACUUGGGAGUUGACCAAGUUGCCCACGGGUAAAAAAGCUUUAUUAAACAAAUGGGUGUACAGGGUUAAGAAUGAAGUAGAUGGUAGUAUUAGAUACAAGGCGAGACUUGUAGUCAAGGGCUUUUCUCAAAAAGAAGGGAUCGACUACUUCGAGAUAUUUUCACCUAUAGUGAAAAUGACAUCAAUUAGAGUUCUGCUGAGUAUAGUUGCAGUGGAGGAUCUUCAUAUUGAGCAAUUAGAUGUAAAAAUAGCGUUUUUACACGGUGACUUAGAUGAAGAACUAUACAUGGCACGGCCUAAAGGUUUUGAAGUCAAAGGUAAGGAGCACAUGGUAUGUCGCUUGAAGAAAAGCUUGUAUGGCUUGAAACAAGCUCCGUGGCAAUGGUACCUAAAAUUUAAUGGUUUCAUGCCAAAAAAAAAAAGGAUUUGCACACUGUGAGUCUGAUCACUGUGUUUAUUUUCGCAAAUAUGAUGUUGGUGACAUUGUGUAUCUCUCUUUAUAUGUGGAUGACAUGCUGGUGGCUAGUUCUAAUAUGAAGAGAAUCGUAGAAGUGAAAAAGAUGUUAUCAUUACAGUUUACUAUGAAAGACUUGGGAGAAGCCAGGAAUAUUUUAGGCAUGAAAAUCAUCAGGGACAGGAAAAAUAAGAAAUUAUGGUUGUCGCAGGAAGACUAUGUGAACAAGGUGUUAAAGAGAUUUAACAUGGACAAGGCAAAACCGGUUGCAACUCCUCUAGCGAGUCACUUCAAACUUUAUAAGGAUAUGUGUCUAAGCACUCAGGCUUUGAAAGAUGAGAUGGCGGUAGUUCCAUAUGCAUCAGCAGUUGGGAGUUUGAUGUAUGCCAUGGUGAGCACGAGACCAGACAUUGCACAUGCAGUGGGAGUUGUGAGUCGAUAUAUGCAAAACCCAGGUAGAGAGCAUUGGAAUGCAGUUAAAUGGAUAUUGAGAUAUCUAGCAGGUACUUCUAAUUACUCACUUUGUUAUGGUGGUACAUCUCUAGAGUUGUAGGGUUAUGUAGAUGCAAAUCAUUCGGGUGAUCGAGAUAGUGGUAAGAGUACCACUGGAUAUGUUGUAGGUACAAUAGUGAGUUGGGUAUCUCAACUACAAAAAGUAGUGGCUUUAUCGACAACAGAGGUAGAAUACAUGGCUAUCACAGAAGCCUCCAAGAAAAUCACGUGGUUACAAGAUUAUAUGGAGUUACAUCGAAAACAGCAAGUUAGUACACUUUGGAGUGAUAGUCAAAGUGCGGUGCACUUAGCAAAGAAUGCAGCUUAUCACUCACGGACUAGACAUAUCAAGAAGCCUUAUCACUUUAUCAGGUCAGCAUUGAAAGAUAAUGAGUUAAAGUUACAGAAGAUUGAUGGCUCGAAGAAUCCAACUGACAUGAUGACCAAGGUAGUAGACAAAGAGAAGCAUAUUUUCUGUACUACUACCAUUGGUAUUACUCCAUGCUGAUUGAUGAGGAGUAUCGCAGAGGCACAAGUUUUUCAACUACUAUUUCUUGAAGAAGAUGGAUGCAAAGUUGCUUGACGCUUGGGUAUAUUUGUCUUCGAGCGGGAGAUUGUUAUAGAUGAAGUCAAAUAUUUGUUUUUAGGGGCUUUUUUGUCUUUUCUAUUAGAUUUCAUUUUAGGUUAAAAGUGGUAUCUUUAUAUUAGCAAUGGCAAAACCCUAGCUGUCAAGACGCUGAAAAUGGAAAUAGAGAGAUAAAAAAAAGAGAGAAGAAAAAAGUGAGUUUUUUUCUUGAUGAGGGUUCUCAAUCUCUUUGUGCCCUGAUUUUGAGAGAAGAUCGUUGUUGUAUUACAACUUUUUCGAAGUCUAGUGGAUUCGUAGAGUGCCUCUGUGUGGAGACGUAGCUCAAGUUUUGGUGAACUUCGAUAACAAAUUUUAUGGUGUGUUCAUCUGAUUAUGCUUUUUUAUUACUAUAUUAUGUCUGGUGAAUUGUUUGCGAGCGUUAUUUUUCUGGAAUCGACGUGCGAUUUCGUAACACCCACGUGGCGUGAGGAUCUCGAUCAGGAAUCCCCUCUGCCAAACGAUAACUCUUGAUCAGGCAUUGGACAGAAGGGCUUAUAUAAUACAGGGGGAAGUCAGGGAGAAAAGCACAAAGAAAGAGUUGGGAGUAAAAAUCAAAUUUUAGAGAAAGAGAGAGGGAGAAUGGCUUCCGAGGGGAAGAGGACUGCAAGUACAUGUCGCACUCGCAACGGCGACAACGACAAUAGGUGGUCGCUUCAGGGAAUGACUGCUCUCGUCACCGGCGGUAGUAAAGGAAUUGGGUCUCUCUCUCUCUCUCUCUCUCUCUCUCUCUCUCUCUCUCUCUCUCUCUCUCUCUCUUUCUCUCUCAGACUCACCGAACACUUCCUUUUUUAUGUUGUUCAUUUAGAUGAUCGAUCAACUGUCAUGGUUUAGGUUAAGAAAAAAAAAACAUCAUAAUUUAGGCAUUUGAAGACAGUCAAUCCUGUGCCUAUGGCAAUCACACUAAUUUUAUAUGUUAACUAAAGACCAACUUGCAGCAAAUCUCAACCGUCCACGUAAAAUUAGUGAAUUGAUCUCGUAAUGACCAAUGGAUGAAGUUGGGAGGAAGGUAAGGUUGCAUUUGUGUUUUAGAGUAUGUACUUAAACUUAUAUGACUACUGAUUAGGGUGCUUAAAAUAAAUUAUUUGUUUUUACAAUUUCCAUUUUGUGUGUGUGUGUUUUUUAAAUUUUGGAAUAUCUAUUAUAGCAAAAUGGGUAUAGUUGCCAACUUAGGACUAUCCGGGUCCGAAAAAUUCAAGUCAGGCAUGUCAGAUAGGGCUUUCAACUAUAGCAGGUGCUUUUGAAUCUGAUUAUAUUCGAUUUCAUAGAUAAAAUGCUAGACAACUAAUUUCAUGAUCAUUCAAAACUUUAUAUGACGAAGAUGAUGAGAGAUCAAUUACUUCGAGGAUUUGUAGCUGGAUAGGCUUGGUUUAUGCAUUUUUUUAUUUAAAGUUUUGUUGUCUUUAGAUGUUAAUAGCUCACAGACAUGUCGCUAGCUAGUAGAAUUUGCAUUCUCCGAUUGUCAUGAUCCAGUGCAUUUAAAGGCUUUAAUCAUCUGUUAGACUUCAAUUGCCUGUGCAAUCAAAUCUUCCGCACAUUCCAAUGUAUNNNNNNNNNNNNNNNNNNNNNNNNNNNNNNNNNNNNNNNNNNNNNNNNNNNNNNNNNNNNNNNNNNNNNNNNNNNNNNNNNNNNNNNNNNNNNNNNNNNNNNNNNNNNNNNNNNNNNNNNNNNNNNNNNNNNNNNNNNNNNNNNNNNNNNNNNNNNNNNNNNNNNNNNNNNNNNNNNNNNNNNNNNNNNNNNNNNNNNNNNNNNNNNNNNNNNNNNNNNNNNNNNNNNNNNNNNNNNNNNNNNNNNNNNNNNNNNNNNNNNNNNNNNNNNNNNNNNNNNNNNNNNNNNNNNNNNNNNNNNNNNNNNNNNNNNNNNNNNNNNNNNNNNNNNNNNNNNNNNNNNNNNNNNNNNNNNNNNNNNNNCGAUUUGUGCUUUUAUUUCGAUAGAUUUUGUCCGCUUUUCAUUUCUGGGAUUGGUUUGUGUGUUAGAUAAACAACGUUGGGACUCUGGGGACAACUGGUGGAAUGCCGACCGUGGAUUACACGGCGGAAGAUUUCUCCUUCAUCAUGACUACUAACUUCGAAUCGGCUUAUCACUUGAGCCAGCUCGCGCAUCCUCUUCUCAAGGCUUCGGGAACCGGAAGCAUCGUGUUCUUGUCAUCCGUCUGCGGUAUUGUUUCACUCAGCGUCGGAUCAAUUUAUUCAGCCACAAAAGGUGAAUUGAUAGUAUCAUGAGCAACUAUUUAAACACUUUUAAUAUGGAGCUAAACAAAUUCCAUAUGUUUCUUACUUUCUCAACUCAUUGUUAGGAGCAAUGAACCAGUUGACCAAGAAUUUGGCGUGCGAAUGGGCUAAGGACAACAUAAGAAGCAACUCUGUUGCACCUUAUUUUAUUCUGACUCCAUUGACCGAGCCUGUAAUUUAAUGUCCCAAGGCUCUAACUUUUCAUCUUGAUCAUUUUUCCCAUCGUGAUCUAACGUUAACCCAUCCGUCGUCGCAGCUACUUUGUAGUGAGGAGUACCAUAAGGAGGCAAUAGCAAGGGCGCCGCUCGGUCGCACAGGAAAGCCGAAGGAGGUGUCGUCACUUGUGGCCUUCUUGUGCUUGCCGGCAGCCUCCUAUAUAACGGGGCAGACCAUUUGUGUCGAUGGAGGAUUCACUGUCAAUGGCUUCUCCUUUCCUAGAGCAUGAGUGUAACUUUCUUCUGUGUCUGAGAUGUUUGUCGUGCAUUGCCGUCGCAGGGAUAAAGAAGUUUAUUAACCAAUAAUGGCAACAUCGCAAUACGCUUCAAUGUGUACGUCGAUCAUUUGUUGACCGCAUAUACGGGAGAGUAUCGUACUCCCACUUUGUAUUCCCUUUCGAGCUCUUUUAUGCAAUUGCCUAUGAGUAAAAUUUACGUACUUGAGAAGCAAUGAUGGAAACAAUAAACAUGAUAUACUACAACAGCAUUAUCCGAGAAUAUAACAUUUUUUGUACACAAGACAAACGAAGUUUGAUUCCCAUAUAUGUUAUAUCUGUUUUCCAUAUACCUAAACGCUAAAUCAUAAAAUCCAAAGUGUAAUUUAUUAUUAAUUCUUAACACGAAAUUGACCAAGUAUGUUUCGUAGAAAUUGUAUUGUCAAAAUCGUCUUUGUAAUGCUAUGUUAAAAAAUGCCUCCUUUUAUAGCACUGCCUAGGUCAAAGAGAUGUUUUAAUUUGAACAUGAGAACCACAGCAUCAAGUGGUUGGCCAAGGUUGCUGGCUACAUUAUUAAUUAUGAUUGAUCGAGAAGGUAUGAAUCGAGAAACUAGAUGCAUUGGAAAUAUAGAACCACUGAAAUUAACAUAUAUAGCUUUAUAUAACCGUAGCAAGGUAGACGUUAUCACUAGCUUCGCCAUCAUAUGAGUGAGAGGUGUGAUGGUGGGAGUAAAAUUCAAUAACGUAGCCUGAAAACAUGCCGGAGAAUUCUUUUUAGUAAUCUAAAAAUAGCAUCAAAUGCCUUGACCCUAUAGGCUCACAGUGUUGAGCUAUGUAGGAGCUUUUGGACGGGCAAUACUGACCACAUAACUCUGGGUUGAUCAAGUCUUAUCUCUAGUUAAAGUAGAGGUGCACGAAAUUUCGGGCCUAAGCUAGAAAAGUCCGGAUCAGAGACGGCUAAUUCAUUUUGAUUCGGGCUAGUGUAAUUAAGGACUAGGCGCAACCUAUAAUCAUUACGAUCAAUUUGUUUUGGAUGGGCCAAGAAAUACACAAGUGCUUGGCCAAGCACAAUCUUACUAUCUCUGAAAUUAUUAUAAAGGAAUGAUAUAUCAAAAUUGACAAUUUUUAAAUGCCUAAAUCAUGAAGUUAUUUUUCUCAACCUAAACCAUAACAAUUAAUCGAUCAUCUAAAUCAACGAAAUAAGAAAAACGAAGUGUUCGGUGAGAGACGGAGAGGGAGAGAGAGAGAGAGAGACCCGAUUCCUUUGGUAUCACCAAUGACCAGAGCGGCCAUUCCCUGAAGCGAUCACCUGUUGUCGUCGUUGCCGUUGCGACUGCUGCAUCUACUUGCAGUCCCCUUCCCCUCACGCCGCAUGUGAAUUGCGAACCACUCCCAACGUAAGGUCAUAGGAGUCUGCCGAGGGUGAGAACUGUGGCAAUGACAAGAUUUAGGACGCCACAACGAUUUCGAACCGCAGAAUUUGCAUUCUAUCAUGGAAGUUGGCAAGUCCCACACCUAUCUUUUAUCAAAGCACCACGUUACUUGUGUUUUCAUGUUACUCGGGUUGAACAUAUUGAACAAUCUUGUAAUUGUUGCACCGAUAGUUAUUCAUACAUUUGUAAUUGGUGCAAUGUAAGUAACAUGAUAGUGUCGCAACUUUCCCAAAUGUGAAUCACCAAAAAGAAAAUUAAUGAAUUACUAAACCCAGAGACUUAGUGCAAACUUUUCCAAUCUCAUACUGAUUGUAUUCUUCGAGUUUUUAAACUUUAAUUAGCAUAACAUGUAAAUUAGUUUAUUUACGAGUCGCCACUCAUCAAUUAUCAGUAGCUCGAUUACACAUGCCAUAUUUUUCGGGUUUUUUAAUUUAAUUAGCAUAACAUGCAAAUUAGGUUAUUCAUGAGUCACCACUCAUCAAUUAUCAGUAGUCGAUUACACACGUAAGCAAAGUAUAGAAGAGUACUUUACUUUUAAGACUAAAAAAUUCAUGGAUAUAGGGACUUGAAUGACAAAUAAAUCUAACACACUUUUAGUAGAUUUUUUUUCUUUAUUUCAAAAAUGUUUUGGAUCAAUUUUAAUUUAAGUCACUAAUAUAGAGGUGAUUAUGCAGGUGCACAAAUAAAAAUUUAACAAUCAAUAAUCAAAGCAAUAAAUAAAUCUUUAGAGAUCGGGCAAAUAUAUGAAUACCUUAAGCAAGUAAAAGCCAAUUAAUUACUAUAGAUAGGAUGUUUUGCAACAUAUUAACUAUAAAAUGCAUGCAUGUCCAUUUCUACAUGUAAUGACAUCUAACGAGAUGUGGACACCGGGAGUGCUAGGACUUGACACUGGGGGACACUUAAGUGCUAAAAGUCCUAAAAGAUAUACUUAAGUGUCAAAAUCGAAGAAAAAUGAAACACUUAAAUGUCAACGGUGAGAAAAUCUGAUCAAAUUGCUGACAUGACCUUCUUUCGACAAGACGAGUGUAAAAUGAUGUUUUUGGCACUAACGUGGCUAGAUAAGUGCAAAACAACAUCUUAUGGUGUUGAUGUAGCUCCAAAAUUGAAUUUUAAUAUAACAUCAAUUAAAAUAAUUAUUUAAAAAAAAAGAUAUACAAUAGCAUUUUAUGAGUCACCCCAUCAUCGCUAAGAGAGGUUGGCGAGGUGGGGUGAGGGUCAACUGAAGUCAUCGGCCCCUGGGCAGUGGCCAACGACCCUAGCCGAUUUUCAACAAGGGCUUGCAGGCCCUCAUUUAGAUAUGAGGUGAGGGUCAUAGCCCUCCCCCAGAUUCGAUAAGGGUUGCCAGCCCUUGCCUAGAGGGGCCAAGGGCCACCAUUGGCCGCAACAACUCUCAUCCUAGAUUUGGGCAAGGGCUUGCCACUGCUUAGGGGCCGAUGACCCCAGCUAACCCUUGUCCUAUCGUUGCCUGCCCUUUCCAGCAAUGGUGGGUGGCGGUGACAAGGCCUUAACCCAAAACUAACCUAUUCCCUCCUCUUCUUCUUCUUCUUCUUCUUCUUUUAAUUUAAAUAAUUUACUUUUUAAUUAAUAUUGAAUUAAUAAAUUUAGGGGCAAAACGAUUGUUAAUAAAUUUAAAUAAUGUCGUUUUGCACCUUCAUUGUUUAAUUGGCUUGCGGCGAACCACAUAAAUCACAUAUAUUAUUAAAAAAAUGCCAAGUUGGAUUUUUGGCUACUUUCACCAAACUUGGCAUUGUGUUUCACUAUUAAAAAAAAGUGGGAUUUAAAUGCACCUUUUGGAAUUUUUAGCACUAAAAUGUUCACUUAUGCCAAGUUUUGGCGUUCUCAAUGUACUUUCUCCAACAUCUAACUAUAAAAAAAAUAUUGAAAAAGUUUACGUUGGUGCCUGACAUAUGUCACAUAGGACUGCCGACAUCCACAUCAAUUAUUUCCAUUCUAAAGUGGUUGAAUAAACUGAAGUGGUACCAAAGUAAAAAGGUUUACGACUAAAGUUUAUAAUUGAAUUUGUACCAAUACAAUAGGUUUAUAAUUUUUUUGGUACCAUUCCCAAUUAUCAAGGUCCCCUUGUUAUGUGGCCAUUGUAUUCGACAUGUUAAUUGCCAGCCUAAUCUUGGUUAAGCGGGCAAUGAUAGUGAUAGCCACCCUCCUAAAGGCAACAUGGAUUCCCCGAGGAAUGUUGACAGAUUGCUAAGCGAGUGUGAAUAGCUACUCUCGCAAGGUGAUACCUUUGCCUAACAUGAGCCCUCCCAAAUUUACCGAACACAACCUAAUUUUUCCAAUAAAUUAUUCAAGCAAUAUUAGACUAAGAAGUUACCACUAACCUAUUAAGUGUCGAGUAGUAACCCAGAUAGGGUGUAGCGGUCAAUCUUACUCCCAAGAACCAAAUUUAAUUAUGCUAUAUGAAUCUAACAUUGUUUUAGUACCCGUCUCUCUAUAAAAUCGUUUUGUCAUAUUAUUGCCUAAAAGUGAUCAUGAAUGGUUCUCAAGCAAUAAAAUAAGCAAUCAGGCAAUAAACAUCAAAUAAUGAAAUAAUAAAUAUCUAGCUAUUAAAUAAAUAACUUGAAUAGCCGAAUUGGGCAAUAAUUAACAAAGCUUUUUUAUAGGCUUCACGGUAAAACCCCAUGUGCUGUAGGUGGAAAGUCUAAAAGUACUCGUGCAAGCUUCCUAAAAUAGACAAUUAUAUCAAAGGAAAGUGAAUAUGCAAAUGUAACAUGCUAUGUAAAGUAAAUAUACCAAAUGAAGUGUUUUUUCGAAAAUGAGCCAUUAAACAUAAGGCUAUAUUUCGAAGCUAGUAUAAAAUUCAAAAUAGGAUAUUAUCAUAUCCUACAUUUGGUGUCGCUCAAGAUAGGAUAUAGUUAAAUAUAAAUGCUAUAGACUGAAUAAUAUUAUCCUAUAGCGAAAGCGGGAUAAAGGUGGAUGUGAUUUCUAACAUCUAUAAUAGGAAAGUUAUUUUUUUCGAAUGAAAAACUUCUUAAAUUAACAAAAUUAUAUUAUAUUUCAAUAUAAAUAAUAUUUGAAUUCUAAUAUAAGAAAUUCAAACUAACAAAAAAUAACAAUUUAUUUAUUUUAAUUUAAUAUUAUUUUAUUUAUAUAAUUUAAUUUAAUUAUAUUUUAUAAUAUAAAUUUCAAUAUAUAUUAUUACAUAUUUUAGGUACUUUAGUAUUUUAGGUAUAUUAGUACAGUUUACUAUUUAAUAACAUUUUAUUAGAGACACACUCGGGUUACUGUUCACUUUCCUCUCCAUUUGGGCGAUUCUGGCACUAUUCACUCCAGCUGGUUUUUUGUGGAUUCUGGUUGAUUCCGCUGGUAUCUGGAGCUGAUUUUUCGUGGGCUAGGUCAUCUGGGGACCGCCUACAAACCCCAGGUAAGCUUGGCUUGGUUGGUUUUCGUUUAUCAAGAUGGGAGCUCUCGAUCAGAAUUUCUGGUGCGCCUAGCUUUUCCCAAUUCUGGUCUCUGUCUUCGUGGGUGGCUUUGACUGAUUGGUGUGCUGAUUGCUGGUGGAUCUCCUUGUCCUUGAAGGCCCUUAAGCCCCUACAAACACCUGGUAUGGCCUGAUUGCUCUCCUUGAUUUAUUCUGGGGUUUGGGCCGGUGCUGUGUUGGGGUACUGUGCUGUUUCGUUAUGGCAUCCUCUUCAAAUCUCCUAAGUCAGUUGGGCCGUCCAAAUGAGGAGUCCCAAGCGGGCUCUAGGCGUGAUAGGAGCCGCCUUAGAUCUGCUUCUCGUGGCCCUAGAGUGGCACGUCCUGCUAGACAAAAAUGGAGUGAGCAGAAAGCUCCUCCAACCCGUUCAUGGGUUAAUGUUGCUAGGCUCUCGACAAAGGGAUAUGAACUUAGCUUCGUGCCUCCAACUUCUGUUGGAAAAAGAGGAGUGGUGCACCUCUCUGAGGAAGUGGUGCAUGCGGCAGAUCCAAAAUGGAAUCAUUGUUUGAUGGGGUAUUUCAUUGGCAAGAAUGUGCCGUUCAAAAUGACUGAGUCAGUCCUUAAGGAGAUGUGGGGCUCCCAUUUAACUGAAAUGCUUGCUGAUGAUGAAGGAUUUUAUUUCUUCUUUAUUCCUGACCCUGAUUACCGCAGGAAGAUUCUUGAGGAAGGUCCAUUGACAGUGAAUAGAGUGCCACUUAUUCUGAAACAAUGGGAUCCCACUCUUGAGCUGAGGAAGGACUUGCAAUCUUCUGUGCCAGUUUGGAUCCGUAUGAAAAACAUACUUUUUGCUUAUUGGUCUGCUCUUGGGAUAAGCCAGAUAGCAAGUGCGGUCGGUAGACCCUUAUAUGUGGACCCAUUGACUAAAAAAAUGAAACGUUUGUCUUUUGCAAGAGUAUGUGUCGAAGUGUCGGCUAAGUUAGAGAAAUGUGAAUCUGUGGAGGUAUUUCUGAAUGGGGAGUCCUUCAUUGUUCCUAUCUUGUACGAAUGGAUACCCAUUGCGUGUCCGAAAUGCCAGGUCUUUGGCCAUAACUGUGAGGAGAAAGAAGUUCCAGCACCCGUAGCAGAUAAGUCCCAUGAUGCUGUUGCUAAGGAAGCUCGAGAUGCUGCUGUGCCUACGGUGCCCCCCUCGAUUCCUCCCGCCCAGCCUCGUAAGGUGUCUUACGCUGACCAGUAGGAUGGCUGGAAGCAGGUAACUCGGAAGAAGAGGCAACCGUCGGGGUCUAAUGGGAAGGACUCUUCGACUCCUAUCUCUUCUUUGAAGUUUAUGGAUAAAUCAUAUUCUUCUCAAGCUUUAAGCAAGUCUGCCCAGAAAAAUAAAGGUGCUUUGAUUCCCAGCCCUACUGGACCUCCUUCCACGAUGGUUCCUGUUGAGCCGAUCCCAGAAUCUGCUUAUAUUGGGUCUGGCUCUACUGCUGAAGAAUCUGAGGAUGUGGCUAGUGCGGUAAGUAGCAGCUCAGAUGAGGAACCUGAUGGUCCUAGUGAAUUGGUUACAAAUGUUAAGCAUUCUGUUGUUUCUGAGGAAGCCCCUGCUAAAAGGAACUCGCCCAAGACUCCGUCUGUCCUAAAGUUGGCCGCCCCUCCUACCCUAGCGUUGGCUGCUCCUCCUGACCCUCCUCAAGGCACUAGCCGAAGGAGAUCACGUCGGUAACUUCUAUUCUCAUCGUAAUACAUUAUAUAGUUAUAUAUAGCUAUGUAUAUUGGAGUUUGGAAUAUUAGGGGACUUGGUACCCAUCUCAAACAAGCUGAAAUCAGAAACUUUGUUAGAUCUCAUAAUCUAUGUUGUGUUGGUAUUGUGGAAACAAAGAUUUCCCAGGGUGCCUUUAGUGCGAUCUCUGCUGUUUUGUUGCCGGGCUGGAAGUGGGAAAACAACUAUAAUCAUUCCUCGAAAGGAAGAAUUUGGGUGGGGUGGAACCCCCGUGAAGUCUUGUUUGUUACGAACUCUUCUUCAGAUCAAGCUAUUCAUGGAAAGUUAUCUUGCUUAAAUUCUGGUAAGGUUCUCUUCCUUACGGUGGUCUAUGCUGAGCAUAGUUUUGUGGCUAGACGUCCUCUUUGGGCUGACAUUAUUCAGACUAGCUCUCUCCUUUCGGGUUUCCCUUGGAUACUAGCAGGAGACUUUAAUGCAAUUCGUGACCCUUCGGAUAGAUUGGGUGGUUCUAAUGGUUGGAUCCCAGCUUUUGAUGAGCUGCGUGAGUGCCUCAUACAAGCUGGUCUUGACGAUCUCAGGUAUACCGGGAAUAGAUUUACUUGGGCUACUUCCAUGGGUGCCAACCGUAAGCAAAGAAAGAUUGAUCGUGUUCUCGUUAAUUCUUGUUGGACUGCUGAAUUUUCCUUUUCUGAGGCCUCUUUCUUGGCCUCUGGCAUUUCAGAUCAUUCUCCAAUGAUUAUUAAGAUUAUGCCUGCCCCUAAGUCUCGCAAGCCUUUCAAGUUCUUCAAUUUCUGGUUUUCUCAUCCGGAUUUUACUGAUGUGGUUUUGCAAGCUUGGAGUUCUCCCUUUGUGGGUUCUCCAAUGUUUAUUCUUUGCUUCAGGCUUCGGCUUCUCAAAUGUAAGUUGAAACAGAUCAACAAGGAGUCCUUCUCGGACUUGUCCUCUAGAACGGCUAAAGCAAGAUGUGCAUUGCUCCAAACCCAAGAUGCUCUUCAGAAUGACUAUUCGAAUAUUCAACUUGCUGAAUUGGAAAAACAACAGCUCCAAUCCUACUCGAAUUUGCUCCUUCAAGAGGAAUCAUUUUAUAGACAAAAGUCUCGGGUGCGGUGGUUGAAAGAAGGUGAUCUUAAUACUAAAUUUUUCCAUAACUCGGUAAACAAGAGACAACUUCACAAUAGAAUUAUCUCGCUCUCCGAUGGGAUUGUUUCUACCUCAAAUCCCUCUGAAGUUCAAAACCUGUUUGUUGACCACUUCCGAGAGUUAUUGGCCUUCUCUCCCCCUGCUACGAGGCCUUCGGUGGAGGAAAUGCGUGCGGUGUUGAAGCACACCCUUGAUGCGGAUCAGGUUCGCUUUAUUUCUAGCCCCAUCUCGGAGACUGAAAUUAAAGAUACUCUAUUCUCUCUUGCGGUGGGUAAGGCCCCUGGCCCUGAUGGAUACAAUGUGGAAUUUUUUAAACAUUCUUGGGAGAUUGUUGGACCUUCUGUUAUUCUGGCAGUGAAAGAUUUCUUUGAGACGGGCAUAUUGUUGCGGGAAAUUAACACAACUAUUUUGGCCCUGGUCCCCAAAGUCCCGAAUGCUUCCAAUGUGAAUGACUUUCGGCCAAUUGCUUGCUGUAACACAUUAUACAAGUGUAUUACCAAGCUUAUUGCUAAUCGGCUCUCUCAGGUGCUACCUUCUAUCAUUAGUCUGCCUCAAAAUGCCUUUGUAAAAGGUAGACACAUCAGUGACAAUAUUUUACUUGCUCAGGAGCUGUUUUGUGGUUUUCACAAUGAUCCUUACCGGCCUAAAUGUGUUAUUAAAGUUGAUUUUAGGAAGGCCUACGAUACGGUGGAUGGAGGUUAUUGAAUUGUGNNNNNNNNNNNNNNNNNNNNNNNNNNNNNNNNNNNNNNNNNNNNNNNNNNNNNNNNNNNNNNNNNNNNNNNNNNNNNNNNNNNNNNNNNNNNNNNNNNNNGAUUUGCAUUCGUACCCCUAAGUUCUCGGUUGCAAUUAAUGGGGAACUCCAUGGGUUCUUUUCAAGUGGGAGGGGUAUUCGUCAGGGUGAUCCCAUGUCGCCGUAUAUUUUUACUCUUGUGAUGGAAGUCUUUACAGGUAUUCUGGACAUUCAAACUUCACAUCCGGACUUUGGUUUUUUCUGGCGUUGCAAGCCCACCCGACUUUCUCAUCUUUUCUUUGUCGAUGAUGUACUACUCUUCGUUGAAGCUAACUUAUCGUCUAUUGAUCUUCUCAAGAAUGGUAUCGAGAAAUUUUCUAGCUAGAGUGGGCUGAUUCCGAAUCUUCGGAAGAGUGAAGUUUUCCUUUCUGGAGGCUCCUCUAACCUUCAUGAGGAUAUCCUCAAUAAGCUAGGCUAUCAGUUGGGCACCUUUCCUUUCCGCUAUCUAGGAGUACCGGUUAUUUCAGCUAGAUUAAGGAAAGCUGACUGUGUCUCCUUGGUUAAUUCAAUCACGGCUCGUGUUCAAUCUUGGACCAAUAGAUUCCUCUCCUUUGCGGGGCGUCUUCAACUUAUAAGGUCGGUGCUUCAUUCUAUACAAGUCUUUUGGGCUAAUGUGUUCUUUCUGCCAUGUUCAGUUCUAAAUCGAAUUGAGCAAAUUUUCCGCCAAUUCUUGUGGAGAGGCCCUGAGAUGGGUGCAAGUGGUGCUAAAGUCUCGUGGUGUAAUGUUUGCCUUCCCAAAAAUGAAGGGGGCUUAGGUAUUCGUACUCUAAGGGAGAACAACAUUGCGUCCAUGCUCAAACAUAUUUGGAUUCUUUUCUCGGAUAAAGAAUCCAUGUGGUGUAAGUGGAUUCAUUCCAAUUUCCUGAAGCGGAAAAAUUUUUGGGUGGGUCCUUGCCCUACUCAUUGCUCUUGGGCCUGGAGGAAGUUAUUAGAUCUUCGUGAUCAAUUUCAGCAAUAUUUCAGAUGGAACAUUGGAAAUGGGAGGUCGGUCUCCUUUUGGUUCGACCCUUGGCACCCAAAUGGUCCUUUAUACAGAUCUUUCUAUCAGAAUUUAUCGCUCGGGUAUAUCCCGCUCUGCUUCGGUUGCUGAUGGUUUUGCUACUCCUAUGGGCUGGUAUAUCAUUAACUUCAUGGCUAAUUGGUGGAAUCCACUUCCGGUAUUCAACCAAGAGGAGGAUCGGUUUCAGUGGCUUCCGCACCCAUCCGAUCACUUCUCCAUUGCUUCUGCCUGGGAUUUGAUCCGUCCGAAUCAUAAUGUCAUCUCGUGGGCUUCUUUUGUUUGGAAUACUGCCUUGCCUCCAAGAUAUCAAACGCAUCUUUGGCUUAUUUCGCGCAAUCGGCUGCCGACUCAGGUUUUGCUCAUCUCUUAUGGUAGGAUCCCCCCUACAAAUUGCCCCCUUUGUUCAUGCAGACCUGAUUCUAUAGAUCAUUUGUUCUUUGCGUGCCGUGCUUCGGAUAGUCUUAUUUCAUUUUGGGCGGCAAGAUUCAACCUAGUGUGGCGAAACAAGCGUUGGGUGGAUAAUUUGGCCUGGGCUUCCAAGCGGUUUAUGGGGAAGAGUUUUUAUCAGAUCCUAGCUCGGUUUAGUUUUGGUGCAAUGUGUUAUAUCAUUUGGAAAGAGCGGAACAAUGUGCUUUUUCGGAAUCAGACUCUCUUUCUUCCAGCGAUGAAAAUGCAUCUUCAGAAGGCUAUCAAAGAUAAGGCUAUGACCUUUAAGCAUGUUCCCAAUGUGCCCAUGAAUAGAAGACUUCAACGAAGCUGGAACAUCCAUCCUUCUAUUUUUGAUUGAUGGAGGUUUUCUAGUUUUUGUUGUCUUUUGUUUCCUUUUGUUGUUGUUGCUCCUUUUUUUCUGGGAACCAUGGCACCCUUACACUCGCUCUAGACUUUUGUCUUCUUGAGUGUCUGUUUUUGUUGGUGCCAGGCCUCCCUCUUGUCUUCUUUCUUGCAAAAUCAAUUUAUUACUUACCUUUACCAAAAAAAAAAAACAUUUUAUUAGAGAAUGAUGGAAGGGCAAGAAAGAAAUAAAAAAGAAAUUAAUUGAUAAAAGAGAGGAAAAUAAAAUAAAAUAAAGUGGGCAAGAGUGGUGCGAGAGUUUUUUACCAUCUCCAUUUGUAAAAUUUGUUUAUUCAUUUAUACUAAUACAAUGUUAAUAUCAAAUAAUGUACAUAAUAUAAUGUGAAUAGAUCCAAUUUGAUUACUGCAAUAACUAAACAGUGUAUAGGAUAUAACAAACUCUAUGGAUUUCAUAUCAUAUCAUAUUCAAUCAUAUCCUAGUUAAAAAAAUUCAAAUGACCAAACAUAAUCUAAAAGAAUGAAUCUACUUAUAUAAUAUGAAUAUGCCCCUGAAUGCACCCUUAUACAUUUUUUUUUUGUGAUUAUUCAAACGAAGAUGCAAUCUAAUUACUAGAAGAAAUUAUAUUUUUUUAUAUUUUUAUUCUAUAACUUGUGAUUAUGGUAACAAACAUAUGAAUAUGCCAAUAGAAUAAUACUUCAAUUUGACAAAUUUAGCCAUAAAUUUUUCAAUAUUUUAACAAUGUAAUCCAAGGCCGAUUAUCAUUGAAGUAGAUGUGAGGCAUUUUAUGUGGUAUGGUGAGUUUUGAUGUAGAUAAUUUUUUAAAAUUUUUUAAAAUUUUCUUCUUUCCUUCCUUUCAUUUUCUUUCUCUUUUCUUUUUGCCAGUGAUUGGUCACUAGCUUGGUGAGGGUCGCCCUCACUAGCUACAUGCGACUGUUGGCUAUGCCUAGGCAAGGCCUAGUGAGGCCGCCUUGGCUUGGGCGAGGGACCCUCACUUAGGCUAGGGUGGCCUCACCAACACUUGCCCUCCCCUAGAGAAGGCUGGCCCUUGCUAGCCAACAAAGUUCAAAAAAAUUGUAAAAAAUAUCUACAUCAAUGCUAACUAUAUCAUAUAGAAUGCCAAGCAUCUAGCUAGUGAUUUUCGGUCAAAAUUGGCCAAAUAGACUACAUUGACAAAUCGUCAAAAGGUUUAGGACUUGAUUAAUCAAAUUGAAAGGUUUAGCUUGGUCUCAACCAAGAGAAUACAUGCUGUCUCUGGCCGAGGGUGUUGCGGUAUUUGCUAAAAUCCCUUUCAUUGAAGGGUGCUGGCUGAGAUUUCAGUAGAGGGUGGCCGGGCUUAUGGGGGCUCGGGCUUGAAAAUUGAAGUGGGUUUUUCUCUUUUAAAUUUAAUUUAAUUUAGCCUGACGGGCCAGUUAAAUUGCAAUUCACAACCAAGCCGAUUUUAAUGGAAUUCAUUUGAUGUGGACAUGUUACUAGUGAACAAAAAAUGGUCAUACGCCUAAAUGCAAUGUGCAUGCAAAAUUGUGUGAUAUCAGUAUUUUGUUAGAAGGGUCAAAUAAUGUCAUUGUCAACAAAUUCAAUCCCAAAGUUUUUUGUGAAACGUCUGAGAUUUUUGACCAUGUACUCUCGAGAUUUUCCCUCUAGUUUUGCCUUCUCAAGUGAAUUUUUCACAGAGAGAGAGAGAGAGAGAGAGAGAGAGAGAGAGAGAGAGAGAGAGAGAGAGCCUAAGUAAUGAAUGGGCCAUGUGCAUUUAAAGGCAUAUGUUAGACUUCAAUUGCUAGAACAAUCAAAUCUUCCGCUCAUUCCAAGUUAUCACACGUCCUAGGGCCUCAACAUUUGGAACUUCUUCUAUUGGCAAAGAAAAAGGCUUGACAUGUUCUUGUUCGCAAUUGUUAAUAAAAAAUUAAUUUUUUUUUAAAAAAAUAUAAAAAUUGUCCACUAAAUUUGUAUUGUAAGAAAGCGUUUUGAUAAUAUAUAUAUAUAUAAGAAACAAGUUAUCCCAAAUUAGAUUAAAUAACGAUGUGUUGUAACAAUAUAGAUUGAAUUAGGUAUGGGUCAAGAAAUUUGUAUUAUAGAUAAAGGGAUCAUAAAUAGAUUAGUGAGUCAAUUUGGAUCGGACCAUUCAUGACCAGACCAAACCCACAUGUUAGACCAAACCCACCUGUUUGACAGGUCUAAGUGCCACAUAUAAUUUAUUGCAGCCAAAUCUUUUCUAGGAUUAAAAGUUGUACCAUGAACAAUUUUUUAAAAAAGCAUUUGGAAUUGAGAAAAUAAAAAAGAAAUAUGUAAUGUAUGUUAUGUUUUUAUCAUUUUUGUCCAAUUGUUUUGCACCAAUCUAUAAUUAAAACUUCUUUCUAGUCUAUAUUGGCGAGAUGACUGGAUAUGCAUUAAGAAUUAUCUCUGAACAAAAAUUUCCUAAUAAUUGGGAUAUCAUUAAAAAGUUCAAAAAACUACUUAUUUAAAUUAAUAAAUUAUCUAUUGGAUGAACUAUCCUGACUUAAAUAUUGAAUAAGAUUGGACGAACAUAGAUGACUCAAAAUGUGUCAAAUUAAGAUAGCAUUAGCAGACAAGAUCUUGAUACCAAUGCUAGGAAACAUGCUUUGUCAAAUUUAUGUCAAGAAUUAAUAAUUAAUUGUGCGUUGAAUUUUAGGAUUUAGGUUUUAGAUAUAUAAAAAACAUAUUUAAUAUAUUUACGAAUCAAAUUGCGUUUGUCUUGUGUUAAAAAAAAAUGAAUCUCGUAUUGUGCAUUGUAAUAUAUCAUGUUUGUCGUUUCAACUGUUGCUUAUCAAGUAUGUAAAUUUUCUCAACCAAAACAAGUAUGUGAAUUUUACUUUUGGGCAAUUGCUUAAAAGUAAGAAAAAUAUCAUUGAAAGGUAAAGAGAAAAAAAGCUUGAAAGUGGGAAUAGAAAGUGGGAGUAAGAUUCUCUCCCUCAUACAUGGUCAACAACAAAUAAUCAACCCACGCAUUUUAAUGCCUUCGAUGUUGCCAUUAUUGGUAAAUAAACUUCUUUAUCCCUGCGACGAUAAACGUACGAUGAACAUCUUAGAGGUAGAAGAGAGUUGGACUCAUGCUUUAGGAAGCAAGAAGCCAUUCACGGUAAACCCUCCAUGGACACAAAUGGUUUGCCCCGUAAUGUAAGAGGCCGCCGGCAACCACAAGAAGGCCACCAACGGCGAAACCUCCUUCGGCUCUCCGAUGCGACCGAGCGGUGUCCUUGCUAUCGCCUCCUCGUGGAAUUUCUCAUUGCCGAGUAGCUGCUAUGACGGAUGAGUUAAUGUUAGAUCACGAUGGCAAAGGUGAUGAAGAUUUAUGGGGUGAACUAUUUUCGAAGAGGAUAGGAAAUUUUAAGUCUUGGUAAAUUAAAUUACAUGGUCGGUGAGUGGGCUGCCUAUGAAAUAAGGUGCAAUAGAGUUGCUUCUUAUGUUGUCUUUAGCCCAUUCGCAAGCCAGAUUCUUGGUCAACUGGUUCAUUGCUCCAGUCAAUGAGUUGAGAAAAUAAGAAUAUAACUUGGCUAAGCUUGAACCAACCCCAAAGUGAUGCUCGAAAGUCCACUCUAGGGUCACUCAUUACUGUGUUUUGCAGCCAAGGGAUUUGACUAUGUAAGGCCCAGAUAUAUAGCCCACAGGCCUGAUUGGUUUGGUAAACCGAUCACUUGAGAAAAUUAGCAGUGAUUAGAGUCAUAAGUCCAUAAUUUGGAUGCCUUCUCCAUGACGGACGGUGAAGUGUUCGUCUUCAUCGAUAUCUCAGACAAUCUUUCUCAUCUCUUGCCUGCCCCUUGAUCUUGAGAAUCCAAGUGAAACUAUCCAUAGUGUUCACUUUAUCACUAGAUUGAGAGAUCAACGUAAGUGUUAUUCUAUUGGUUGCUCGAGAAUUCACUUGCUCAUCUUGAAAAAUAGUACUUAGAUAUUAUGGGAAAAUGCUACGUGAGAAAUUAAAUAUGAAAAAGAUAUCAUACAAAGAUAUAACAUCAUUGUCAUGCCAUAAUUUCGCAAUACAUUGACACUGUUCUAAUGAUAAAAUCAAUUGUCCCUGCGAUGAAAAUUCACGAAGUAGCGUCUUACAGGCAAAAGAAAGUUGGGCUCAUGCUCCAAGAAACAAGAAGCCAUUCACGGUAAACCCUCCAUCGACACAAAUGGUUUGUCCCGUUACGUAAGAGGCUGUCAGCAUGCACAAGAAGACCACCAAUGAUGACACCUCCUUGGCUCUCCAAUGUGGCCGAGCGGCGUCCUUGCUAUCACCUCGUCAUGGGACUUUUCGUUACUAACCGACUACGAUAACAUGAGUUCAUGAUGAUGGAUUUAUGAGAUGGGCUUAAGGCCCGUCCGCCCAUGCUGGGCCCAAAAGGCCCGGCCCACGGGAAUAGGGCCCGUGGAAGGGGAAGGUAUAAAAGGGAGGAGAGAGAGAGAGAAGACAUUGGUUGGAAAAACAGAUGUACGUACGCUUUUCUCCUGCGCGCGUUCUCUCUCUCCAAAAGACAAAAAGAACAGUAAGGCAAAUGGCACUGUUUUCCCUUCAAUUGACAUCAUCAGAUCAGAAUUUCUUCCUCUUCUUCAGCAUCGGUGUCUAAUCUGUGGCUAACAAGGUACGCUCGAAUCCGUGGUGUGCUUUACGAUCGGUGAUACGUGUUAUCCCGGGCUUCGUCUUCCGCAUUGAUUUAGGGGUUCGAUUUAGUGUCGAAUCCGGUUUUCGGGGAUCAGUAAUUCCCAACAUUGGUAUCAGAGCCAGGUUCACGUUUUUCCCGAUCAAUUUGAUGUUUUUUGCUUGAUUUUUCGCAAAAAAAAUUUCGGCCGUACGGAUCGGGGCGAGAAAUCCCGACACCCGAGCAUUGUUCGGCCAUUUUUCUGAGUUUCAGUAAGUCGGAAUCAAAUUUUGAAGGCACUGGGUGAAAGGCGACGUCGAGACGAGUCCGGUGACAUGUCGUGCGUCACCGGACGACGCCGCACGCGCCCACACGCGUGGCCACAAGCCGCUGCGCGUGUGCGCCACGCGCCCAAAGCGCUGGCCAUGGCCAGCGCGUGCGCCACAUGCGCCGGUGACGAACCGGCACGUGCGCGCCAGCGACUGGCGAAACGGCACGCGCCGGUCGGCGAACCGACGUGUGCUAACGUCACCCGAUGACGUCAUCGUGACGUCACCCAACGGUCGAUAACCGUCGGAAUGACGUCAUUGAUGACGUCAGCGCCGACGACGGUUGGCCGGCCGGCGACCCGACCCGACGGCGACCAACCCGACCCGAUCAGCCUAGCGCAUGCCGUGCACGUGCAGCUGACGUCUGCGUGACGUCAGCACGCUCAUGCGCGAGGCACGUGCCGGCUGACGUCUGCGUGACUCAGCCAACGCACGCGCGAGGCAUGUGCGGUCGGUUCGUCCGACCGGUCCUCCGACCCGCGCGCCCGUUGACCCGACCCGUUGACCGUUGACCGUCGACCGACCGUUGACCCGUUGACUUUGACCGUUGACCCGAAAAAAAGAAAAAAAAAGAAAAAAAAGAAAAAGGAAUUUGUUUCUUUUUUCAUUUAUGUCUGUGUGGGUUGUAGGUAAUCCAUUUUUAUUCUGCAUUUGUUGCAUGAAUCAUGGAAAUUUAUGUAUUUUCCAUUUUGUUAUUAUGGAUUAUAAGUGAUCCAUUUUAGUUCUGCAUUUGUUGCAGGAACUAUGAUGCGUUAUGCACGGAUACUUGCAAUCCCAAGAAUGGAUGAAGGAAGAGCUAGACUGAAAAGGCUGAUGAAAGAGUUAGUUGAUUAUCGGUGGCUUGAUGGUGAUUUAGUAUUACACAUGGUCAAGGUCAAUCAGAUGAUACAGGAAAUCAUCUGGAAUGGUUAUCUUAUGCCGGACUUUGAGAAGGUGCCGGCUUUGAUGAACACUCUUCCACCUGAAUGGCAAGCAGUGUUAGAUCGGCUAUGGGAGGUCAACGUGGUCCCGGGUUAUAGGAGGCUGGUGGAAGCUUUUGUAAGAGAGCACUAUAAGAUUGAGUUAACCAAAACUUCAACCCUUAGGUUGAGCGCCACAUGGCGCAGAGUGAAUGCGCCUUGGUGGCGACAUGAAUGCUCUCCAAAAGUUUUUCCAUGGUUGGCAAAUGUGCCUUUAGUUUUCUCAGAUGUUUUUGACUGAUAGAUUAGAAUGGACAUUCCCUAUUUAUUUCUUUGAUUAAUUAUGUAAUGCUUACUACCUGAUUGUUGUUGAUGUAGCAACCGAUAUGUUAGUUGUAUCAUGUGAAAGCAUUGUUAUUUUAUUGGAUGUUAGAUUUUAUCUGCUUUCUGUUAUUGCUGAUUGCUGUGGGUAAUUAGUUGUGGGUAGUUUAGAAGUUUUUGUAGCUUCAUAGAAUUGAUUUUGCAUAUGACAAUCAUAUUAAUGAUAGUUUUAAGUUAGGAUUUUUGGAGGAUGAUUGGAAACGUAGUGACCUUUUGAUUCUGAAACCUUACUUGAAAUUAUUCAUUGAUAUGAUGGGUCUGUGCAAAUAGGGAUGCAUAAAUGAUAGGCAUUAAUUAUUCGUGCAUGUAUGUCUGAUGUGUUCAGAUCGAUGUUUUCAGCAACUAAGAACGUAAUUGCUGAUGUAAACGGCAGCAAUUGUGAAAUAUUGAAUAUGAAGAUUCAAUAUGUGCUGAAAAAGCAAGAAGCACUAGAAGCUCUUGACCAUGUUAUGGAAGAUCUUGAGGAUGCUGUGCGCCACCUUGAGCUGGUAGAGGACCGCUUGACGGUAUGUGAGCCGAAAAUAGAUACUUUCAAUGUUGGUUCUAGCUCAGAAAGAGCUUUGUGCUAGAAGCGCAAACAUAUUGAUUCGUUCAAUAUGUGGGAAUGCAAAGGAUCAAGUCCUUAUUACAAGAAAUCAAGAGUUAACCAACACAAGAGAGGAAAACGUCCUCAAGUGAAGAAAAUGUCAAGGGUGAAAUGUUACAAUUGUGACAAGAGAGGUCACUAUGCUUGCAACUGUCGUGACCCAAAGAAGGCAUACACCUCUUGUACAUUUGAGAACUUUGCUUAUGUGUCAAGUUCUGCAUUAUAGGCUGAAUCCAAUCCUUUGUGGAAUGUAGAUUCAGGAGCGACAGACCAUGUAGCAAAGGAUAGAGGAUCCUUCAUGGAAUUCCGACGAUACCAAUUGGAACUAAGUGGAUCUAUAUUGGAAAUAACUCCAGAGCUGAAGUUAAAGGGAUUGGCACCUGCCAAUUGAACAUGCGUGGUGGACGCAACUUGUUCCUACAUGAUGCUCUAUAUGCUCCGGAGAUUCGUCGAAAUUUUAUGUCUGUUUUGGCGUUGGUUAAGCUUGGUUUUUAAUAUGAACUUCCAUAAUAGAUGUGUAGAUUUGUAUUUGGAUACAAACUACUAUGAUUUUGGUCACUUUCUGGAUGGUUUUAUUGUACUAAAUGUUGACUGUGGUGAUGUCAAUAUGUUAUUCCCUCGUUUCACGUCUUCUACUUUAUAUGAUAAUGAUGUGAAUAUGGUGGCAUGCUAGACUUGGUCAUAUGGGCCAACAACAUAUGAAAAGACUAGCCAAAGAGGGCUUGUUGGGCAAUAUUGAAAAAGUCGAUUUGCUUAUAUGUAAGCAUUGCCUGGAAGGGAAAACGACAAGGAAACCAUUUGGAAAAGGUAAAAGAGCUUAAUUUCCUCCGCAUUUAAUCCAUACUGAUAUCUGUGGUCUAAUGAAUGUGAAAGGAAGGCAUGGGGCUGUUUAUUUCAUCACUUUUAUAGAUGAUUACACUCGAUUUGGAUAUGUCUAUUUGAUUUCUCAUAAAUCUGAAGCAAUAAGUUGUUUCAAAAGGUUUAUGAACCUGGUAGAGAAUCAAUUAGACAAGAAAAUAAAAGCAUUGAGAUCCGAUCGAGGUCGAGAAUAUUUAUCUGAUGAGUUCAGAAAAUUAUGUGAUGAAAAAGGAAUAGAAAGACAGUUGUCUAUUACAUAUACUCCUCAACAAAAUGGUGUUGCGGAGAGAAGAAACAGAACCCUACUAGAAAUGGUUAGGUCCAUGAUGGCGCAUGCUAACUUGCCUAUCACCUUUUGGAGUGAUGCAUUGUUAACUGCUGCGUAUAUACUUAACCGGGUGCCUUCCAAAUCAAUUACUUCCACUCCAUAUGAGUUAUGGACGGGUAGAAAACCGGACUUAAGUUUUCUUAAGCCAUGGGGUUGUGCUACCUAUACACAUGAGUCCUCUCACAAGUUUGGGAAACUGGGUCCCAGAGGAAAGAAGAGUAUUUUUAUAAGGUACUCUGAACACUCGAAAGGAUAUAUGUUCAUAGGUGAGCAGGAAAGUGGGAGUAUAACUGAGUUUGAAUCACAAAAUGUCACAUUCCUAGAGGAUGAAUUUCCUAAGAAGGGUGAAAUAGGGGAAGAUUGUUCCCUAUUUGAAACCUUGGAUCAAGAUAAUGACCUUAGUGGACUUCAUCCAAGUGGGAGCAUAAUGGGGAAUGAUGUGCAAAGUGUACAAUCUCCCAUACGGCGAACAAGUCGCCAAAGUAUUCCUCGUUGACGUUUUGACAUUGAAGGGGAGACUUUUAUGGUUGCUCCACAAGAUGAGGAUGAGCCAAGAAAUAUUAAUGAGGCUCUGAAUUGCCCUAGUAAGGAAAAAUGGAUUAAUGCAAUGGAAGAGGAAAUGGAGUCAAUGAAAUCAAACCAAGUCUGGGAACUGGUUGAUCUACCAAAAGGACGCAGAGCUAUUGGGAACAAAUGGGUUCUCAAAAUAAAGCGAAAGGCUGAUGGCUCGAUUGAAAGGCAUAAGGCUCGCCUUGUGGCGAAGGGGUAUAAUCAACAGGAAGGAAUUGAUUAUGAAGAUACGUUUUCUCCUGUAGUGAGAUUUACCUCAAUUCGCAUUAUUCUGGCAAUAGUGGCUAGUCUGGAUCUUGAAUUACAUCAAAUGGAUGUAAAGACUGCUUUCCUCAAUGGAGAAUUAGAGGAAGAAAUAUAUAUGGAACAACCUGCUGGUUUCAUAGUGAAAGGCCAAGAAGAAAAAGUAUGUCGACUUUUGAGGUCGAUAUAUGGUCUUAAGCAGUCAUCAAGACAAUGGUAUAUACGUUUUCAUAAUGCCAUAAUGGCAUAUGAUUUUACAAUGAUUGAUGAGGAUCAUUGUGUAUAUAUCAAAAGAUCCAAGGAUCAAUUUGUGAUCAUAUCAUUAUAUGUUGAUGAUAUACUAAUUGCCGGAAGCAAUAUGGAGUUUGUUAAGACCGUCAAGAGUUGGUUGUCUUCCAACUUUGAGAUGAAGGAUAUGGGUGAGGCUGCAUACAUUCUUGGAGUUAAGAUUUCAAGAGAUCGCUUGAAGAGAUCGUUGUCUCUUUCGCAAGAAACUUAUAUAAACAAAGUUCUAGAACGGUUUCAUAUGCAAGAUUGUAAACCCAUAGACACUCCUAUUGCAAAAGGUGAAGGAUUGAGCCAUAGACUGUGUCCAAGGACUCCACAAGAGAAGGAACAAAUGAAACAUGUUCCUUAUGCAAGUGCUGUUGGGAGCUUGAUGUACGCUAUGAUGUGUACAAGACCCGACAUAUGUUUUGCAGUUGGAAUGGUGAGUAGAUACCAAUCCAAUCCAGGUCCAGCACAUUGGAAAGCCGUUAAGAGAAUACUGAGGUAUCUGAAGGGAACUGCUGAUUACAAGUUGAAUUACCAAGGAAAGGAUCUGCGACUUGAAGGCUAUUCAGAUGCUGAUUGGGGAGGAGAUUUAGAUAAAAGAAAAUCUACCUCAGGAUUUGCUUUCUUAUUGAGCAAUGGCGCCAUAUCAUGGAGUAGUAAGAAGCAAACAUGCAUAGCCUUAUCCACAAUGGAAGCUGAGUUCGUGGCAUUAUCAGCAGCAGUACAAGAAGGAGUUUGGCUUAAGAGAUUCUUGGAUCAUUUAGGUGUUAUUGAGAAAGCUGCAAAUCAAUUAUUGAUUAACUGUGAUAGCCAAGCAGCUAUAGCGUACACCAAAGAUCCAAAGUAUCAUGGCAAGACCAAACAUAUAGAUACCAAGUAUAACUUUGUAAAAGAUAUGGUUGCACGAAAGGAUGUGAACUUACAGUACAUAUUCACGCAUAGAAUGGUAGUAGAUCCUAUGACAAAGCCAAUACCUAGAGAUGUGUUUUGUGGUCAUGUAAAAUCUCUAGGAUUGCGUAGAGUCUGAUGUACUGAAUUGUAAUUUCCCUGAGUUGUUCACAUUUAUGAAAUUUUGUUUUUCAUUGAUUAAUGCCUAUGAAUCUUUGUAUGAUCUUUAUGCAUCUUAAUACUUAGUGUAUUAUUUUAAGUUGAGAAGUAUGUCGGACAGAUAAAAGAUUAGCCCACUCACACGGGUAAUCGCUUCUGUUUACUAUGUGAUAAAUAGAGAUGAGACUGAUUUUAAAUUUAUUAUCUAUGUGAUAAUCGAGAGCUCAAGCUUAAAAUACGUAUGUCGCCUUAACUAAGUGUUAAGAUGAGGACAUAAUACUUACGAUGUCCGAAAGUAAAAUACCCACAAUCUGUCUAUGAUGCCAAAUGUGAGUUCUGAUGAAUUUUGUGAUUGAGUAGAUAUGUGAACUCAAGUUAGACAUUAGGUAUGUCUAAACUAUCAUCUGUACGGUAUUGAAAAGUGCAGAUAUACGCUCCAUGGGAAAGGAGUUAAUACCGUAAUACAUAUUUCAUAAUACGUAUGCAUGAGACGACCAAUAAGAGUGGCAAAAAGUUUGAUCUCAACUUUUAUGACGUGUGAGACUCUUGAGGAAAAGAGUUCAUCAAUUUUUUAGUCCCCUCAGGACUCUUACUUAUUCUCAAGAUUUCUAUUUAGUGUUUGCUAUCUUAGGGUGUUGCCAAUGGUCAUCAAUGGUCAUGAGAUGAUUCGAUCUAAUGGGGCAUUUCUAGAAAAGCAAGCUGGACUGAAAUUGAGAGUUUGAAGGAAAGAGGAGAAUCACAUUGUAGUUUUUGUAUUCACCGGUUAACCAAUUAUGACUGUCUUUGUGAUAAUCAUAAUUGUGAAUACAAUAUAUAUAUAUAUAUAUAUAUAUAUAUAUAUAUAUCAUUGUUUAAAAGAGAUCAAAAGAGAUAUAAAUGUGAUCGAUCGAUCUAAGGUACUGCAUACUAAAUCUACUCAGAGUGAAAUGCCCAUUAUGAGCUGCUAUAUAUUCCUAACAGAUGUAUGGCAACGAGCUCUCAAAGUAUGCUGGUUGCACGGAUUAUUCACCGGUAUGAAUGUUGAAGAGAGGAAAAGAGGAUUCUGUUCGGCCCAUCAUGUUAAGUGAGAGUCUAUGAUGGAUUUUUCUCUGAUGAGGCUGAGUAGGGCCUGUCCGCCCAUGUUGGUUUUGGACCACCAUGUGCGAGUGGGAGAUGAUGGAUUUAUGAGAUGGGCUUAAGGCCCGUCCGCCCAUGCUGGGCCCAAAAGGCCCGGCCCACAGGAAUAAGGCCCGUGGAAGGGGAAGGUAUAAAAGGGAGGAGAGAGAGAGAGAAGACAUUGGUUGGAAAAACAGACGUACGUACGCUUUUCUCCCGUGCGCGUUCUCUCUCUCCAAAAGACAAAAAGAACAGUAAGGCAAACGGCACUGUUUUCCCUUCAAUUGACAUCAUCAGAUCAGAAUUUCUUCCUCUUCUUCAGCAUCGGUGUCUAAUCUGUGGCUAACAAGGUACGCUCGAAUCCGUGGUGUGCUUUACGAUCGGUGAUACGUGUUAUCCCGGGCUUCGUCUUCCGCAUUGAUUUAGGGGUUCGAUUUAGUGUCGAAUCCGGUUUUCGGGGAUCAGUAAUUCCCAACACAUGUCAUAUCAUGAUGACGAACCUGAUCAAGAUCUAUGUAGUGAUCUGUUUUCAAGCACGAGAGAAAAUUUACAGCCUUAAGAGAUAAUCUUACAGGCUCGGCUUGUGGGGCCAUUAUGUGCCAAGGUGCAAUAGAGUUGCCUCUGAUAUUGUCCUUAGCCCAUUCACAUGCCAAAUUCUUGGUUAAUUAAUUCAUUGCUCCUAACAAUCAACUUGGAGAAAAAAAGAGAGGAAUUUUUUAGCUCCAUAUGAAAAAAGUUCAGACAGUUAGUUAUGAUAAUAUUAACUUACCUUUGGUUGUCGAGCAAAUUUGUCCAACAUUCAUUGAAACAACGCCGCAAACAGAUGACAAUAACACAAUGCUUUCGGCUUUUGAGGCCUUGAGAAGGGGAUGCACGAGUUGACUUAGACAGUAAGCUGAUUCGAAGUUAGUUGUCAUGAUAAAUGAAAAAUUUUCCGUUGUUUAUUCCAUGGUCAGCUUUGCUCUGUUGGUUUGUUGAUCUACCACACAAACCACUCCCAAUAAAAUGAAAACCAAGUACCAAAUCUAUUGAAAGAAAUGCACAAAUUACGACCUUGUUAUUGAUGUUGUAAUCGGAUCCAUAGGAUCAGACUUACUAGGAUUUUGAGCUUCUUGUCAAAGAGGGAGGACACAGUAAGCAUCAGCUUCUCUUGCUCCGAUCAUAAGGAAAAAUCACAAGUCGAACCCGCCACCCGGAAACCCUUUCUCUUCCAAUCUUUCAAGCAUUCAUGAAUAUCCGGCUGCAUUUCUGGAACAGAUAUACACGGUGGCCCCAAGCCUCGCUGGCUUCUCGACAAUGGCAUGCCUAAUCAUGGUACAACAAUAUGACUAUUAAGCCUUAGUACAUGUCAUACCUAGGAUUGUUAUGAACAGGCCAUUUUAGCAACGCAAUCCUCGAAGUAAUUGACCUCUCUUUUAUGUCCCUCGUCAUUUUCAUCGAUCAAGUUUUAGAUGGCGAUUAUAUAGAUUUUCUAGCUUAUUAUUUAUAGAAUCCAACAUUACUGAAUUUAGAAGAACCUACUAUCUCUUGGGGCAAGCCUAGCUGAAAACGAUUUUAUCAAGCCUAGACAGGCUUGAGCCGGGCUACUAAACCCAUUUGUGCUAUUACUAGUUAAACAUUAUAUGAGGGAUGCAAUGGCCGAAAAUAGCAUCAAACGCCUUUUAACCUGUGGCUCCAUGGUGGUGAGCUUUGCAUAAGCUUUUUGAUGUAUAUGAUACAGCCUGCACAUUGUCAGAAGUUAUGUACGCAAAAUUUCGGGCCUAAGCCAUAAUAGCCCGGAUUAGACUUGGCCAGAGUUAUUUAGCCGGGCUAGUAUAUAAAGGACUGAUCACCCGGCCAAGAAAUUCUAGGCCAUAUUUGUUCUCAUAGGACCAAAAAGGUACCUCGACGUUCGGAUUGCCUAAUCCGUACACAAUUCUACUGUCACACACAUUAUUAUGAAGAAAUAAGAUGCCAUAAUUGACAGUUUUCAGAUGCCUAUUCAUCAUGUUUGUUCCUCCAACCUAAACCAAAAUAGUCAAUCGAUUAUCGAAAUCAACAUUGCAAAAGAAUGAGGUGUUUGAGUGAGAGAGAGAUUCGAUUCCAUUAGUUCCACCAGUGACGAGAGCGCUCAUUCCGGGAAGCGACCACCUGUUGUUGUUGUUGUUGCGCUGCCACAUCUCCUUGCCGUUUCACUCCCCUCAGGAGCCCUUCUCUUUCUUUCUUUCUUUCUUUCCAAUUGUUGAUGGCGCAAAGGAAGAUUGAUGACACUUCCCAAUUGUUGGCAUCUGGGUCAUUCCUCUGAUCGGGUAUUGCAUACUCUCGAUAUGACUUUAAGUUAUGAUUCCAAUUGCUGUGAUCCUUGUUAUUAUGCUAAGUAGCAUAGGUUACAUUUUCCACAUAGCACACAUAAAUCAGAAUAGUUAUUUUAUUUAGUUCAUUCGGAUAUUUGGGGGAUUUCUCCAAUUGACUCUAAGGAGGGGUUCAAGUAUUUUGUUAUAUUUAUUGACGACAAAUCUCGAGCUACAUGGCUUUAUUUGCUUAAAUCCAAAAGUGAAGUUAUGACCGUGUUUCAAGAUUUUUGCAAUUUGGUGAAAAAUCACUUUUAACACUGGUGAAAAUUCUUUGUCUAGACAAUGGAACUGAAUAUACCAAUCAAGCUUUUCAAGUGUUCCUACGUGGCUUGAGAGUCAAAACUCUUGCACGGGAAGUUCAUAGCAAAAUGGAGUUGCGAAAAGGAAAAACAGGCAUCUGCUUGAGCUUACCUGAACAUUGUUAUUCUUAGGAAAUUUACCCAAGACAUAUUAGGUGGAUCCAAUCCUUACUAGUUGCUACUUAAUCAAUUGUUUGCCUAGUAAGGUGUUGGGUAUAAAGUUUCAAUUGAAAGUCUGUAUGGUCCAAAAUUUGGUAUCUCUCACCUAAGAAUUUUCGGACGUGUGUGUGUUAUGUGCAUUCUUGAUCUAGUGACAAGCCGGAUCCAUGAGCUCGAAAGUAUGUGUUUGUAGGAUACUCGAAUUUCAAGAAGGGAUAUAAAUGCUAUGAACCAAGUACUGGACGUGUUUAUAUAUCUUGUGAUGUUUUCUUCAAAGAGGCUUACAUAUAUAUUAGGGAAUCAAAUUUAGGGGGAGCAAGGUGACUUUUCUGAAUUUUUGCUUCAUGUCCUACCUAUCAGGAAUUCAAUGUUGGAUCAAGAGGAAGUUCCAACAGUGGUUGUUCAAGGGAGUCAGCUAGUCCCCAAUGUCGUUGCCAUUCCUGAUGUAGUUGCCAUUACAACAUAUGCAACUGAUUUGGAAGUUAGGGCUAAAUAUGCAACAGAGAUAGCUCCAACGGAUGUUGCAUCCAUUAUCUUAGCCCCAACCCACAAGUCAUCAUGCAUUCCAAGGCCUUCAACGUCGCUAAGUGAUUUUUCAACAUAUCAUAUUACUCAGCAUCCCAUUUAGGAUUUUAUUAGGUAUGAUAGAUUUUCUCAUAAUUAUUUAAGUUUCUGAUUUGCCAUUAAAAAUCAAAAGGAACCCAAUACCUUCUUGGAAGCAUGUAAAAGAAGUGUGGGUGAAUGCCAUGAAAGAUGAGCUUUAGGCAUUGGAUCGUAACCAUACUUGGGAACUUGUUAAGUUGCCAAACAGGAAAAAGACAGUUGGAUGCUGGUGGAAUUACAAGAUCAAAUACAAUACUAAUGGUUUGGUUGAGAGGUACAAAGUUCGGCUUGUCGCAAAAGGGUAUACUCAAUCCUAUGGGAUAGACUACAAGGAAACAAUUGCUCUUGUGGUGAAAAUGAACAUUGUUCGUGUCCUUGUACCUGUAGCAAUUAACUGUAGGUGGCCAUUGUUUCAAAUGGAUGUGAAUAAUGCCUUCCUCCAAGGGGGACAAUGUUCAUAUGGAUAUCCCUCCAGGACAUCCCUUAGAGAAUAAUAAGGGAAUGGUUUUCAAAUUGAAGAAGGUAAUAUAUGGUCCCAAGCAGUGGCCUAGAGCAUGGUAUGGCAAAUUGAGUUCCGCACUCGAUAGAUUUGGUGUCAAAAGGAGCGUGACUUAUUUUUUCAAUGUUUACUAAAGCAAUUGGUGAAUGUAUUGUUGUUAUUCUAAUUUAUGUUGAUGAUCUUAUUAUUACUAGCAAUAACUUAAUGGGUAUUGCAGAACUUAAACAGUUGUUGAGCAAAGAGUUUGACAUUAAAGAUCUUGAAAAAUUGAGGUAUUUUUUGGGCAUAGAGGCAGCAAAUUCUGACAAAUGUAUGUUCUUGACUCAAAUGAAAUGUAUCCUAAAUCUACUGAAGGAGAUUGGUAAGUUGGGUGUUUAAAUUGCUAGCACUCCUAUGGAUUACAGCAAUAAGACUGUGUCUAAGGAAACACCAUUACAAGAUACUGGGCAAUUUCAGUGUUUGGUAAGGAGAUUGAUUUACCUAACUAUUACUAAACCAGACAUUACUUAUUCUGUCAGCUAUGGGCGUGUUUGUUUAAAAUUGUUUAUGUUCCUUGGAACACAAAUUUUUGUUCUAUUGUUCCGGGGAACAAAAAAACAUAUGUUCACACUUUUGCUCAUAGGAACAUAUUUGAAACAGAAAUAAGAAGUAAAAAAAAAACUUGUUUCUUGUUCUCGGGAACACUUCCGAGAAAUACUUUUUUUUUUCUUCUCAUUUUUCUUCUUUUUUCACUUUCUUUUCUUCUUCUUUUCUUAUUCCUUUUGCCGAUCACCGACCUUGACCAUGGUCAGUGCCGGCGACCUCGCCAGAGCAUCGCCAAUCCUCGGAGAGGCUAAGCCACAACGAGGCUCGUCAACCUGAGCCUCACUGUAGCUCGCUGUGGCUGCACGAGGCUCGGCCUCGCUGGGCCACCUCCAGGAUGGCGUUGCCUGGCAGUGGCUCGAGCGGCCAUGGCGAGGCUUGGCUUCACACCGGCUGGGGAGGCCGAGCCUCGUCGAUGGCUUGGCGAGGCUCGCCUGGCCAAUGGCCUGGCAAGGCUCGUCGGGGCCAGGCUGGCCUCUGGUGAGCUCACUGGACGUCACCCAGCCGAUCGCUGGCCACCGCCGUGGCCAACGACCAAUCAAAGAGAAAAAGAAAAAGGAAAAAGAAAAAAAAUGAACAAUAAAAUAAAAACAUUAAAAAAAUUAAAAGAAACAAAAAAUUAUACAAGUUUACCUAAUAUGUUUAUGUUCUUUUUCUAUUCUAGGAACAGAAAUUUUAUACAGUUACUAAACGUGUUCUUCUGUUAAAAAAUUGUUCUCCGGAACAGAAAUAGUUUUUUUCUAUUUCUGUUCUAAGGAACAAUUUUUGAAUAGAAAUGUUAAAAACGCGCCCUAUGUAAGCCAUUUAUGUAAACACCUACACAAGGGCAUAUAGAGUUGUUAAACUAGCUCCUUCAAUAUCUAAAAGCUUCUUUGGCAAGAGGAACUUUUUUGAAGAAUAAUGGUAUUGUGGGAUUUACUAAUAUUGAUUGGGCUAGGAACCUAAUGGAUAAAAAAUCUACCACAGAUUUUUGUACCUUUAUUGGUGGAAACAUUAUUACUUGGAAGAGUAAGAAGCAAACAGUUGUGGUUAGAUCUAGCACAGAGGCUGAGUACCAAGCCAUGGCUACCGCCACUAGUGAGAUUGUAUGGCUUCAUCUAUUACUUUAAAAAUUGGGCUGCAAUGCCAUGUCUAAGCCUACAAAGCUAUUCUGUGAAAAUUAGGCAACAAUACACAUUGCUUCAAAUCUAGUCUUUCAUGAUAGAUACAAACGCAUAGAGGUCGAUUGUCACUUUGUAAGGGAAAAGGUUCAAGACAAGAUGAUAGAAACACCAUAUAUUUGUAGUAAGGAUCAACUUGCUGAUGUGUUCACCGAAGCUUUAUCCAAUGGAGUAUUUCAAGAUAUGAUGAACAAGUUGAUCUCUAACGAUGUCUUCGCUCCAACUUGAGGAGGAGUAUUGGCAAUAUUGGGGGGAUUUGCGCUCCUAUUCAAGGAAAGGAGAGAUUGUAGGCAAAUUUGUAUAUUGAUAGUUUUCCUAUUUUUUGGGUUUGCUUGUUUCCUUUGUCGUAGCAACCUUGUGUACAAAUUGCAGAAAAAUGUCAUGACAAAAAAAUAAGAGAGUUGAGAGUUUUGUCCAAAGACAUAGGCACAUUGCAAAACCCCUUAAUCCGUGUGUUCUUUUUUGUGAUUGACUUGCUAAAAUUCAACAGGCCUCACUAGCUUGGGACUCUUGGGGACACAACAUUGCAUCACCGUGCCGUCAUUGAGGUCGCCAGGUCAGUGACGGUGGACUCGACGCCAGACAACGAGAAGGAGAAGUGGAGGCACUAGUCCCUCAUUGCCGUGAAGCUAAGACUCUUGGCCAUUGGACUGAAUCUUAAAGCUCGAUGCUCUUUUUGCGACCGCUUCCCUCCUCCUCUAGAAGCAGAGCAAUGGUGAGCGACCCCUUCCCUCCUCCUCUAGAAGCAGAGCAACGGUGGUGAUGCGAGAGGCGGGUGGUGACGCCGAUUUACAAAGACAUUCAUAAAGCGAGGACGACGACGAUGUUUCAAAGGUUUGAAUUGGUUAAGGUUGUGGUGAGGGUCGCUUUGAGAGUGCUGAGUGCUGAAUAAGAGAUGAGAGGUGUGUGCUUUUGACAAAAGAAGAACAGUACAGAAUAAGAAAAAAAAGAAAGUUCAGAAAACUAUAUUAAAUAAAAAAAGGAAACAACAUAAUUUUGCCUACAUCAAAUUACCGACUGUCAAAUAUUUGAGAAUUAAGGUAAAUCGGAGAUGAAUAACCGUCAUGUUACUAUUUUCUAAAAAACUUGACAGGAGUAUUAUAUUAAAAUUUUAUUAAAUAUUCAAGAUUACAUUGGUAAAAUUUAAAAAUUUAAAAUUAAAAUGACAUCUUUAUAAUAGCUGUAUGACUCAAUUAAUUUUUUUUUCAAUAGUGAGAAUAGAAGGUGAGAGUAAAUGAACAUAAAUAGUAGCUUCUACUGUCCCUUAUGUACGAACAAGAAAUUGUCUACCCACACCCGUGAAUGUGCAGAGAUUUUGCCAUUAUUGAUUAAUAAACUUCUUACUAAAGUUGCACUCAUGUUCUAGGAAAUAAGAAGCCAUUCACGGUGAACCCUCCAUCAACACAAAUGGUCUGCCCUGUUAUGUAAGAGGCUGCUGGCAAGCACAAGAAGGCCACUAAAGACGACACCUCCUCCGGCUCUCCGGUGCGGCCGAGUGGCGUCCUUGCUAUCACCUCCUCGUGGAACUUCUUGUCACUAAGUACCUGCAACGAAAUAUGAGUUAACAUCAGAUCAUGAUAGCGAACAUGGUCAAUAUUGAUGUGGUGAACUAUUUUCCAGCAUGAGAGAAAAUUUAAAGCCUUGGUAGAUCAAAUUACAGGCUCGGUUUGUGGAGUUAAUAUGAACCAAGGUGCAACAGAGUUGCUUCUUAUGUUGUCCUUAGCCCAUUCGCAUGCCAAAUUCUUGGUCAACUGGUUCAUUGCUCCUGCCAAUCAAUGCGGAUAGAAAACAAAAAAACAAACGCAAUUUGUUUAGCUCCCUAUUAAUAGUGUUUAGAUAGUAAAUAACGAUAAUGCUAUUACCUUUGGUGGCUGAGUAAAUUGAUCCGACGUUUAUUGAGACAACGCCACAGACGGAUGACAAGAACACAAUACUUCCAGCUCCCGAGGCCUUGAGAAGGGGAUGUGCGAGCUGGCUCAGAUGGUAAGCCGAUUCAAAGUUAGUUGUCAUGAUGAAGGAAAAAUCUUCUGCUGUGUAAUCCAUGGUCGACUUUAAGGUGUUGGUCCCGACGUUGUUUAUCUACCACAAAUAAAAACCGAGAACAAAAUCUAUUGAAAGACAAGCACAAACUGCGGCAUUGUUAUAAAUAUCAUUAUUGGACCCAUAGGAUCAAAGUCGCCUUAGACUCACUAGGAUGUUGAGC